GGGAAUUUGAAGUCUACGAUUUUUUGGGACGUUGGCGGGCAACAGUUGGUCGGGACUGCUCCACUUGGAAAGUCCGCAGCUCCGCAUUUGGCUAGGUCAGGCGGCGACACUGGCUUUGCAACAGCGAAGGGGUCGCUGCCAAGACCAGCCACUCCACCGUAUAGGCUUCCGAGACCUAUAAGUACAUUUCUUCUGUCUAGGUUUACUGGAGAAGGGUUUUCAUGGUCGUGAUCGUUGGAGCUAGUGGAAGGGUUUUUGUUUUGGUCACUACUAUUAUUUGUGGCUUUGCAUGAGACAGCUUGUAAAUUGGAAUGCCUAGGGUUUCCAAAUGAGGAUAUUCGGUGAUACUUUUGGGAGAAAGGGGAGAGGAAAGUUGUGGGGAUGAUACUUGUGGCGGAGGUGACGAGUGGAGCUGACAUAGAAGCCAUGGUUACUUUUGACUCUGAAUAAUACGUUGUAUUGGCUUUGCUUUUAUAAUGUGUUCUAGGUUGUACUUUUCUUUGCACAGGUGGCAGGCCGUACACACGUGGUCGGUCCUUAAGGGUUUGACGAGGAAUACUACGUAGUCAUUUAGUACAGGACAACCAUACACUAUAGCAAGUGGCAUGUAUUUAGAGAUCGAGAGAGAAUUGGGUAAGGUUCACGAGGGAUUUGUAGUUUCAGAAGGUGAAUUGGUUUUGGUCUUCUUGUGUACCAAUAAUAUUUACUUAGUCAUUUAGUGCAGGACAACCAUGCACUAUAGCAAGUGGCAUGUAUUUAGAGAUCGAGAGAGAAUUGGGUAAGGUUCACGAGGGAUUGUAGUUUCAGAAGGUGAAUUGGUUUUGGUCUUCUUGUGUACCAAUAAUAUUUACUUAGUCAUUUAGUGCAGGACAACCAUGCACUAUAGCAAGUGGCAUGUAUUUAGAGAUCGAGAGAGAAUUGGGUAAGGUUCACGAGGGAUUGUAGUUUCAGAAGGUGAAUUGGUUUUGGUCUUCUUGUGUACGGCUGUGGGUCUGCUGUCCCGGACUCUCUGUCUCAUUUGUGUCUUAUUUUUUAUUUUUUCACACGUGUCUUUUACUUAACGUCAAAUCAUGAUAGCAAUGUUAUGCAAUUGGGAGCUAAACGACCGAUGCUUUUAUUUUUUAGUUUGCUUUUUUUCCAGAUCUGAUCAAAUCAUGAUAGCAAUGUUAUGCAAUUUUCAAGAGGGAAAGAUGCACCUGGGAGAGAAACGGUACGGUGACUUCUAAAUCACCGUCCAACAGAACAAUUCUCAGUAGAGACUACUAGAGAGAGAUGCACCUCACCAAUGAAAAAUUUAACUGCAAAAAUUCUGGGUAUUGGGUAAGGAAAUUCGGUGAUACUUUUGGGAGAAAGGGAAGAGAGAAGUUGUGGGGAUGAUACUUCUCGUGGAGGUGACGAGUGGAGCUGACAUAGAAGCCAUGGUUACUUGACUCUGAAUACUACGUUGUAUUGGGUUUGCAUAUAUAUAUAAUUAGGAUUGAAGGAUGUAGAGCUUAUUUUGUUAUGUAUUUUAACGAUUUAAGUGCUUAUCUUUUAGGUUUUCUCUUAAACAUCAUGUCUAUAAAAAAUCACCAAAAUUCAAACCAUAUGACCAUUAGAUCCAUAGUCAUUUUAGUGUUUAUUUGUAAAAUGUAUUCAUUCAUUUUCUUCACUACAAAUGAGUGAAUUAAUGAUUUUAGAAUUUGUCUAAUUUUUUACAUUGAUUAUUUAUGAAUGUUGAAUUGAAAUUUAGACGAUUCAAAAAUAGUUGAUAUGCAUUACAAAAUGAACUCCACAAAAUAAGUGUCAAAAUAUGUAUAAAAAAUGGACAGCGUGAAUGGCUUGGAAAUUGGAAUAGGUUUGAAAAUUGUGCUUUUUGUAGCAAAUUUUAGCAAAGUUUGCUUGGACUUUCACAACCGUAUAAAUUAAAGGGAAACUUGAUAUAACUCCAAUUUUUUGAGCCAAUAGUAGGAAUAGUCCAGUUUAUUAAAAUAAGUUCAAUUCUUUAAAUUUAAUUAUUUAGUUAUCAAUAAUUAUCUCUUAAAAGAAAAAACUUAUUGUAAAAAUCAAAUUUCUUCCUAAUUAUCUCUUUGAUUAUUUCUUUUUAUUUAUUUAUUUGUUAUUUCUUGUUCUUCCUCCUGCUUUAACCCAUUUAUAGAUUUUUUUUUUAAUUUUAUAAUCAACCUAUGUCACAGGUUAAUUGUAUUUAUCUACCUAUAUGACAUAUUCUUUUUCAUAGUCAACAUUUCACAGAUUAAUGUGUCUUGCUUGUAGAUAUAUUAUGUUUUUUUCUACCUUUUAGUUAGGUUUCAUAUCUCACUUAUAGGUAUAAUAUACAUUCAUAUAUUUGCUACUUGAGUUAGGGUAGAAUGUUUUGCAGAUAGAUUUAUGUUAGUAUAUUAAUUUUUUUUUGUUUAUAAGAUAUUAAUUAGAUAUUUUGGAGUUGAAAAAUGCAUAAUAUUAAAAGCUUUUAAUUGAUUUUUAAUAUUUUUAGAAAAUAUAAAAGGAGUAUAAAAGAAAUCAAAACAUAUAAUUAGAUAACGGGAGUCACUCCUAAAAACACUCUAUGUUUUUUGACCUGGAUCUUAAAGCCCCUAAAUUAAACUGUUCGCUUUGUUGGGAAAAAGAAGUGGCCCUAGUUUCCCUUUGAUUUUUCAAGCACGGUGGGAGACUGGUCAUAGUUUCUAGAUUGAUGCUCUAAUUCUAAUGUUAUACAACGCGUACGCUAUAAUAUUUUUAUCAAAAUAUUAGUUUUAGUGUUAUCAAAACAAUAUGUUAUUCUUACCAUGUUUUUGUAUCACAAUUAUAUACCACCUUAGAUGGUAUCUGAUGUGGACAGCCACAUCAUUUAAAUUAAUAAGCAUUUAAUUUCAAAAUGUUAAUCAAUAAUUAAUAAAAAGAUUGUUAAUUAAAUGAUGAUUGUGGUAUACAAGGAGUCUCCUUCUUCCUUCCUCUUUCCAUUCUGCUUUUUCUUCUUACCUCUUUUUUUUUUUUAAUGCCAGUUUUGUAUUGAUUUCUGUUGAUUUCCAUGAUUAUGGUCAAUCUUUAUAGAAUUUACUAGUAUGCCACAAUCACCAUUGAUUUCUAUCUCCAGACUCAUGCCCCGUAGCCCUAAUCCUCAUUCCCCUUCAAGUAUUUCUGUCUCCAAUCUUCUUUGGUACUCCAUGAUUGUUCAUCUCGUGAUAUUUUUUUUUUUGAUUAUUUCAUUAAGUAACGCUUAUUAGCUUUCAUGCGAAUUAGGAGUCAAAAUCAAAUUUGUCUAUCGGAUUAGGGUUCAUACCCAAUUAAGUUACUAACGCCAGAGGGAUUUUGAAGUAUGCAAUUUUCCUUAUUUAAGUGUUUUAAUUAAUAAGAAAAUUGAAAUUAAACAAUUUAGCUUGUCCAACUCAUCUGCCACCUAAGAUGGUAAAUAAAUGUGGUAUAAAAUUGUGGUAAGAAUAUCAUUACUCUUAUCGAAAUUACAAAAAAAAAAAAAAAAGCUGAUUCAAUAUUUAGUUAUUAAAAAAAAAAUGAUCAAGUAACUAUCCAAUACCCAUGUAUUGGGUGCUUUGUUUGAAAAUUUUCAAAAUGAUAUUGGGCUCGUUUGGAUAUGUUUUUAAAAUGACUGAAAGCAUUUUUAGAGAAAAUAUUUUUUUGAUUCCAAAAGCACUUAAAGUGCUUUCUGCAAGAAGCACCCGUUAUGUGCUUCUUCCUGGAAGCACUUUAAGUGUUUUUCCAGCAUUUACUUGCUUUUUUACUAAGGACUGGUUCCAAAAACAUUUUCACAAAAAGUGUUUUCAGUCAUUUUAAAAGCACAUUCAAACGAGCUCAUUGUUUUUCCUAUUUUAAUCGAGUGCGUCGUCCUCUGUUGAGAAUGAAUCUCAUAUUAUGGGAGGAGGGAUCUUGCAUGAAUGGGAGGAGGGACCUUGCAUGAGCUUAUAAGUAAGUUGGGUUACUCUCCAUAUUGCCAAAAGAAAUUUUAUUUGGACCCAGUUUUCCUCUCUCUAAACCCAACUUUAAUAUUUUGUUACCUAUAAACUCUCUAGUUUACCCUCAUAAAUUAUAAACAUAAAUAAACUAGAAAAAGAAAAACUCAUCAAACCCAUUUCCCAACUGUUCUGGCGUCUCUUCCCUGUAUUUGUUGGGUCUGUCUCCCUCCCGACUGUUUUUUUUUUUCUGAUAUCUCUGUGUGUUCCCCCACCUCUCCCACACCCACCAAUUCUUUGUGGUGGCUAUUCCACCAAACGUCCAGUGAAUCUUUCCAUUUUUCUUCUAUUGCGCGUGAUAGGGCCUUGCUAUUAAUAGGCAAAACUAAGCGGCAUCGUCGACUCCGUAAGCGACUUGUUGCAUAAGUCCAAAAUGGAGUCAAAUGGAUUUUGUAUUGGGUCGGGUUGUUGAAGGCGAUGGCUGAUUUAGCAAUCCCGCCUAACUAUUUCUAUAUGUAGGAGAAGGAAGAGGGAGGGAGGUCUGAAGUGGUGGUUGAGUGGUGGCGAUGUAUGUGGGUUCUCUCUCGGUUGAAUGGGUGUAGAAAGAUAUUUAAUUUUCAAUAUCUUAUUUUAUUUUGUAUAAGGGAUAAUAUAGGAAUUACAUAAAAAGUUUUUUUUAUAGCUAGGUGUAGAAAUAGUAUUGUUGGGUCUAAAUAAAAUUACCCUAUUGCCAAUUAGUUUUAUGGUGAAAUCUUAACUUUGUUCAUGCUUUCAUAGUAGGUUGUUCCACGUGUGAAGUCAAACAUCCACACGCGCUGCACGUCACCCCGUUGUGUUGUUCACGUGUUAAGCUUGAAAAUUCAUCACACAUGAGGGAGCGUGUUGAGAAUAAAUUCCACAGUUUAUAAGUAAGUUGUACUACUCCGUAUAUUACCAAUUAAUUUUGUGGAAUUCCGUCAAAGCUGAAUUUGACGGAAAAAAAUAACUUCAUGUUUGUUCUUAACUAUAAAGUCAGUGAUACACUAAUUCUGGUUUGUUUGUUUUUUCCUUCCUUCUUAAGGAAAUUCCCAAUCCAACCAAAAAAAUGAAAUUCCCAAGAGAAUAGUAGCACGAACAAUCGUAGCUUUCUUCUUCGAUAAGCCUUGGGGAAACAGAAAAGGGAAAACCGGACUUUAACCCUAAUUUCUCCCAAUGCCGCAGCACUCUCUAUUUUCUCUCUCGCUCUAUAUCGCGGUCCCUCUCUCUCGCCGUCCUCUAUUGCUCAAACUCAAUGUCUCCAACUUCCUCUGUAUGGUUCCCGAGGAAGAUGGUAAAACAGUAAGGGCAAGAAAUUGUGACAAGGUUAGAUUUGGGUAUUAAUCUGGUGGGGCUACAAUUCUCCAAUCCACACCCCUUUCAUCUGUGCUAGUGUUUGAACCCAAUAUUAGAUAACCGGUCCAUGCAAUCGAUGCCGUUGAAUGAGAAAAAUUCUAGGCCGUGGGAUCAAAUAUAAUGAUGUGGAUUAAAUAAGGAAAAUUUAAAGAGUAAUGAUAUUCAUACCAUGUUUUUGUACCACAUUUUCAUACCACCUUAGGUGGCAUUUGAUGUGGAUAGCCACAUCAUUUGAAUUAAUCAGAUUUUAAAAUUUAGUUGAUUAUUUAAUAAACUAAUAAUUAAGAAAAACUAAUUAAUUAAAUGAUGAUUGUGAUAUACGAGGAGUCUUUCUCGUUCAUUUCUUUGGGUUUUGCAAAUUUUUCAAAUGAUGUGGCUGUCUACAUCGGAUGCCACCUAAGGUGGUAUAGAAAUAUGGUAUAAAAAUAUGGUAUGAAUAUCAUUACUCAAAUUUAAAUGUUUAUCUUGGUUAAAUUACCAUGAUAAUAUUGUGGAAUUAUCUUUUGCAUAACGGAAGAGCGAGAAAAGUCCAAGGGUGUAGGGAAGUUGUGUGGUUGACUACCGCUAUUUUGAUGGUAUAAUCUGUAGAGUAAUAUUACAUUUAACAUCUAUUUGUAUCAUAUUUCUAAUAAAGAUAAGGACCAUCAAUGCAUAAAUAAUUAAACAAAUAUAUAAUAAGAGUAUCAUUUUUGUAACUAGAAUAGGAGAAGAAAGACUUCAAGAUGGGAUCAGCCAAAUAAUUAGCGUUAAGAUAAAAAUAUUGAAAGGAAAACUAAUGAAAAUGGCUUGAAAACUUUGAGUUUUAACGAUAAGGACAAGAUAAAGGGUAAAGUGAAUAGUACCAGGAUUGACUUUUUAAUGUAAAAAUAUAGUUUUUCGUUAAAGUGAACAUUACCGGGAACUUUUCGUUAAAGUUUCCAAUGAGAUAAUAUUGCAACAGCUGGCAUGAGACAAUGAUGGUAUAAAGAUGGCUACUACGGCCAAACUACUACAUAGGAUUCCAUACAUGCGGUCAUUAUUUCGACAAAUCAAUGGCUGCCGCAAUCAUGUGCUCAUUAUUCCGACAAAUCAGUAGCUACUUGCAUUGGAUUAGGAUUGCAUGCGUGUGGUCAUUGAAUGAGGAUUGCGUGCACGUGAUCUUUAUUCAAACAAAUCACUAUUGACCAUAUAUUGCAAUUGGUUAAUGGUAGGCAAAUUGAAUUUUUACAUCAAAUAAUGUGAUUGCUGAUAAUUGAAUUAUUAUUUAAAUGUUGAUUAAUAUGCUUAUUUUUUAUUUGUGAUAUAUCAUUUAAUUUGUACAUUUAGUUUACCUAACAUUACCAACUGUAAUUUGUAUAAAUGGACUGGUACCUAACAUAACCAGUUGUAAUUUGUAUAAAUGGGACUGUAAUUUGUAUAAAUGGACUGGUGCCUAACAUUACCAGUUGUAAUUUGUAUAAAUUUACUGGUCCCAAGAGCACAUGCUACUGCUCAAGAAGCAAAGUUCUUAUUUGCCCAAAAAAAAUCAUGGUUUUUUAAUUGAUGCUCUCAUUUUAAUUUACUAGCCCCUUACUUGGCCUUUUUUAUUUAUCAUUUUAUACAUAUUAAUAUUUUUUUGUAAAAUAUAUUAGUUUGAGUUUUAUUAAAAUUAAAAAUAAAUAAAAAAACUUAGUUUUAGUUUUAUCAAAUUAAAAAAAAAUGACUUAAUAUUUAGUUAUUGAAAUUGUAAAAAAGUGAUCAAGUAUUGGGUGCUUUGUUUGAAAUUUUUCAAAAUGAUAUUGUUUUUACCAUUGAAACCCUGUUAUAUACAGUGAUGGCUAAUUUGUCAAGUUCUACGAAGUUGGGAUACCCAGCGUUUUAGCAUAUAACAUAGCUUAGUAUUACAAGCAUAAUUAAUUAAAAUAAAGGCAAAAUAAGAGGAUAGCUUAGUAUUACAAGCAUAAUUAAUUAAAAUAAAGGCAAAUUGUAACAGCCCGUCCCUAAAAAUGACGAUUUUAUAAUCUUAACACGUGAGUUUAUGAAGAUGCCCUUCGAGGCAAAGUGUUGACUACCGCGUCGUGUCAUGUGAGACUCAUCUUCUUGGCGUAUUCUCGUUUUACUCGUCGCUACGGAUGCGUGGGCGCAAACGACACGUGAUUUGGAGCUAUAACAAAAGAGUUAUUAACAUUUAAAGUUAAGGACAUUUUAGUAAAUUAAUUAAUUUCAGAUUUUGUUGAGGGGAAAAUCUGGAGUGCCAUGUGGGUGGCCCAGAUUAAAGGAAAUGAGGAAUGGAUGGUGGAGGUGUAAAGGAAAGAAGAUAAAAGAAAAAUGAGAGGAAAUGUGUGACUAAUAGGGAGAUGAGAGAGUUAGGAUGGCCCAAUUAGAAACAAACGAAAGGAGGAAAAAGGAGAGAAGAGGGGAGCAGGGGAUCCCUUCAACCCGGUUCCACUUUCCGACCCGACCCGAUCCUUUUCAUCUUUUCCGGUGGUUUUUCGUCAGUUUUUCCGGCGAACCACGUUAUCUAACCCCGUUGAAAAUGUUCCACGACCUUCCCUCUACCAUUACAACCCAAAAUUGUAGAAAUUUAGCCAUGAAAGUAUGAAAACCGCACCGGUGGGUGCGGGAAACCUUUGUCGUCGAUUCUCCCAUUAUUGAAACGAUUUUCACCAAUUAUCACCACCUACAGCAUCCUCUUGAGGUCUGGAAUAAAGCCCAAACAAGUUUUGGGGCGUUGGAGUUCGUUUAAGGUCGAAUUGAGCACACCCAAAUUCAAGGGUUCCGUACCGUUCAUGGUGAUUUGAGGUGUUUCUCGGCCAAAUUGGCCUUAGUCACAAGUAUGAAAGUUGCUCCACUCGUUGAGAUCUUCAUUUAUGUGAAAUUUGAGAAUUUUUUGAAAUAUUUGGAUUUUCCAGCGAGUCGGGGUGGCGGACCGCCACCGGCAGCAGCGCAUGGCCAGUGGUCCACCAAUGUCAUUUUACGUUAAAUUGAUAUCUUGAUUUUAGAUUUGAUGUCUAUAUGUUAUGACUUGAUUAUGUGAACCUAGUUUGAUUAAGGUGCGUUAAUUGGUAAAAAUAUGAAACGACGAUCCGACCGUGGGAUCGUCACCAAACUUUAAUAUGUUAUAGUACAUAAUAUUUGAGAAUCAUAGGGACUGACAGAUAGGAAAUCCGAGAUACAGAUCUUCCCGAAAUGGAAUUGUAAGUUUGAAGAAUAAACGUUAACCGCCACUUUGUUUUGACUAUUGGUGGAGAUCCAACCGUUGGAUCAUAAUGAAAUUUUAGGAUGAUGUUUUAGAAGCAUAAUGUGGAUCUUUGGAAGUUACUGAUCGGAAAUCCGAGGAGUGAAUCUUCCGAAUUGAAUUACGUAGGGUUGUGGACCUUACCGUCGAUCGUUGACCGAUGAUCGACUUUUGGUCAAUGGGGCUUAAAUCAAUCUAAAACGUUUUUAGGGAUGUGUUUUACGUAAAUUACAUGAUCUAUUGAUAAGAAUUAUGAGAUGUGGUUUGAUAAUUGUCCUAGGUGCCGAUCGUUAGGAACGCUUCGAUGGUUAUGCUAGGAAAUUGUAGCACAGACUCCUUGUGAGUGAAUCUUUUCCUUCUUAUCAUAUAUAUAUAUAUAUAUAUAUAUAUAUAUAUAUGAUUGACAAUUCCACAAACGUUUAUAAAUUGAUUAUUGCAUAUAACUACUGUGAAUACUUUGAAGUACUUAUGCGAACUACGAAUGGCUUGAUCCGUGUUUAGGGUACGUAGGCAGUCUAACAAGACGUUAGAUGUAGUCAUACAAUAAUUGAGAUUAAACAAUUGAGAUAAAGCCUUGUUUGGGGAACUGGGCAAGGUGAAGGAAUUUGGUAAAAAGGUGAGAUUUAACCUUAUGAAUUGGUGAUUAAAUGUUGGUCAUAAAUCAAUGUGUAAAGAAUCAAGAAUUUGAAGUAAGGAAACGUAAGUAAUGAUAAUUAAUUAAACUAGUGUCUAGUUGGGCUUGUCACCUAUAAUUAUCCCCGAAAAUGAAUAAUUCGGGAGUAGGGCGUUACAGCUUCUGCAUUUUUAUGCCACAUUAUAUAUAUAUAUAUAAUUGGAAAUGCUAUAACAUGGUUGAGUAUCAGAUUUCAUCAUGGUUUAUCUAUAUGUAUAUUACCUGCACACAAUUAUUAUGAACGCGUUGAAGUGCAAAGGUGAAUGCACGACACCCAGGUAAGUUCAGGUGAGUUUAUGGUAUUAGUUGAAAUGAUGGGGUUAUGGUAUGACUACAUGUAUGUUUAGGUUGCAAUGAUAGGCAACUCCAACACUGUCGUACAGGUUGCCCAUGAAUUGUACAUGUUACAAUAGAUACAGUUAGAGCUCAUAAACCUACACCCCGGUGUUAGUACUCCCGCUCGUGGCCAGGGCACAGUCCUUCACGUGAUGUUCACCUCCCGCACCUUACGCUCACCUUGGAUCCAAGGUAGGUGCACAAUCAUGUCGUACCACUAUAGGUGGUUCCGACUCGUAGAUGACCCGCGAUUAUUUGCACAGUCUUCACGUGAUUGUAGCACUUGAGCGUAUUUAUUUACACCCAGUUCUAUUGUACAGACCACUUUAGGUGGUUCCGACUCGUAUGCAGGUAUACUUAUUAAGCUAUGGAUAAGUCGUACAGGUCACUAGAAGUGACUCCGACUUAUGAGCUAGCAUAUGUGAUGAGCUAGCAUAUGUGAUGAGAUAAGUGAUGAGUUAGUAUAUGUAAUGAGAUAUGUGAUGAGCUAGCAUAUGUGAUGAGAUAUGUGAUGAGCUAGCAUAUGUGAUGAGAUAUGUGAUGAGCUAGCAUAUGUGAUGAGUUAGCAUAUGUGAUGAGCUAGCAUAUGUGAUGAGAUAUGGGUAAGUCGUACAUGUCACUAUAGGUGACUUCGACUUGCGUGCUAGUAUGGGUUAUUAAUCACAUGAUUAUUGAUAUUACUGAUGAGAUGCUGUGUUGUGGUAUAUUUAUGAUCUUUCUGGAAACUAUGCAAGUGUUGUAACGAGGGGUUAUAAUGAGGUGUUGUAACGAGGGGUUAUAAUGUUUUAUAUGGUUUCUGUUAAAAUUUUAUUUCUAGGGUCACUCACCCUUAUUUUGUUUUCACCCUCUAGGUUUUAUUAGCUGAGCUUUCUUAUCGUCGAAGAUUCGUGGCGAUUCUUAGUAUUGGAGAUUAUUUCGAGAGUACGAUUCUUAAUUCACUUUACUGUACUUGCUUAAGCUGUAACGUCACGUGUGAAGUGGGUUCAUUUCCGCUUACCAGCGCAUUCUGGUAUUUAGGCACUCUUAGGUUUAAAUUUAUUCACAUUUUUCCACAUCAUCAAACUUUAUGGCUUUGUCACUCUUUAGGUGUCGGCCAGCACAGCUCGAUUUGGAGUCCUAGUGGACAUUCCGGGUCGGGGUGUGUCACAAAUGAAGAGGAUGGUUGAACUUGUUAAGUUUCUUAAGUGUGUCUACUUGAAGUGUGUUGCUAAUAAAUAUUUUGUUGUAGGCAUAAUUUACUGAACAAUUAUGGAGGCAGAGAGAGAGAGAGGGAAUAUGCGGCAUAGAGAGAGAAGAGAGAGAUGUGUAAUUGUGAGGUGUGUUCUAUUCCACCCCAUUGUACCUUUAUUAUAUUAGUAGGGAAAGUUAAUUCCUUACCCUUUUAGGAUUACAACUCUAAUAGGAAAAUAUCUAGUCUAAGAGAUAUGAUAGAAUCUCAUAAGGAUAUCCUAGAUAUGUUAGGAUUUACACAAUCAUAUUCCUAUUCCAAUAAGACUGCAACACAUUUGUAUUUUUUUAGAAUUUUUUUGAUAAUUUGUUGGUAUUCUCAAUUUUUGUUAACAUUGAAAAUAUAACGGUUCAGAUGAAAAACCUUUGGAAAUCCAACAGCUUGCAAGACGUUGGGCUGUGCUGAAGGAAGCUGGGCUGUCACGUGGAUGGGGCCCUCCCUCUCCCUCUUGUUGAUUCAAAGGGCGCAGGCCCGUGCAACAAUUGGCGAGGCAGCCCAUAGAGAUCCUGCGAUUCACCCAUUCGCCAUUUUUUCCACCGCUGGAGCACCAAAAUUCGGUCAAAAGGCAGGGGUAUCAAUGGCAAGGGCAAUUUGGCUUCCGCUGGAGGUGCUCUUUGUCGACUUUGUUUUUUCUCUCAUUUUAGCUUUUGCAGUAAUAUUGAAGUAAUCACUCCAAUUUUAUCCAAACUUUUGUUGUCCGUCAAUUUUUAUCAAAACUAUUGGUUAAUUUACAUAUUCAGACUAACCUUCUCAUUAUUUUUAGUAUUUUUAUCAUAAAUAAUAUCUGAAAUAGUCACAUUUUAUUCAACAACCACUCAAUUAAAAAUUAAUUAGUGUUGUUUCUAAACCAUUACAUCAAGCUUUUGUAGAUACACAUCAAUAUUGCAGCGAUCCGAGGCAUUGUUUUAGUGACGGUAGUACUUUCUACUCCUUGGAUUUGGUGAAUCGGAAAAGAGAAGAGUUACGAGUAAAAGUCCCUCGCAUUGUUUUGGGGAGAUGAAGAUGAUGAUCUUUUGUUUUUGUUUUUUAAUGAUUAAUCCACGCAGCAACAUAUAAUUAAAUUGUUGGGAUCUACUCAAGUUCCAUAUCACACACUAACAUAAAAUUUGACAAACGAAACGAAAUAUGUGUGUAGACAUCGAAAUUUCGUAAAUAAAUGUUGACCGAUAAAUCAAAGUGUCAACGCUCAUGUAUUACAUAAAUUUUACACGUAGCGUGUGACUCAACGAAAAUUGAAAUGAGUUGGAAAAGUCAUCAAAUAGGACACGUGUCAACACCUGGCAGAAACGACUUAUUUCAUCUGGGAUAUUAUAUUCAAAAUUAGCCAUUGGAAAAUUCUAUAAAUACAAGCCCAUUUCAUUCAUUUAAGGAGAGGAAUUCAUAUUACACCUUGAAGCUCUGAAGCUCUGAAACUCCGAAGCUCUCAAGCAUCCAGGUUCCCGAAGAAUCAAGAAAGUGUUCUUCGUUCUUCGUUCAUCGUUCUUCCAAGAUCAAGCCUCGACGGCCCUUGGAUCAACAAUCAUCCACCUUCAAGAUCAAGCCCCGACGGCCCUUGAAGAAAGCGUUCUUCGUUCUUCGUUCAUCGUUCUUCCAAGAUCAAGCCCCGACGGCCCUCGGAUCAACAAUCAUCCACCUUCAAGAUCAAGCCCCAAAGGCCCUUGAAGAACUUCCACCAAUUCAAGAUCAAGCCCCGACGGCCCUUGAAGAAAGCACCAUCGUUCAUCAUCCGUUCAUCCAAGAUCAAGCCCCAACGGCCCUUUAGAUCAACAACGUCGACAAAUCCACACAUCCAACCGUUCUUCAAGAUCAAGCCCAAAAGCCCUUGAAGAUCCGUUCAUCACUGUUCUUCAAGAUCAAGCCCAAAAGCCCUUGGAGAUCCGUUCAUCACUAUUCUUCAAAGAUCAAGCCCAAAAGCCCCUUUGAAGAUCCGCUCAAAUCCACCUUCAAGAUCAAGUCCACGGCCCUUGAAGAACGUUCAUCCUUAGAUCAAGCCCAACGCCCCUUUGGAUCAAUCGCACAUCCACAAAUCAACACCUUACGGAGAUCGAAUCAGAGGAUCAAAAUAGAGAGAGAUUGUAACCCAAAAUCAUCAAAUACAAAUAUUUGUUUGUGCGCGUUGUUCUUGUCUCUUUCGUUUCAGGAAUUUUCCGUGUUCACAAUGUGCUCUUGAAAUCAAAAUGAGGGCACUGCUCCAAGAACAAGAAGGGCACCUUGUCGAGGUCGCCAUCCGCCGUGAGGGAAAACCGGAAGAAGUUGGACAACAAUGAUAACAUCAAUUUGCGGCACCCAUAUCGGGACAUCACACUGUGAAAUAAAUAUUGAAAUAAAUACUCAAAACUCCUGGAAAGUCCUCGAGACAACAAACUUUCAUCUCCUUCAAACAUUUCAUUUUACUAAGUUUUAUCUUUGAAGGGAGGGAAAAAAAGAGAAGAGAGAAUCCUACUCCUUAUUCCUGAAUAUAUUCAAGAAUAGCUAUUGAAUAAAGAGAGAAUGGAGGGUGAUCGAAAGAGGAGGGAAGAGAAUUCUAGUUCCAAACAUAAAAAGGACCACAACUUUUAAAUUAUCAGCACAAUCAUCACCUAAUUGAAGAGACCAUUCACUGUGAAACAUAUUGUCAAUCAGUCUAUCUAUAUCUAUUUAUAUACCAUAUUUUUAGAGUAAGAUUCUCUCACCUCCUAUUACCAUCCCCUUCCAUCCUUUCAUCUCAUACUCUUUUUUUGUUGUCUUAUUCUCUAUAUAAAAAAAUUCAAAACAAGAUGUAUACGUGACGUAAUCGUAACCGUUUAAAUAAGAGGGGAUAGAAGAGAAGAGAGAUUAGGAGAAGGGAGAAUCCUACUCCCACAUUUUUCUUCUUCAUAAACAAAAGAGAGGUUCUAGAUUACUUGACUCUAUGCCUCAUUUUUUUCAUCAAGUAUUUGUGAUAAGUGGGUUCAUUUUCAAGUAUUUUAGUUUUUUUGUCAAAAUUGAGAAAACUGAAAAUCAAACAUUAAUAUGAAAAAUUAAAAAAUCAACAUAUAAUUAUUUAGAAAUCGCAAUAGAAAAGAAAAAAAAUGGAGGUUUGUGAUGAAAAAUCUUUUAUACUAAGUAAUUUAGUAUCCUUAUGCAUGAAGAUAAAUCAAUUUGUUCGUUACGGUCAUACUCUUUUUUGAAUUUUUGAACACAUUCUCCAUAGGGCCUUCUUAUAUGUUCCUUCUCCAAGCUCGGGUUAUGGAAGAAGUAAAAGAAGGAAUCGAAAAGAAAGUAUUGGUAACAACCGAUUUCAUUACGAGACAACUCUUGAUAUUCAUAUCAAUCUAUUAUGUACCUUUGCAUCUAGCAUUAGACAAUAAUUGUCAUAGCUUUACCAUAUUUUUUUGUUUCAUUUCUUCUGAAACAAUCUCACACACUUUUUUAUUAUGUGUCUACUACUAGGAAUUCAAUACGUAAUCUUAGCAUUCAAUAGUUAUUCCUAAAUAAUUUCAAUUUUCAAAUGAUCAACCAUUUCAUUUUACCAAGUUCAAUCAAUGUUAGUCAGAUUAGUCAACAUUUAUAUAUUUUGAUGCAACAACAAGAUGUUAUUUGUAACAAGUGAUUUUGUUAGUUGGUUAAUUGGUCACAAGUUAAUGUUCGGUUCAGUUUAGUUUUUCUCUCGAUUUUUUGUGAUUCGGUUUUUUCAAUUCUCUUUAGGGUCGGUUCGGUUUUGUUUUUUUAUUUAUACUUGAAUUUUAUUUUAAUUUAUUUUAAUUUAUUUUAUUUUAAAUCUGGAAACACCAAGAACAACACAAGCACAUAGUCAAUCAAACAACUAUCCUUCUCCACAAAUCAUAGUAAUAAUUACAUUCAUUGAGCUGAAAUGCAAAUAACUAACAAACUCACAAAAAUCAAAUAAAAACUACAAAUUGCUUACUCUUUUUCUUUGGGUUUCACUCGAAAAGUGUCGGUAAAAUUUAGGGUUUGCAAGAACGCAACUGAAAUCUAAAACGGAGGCCUUGUGGCCUAUGGGUUGCUAUUGAGUUCCAGUACAGAGAACCUUGCUUAAUCUCGAUCACGGUACAAAGUAUCGAGUACCUUUAGCACUGUAUUUUGGUAUGAUUGGUAGAACCAAAUUAAAAGCUAACAUCAACAACAACUACCAGAGACAAAAGCUCUUAUCAAUGCUUUGGAAACAUUUAUGUAUCUCCAAGUGUAAUGAUAUAAUUGGUUGGAAACUUGUGAUUUCGUAUCAAAUCAAUAAAAAGUUACAAUAUUGACAAUAUAUUAGCAAUUUUUAUGUUAAUUAUGAACAAGUCAAUCAUGUAGAACCAAAUUAAAAGCUAACAUCAACAACAACUACCAUAGACAAAAGCUCUAAUCAAUGCUUAGGAAACACAGUCCUGUAUCUCUAGGUGUAUUGAUAUAAUUGGUUGGAAAUUUAAAAGAAAAAUGGUGAUUUUGUAUAAAAUUGAUAAAAAGUUACAAUAUUGACAAUAUAUUUGACACACCCCGACCAAGAUCAAGGCAUGCUGGCCGUCACAUGAGAGUGACGUAACCAUGUGCACAGUGCGGAAGCAAUAAUGAUAAGAAAUAUAUGAAUAAUUAAAAACCGAAUCUACUAGAGUGCACUACUAAACAGGAAGUAUUAGGAGUAAGAUACAAAAGUAAAUACUCCUAAUCAGAGCAUAGAAAGUCUAGGUGCAAUCCAGUAGGACAAGUACUAAUUAUACAGUAUAAAAUGUCUUACAAUUAUUUAGAUAGGUCAGAACCGCCGAAGUCCUCACACCCAACAACUGCAAACUUACUUAAAACCUGAAGGGGCGCAAAAUAGAAAACGUGAGUGGGAAAAAACAAAUGUUUUACAAAACCAUUUCAUUUAUCAAUAUAUCUAACCCCUCGCUGUAAACAUGUAUAAUUUUUCCCAGAAUCAAGAUAUAAGCAUAUACAUAAAUAUAUAUAUAAAUAUAUCAAUUCAAAUCAUGCUUCACAUAAUCAUAUUCAUAUGUAUGUCAUGCCAAGAUAUAACAGAGUAAGCAACUCAGGUAAGAGUAAUUUCAUAGAAAUAUAACAUGUUAGCCGGAACCCCUGUAGUAGUCUGUACGGCUGAAUUCAUAGCUCAAAAGUCAAUCUAGCCGAAGUCACUACAAUGACCUAUACGGCAAUAUACUGCACAAGAGUCGGAACCAAAUGAAAAGAUCUGUACGACAAUAAUGGGUGUUGUUGAUGCACAAAAUCAGUGAGGACUUUGGUACAACAGAAAGUGUUAAGUUUGUGACAUUCUCUAGAUUACUCCGAUCACUAGUGUGGAUAAGUAUGUAAAUGGAUAAAGACAGGGAAGCAAACACAAGAUGUACGUGGUUCACCCAGAUUGGCUACGUCCAUGGAGUAAAUGAGUUCUUAUUAAUUGUGAAGGGUUUACACAAGUAUAUAGGUUCAAGCUCUCCUUUAGUGAGUACUAGUGAAUGAUUUAGUACAAAUGACAUUAGGAAAUAUUGUGAGAGAAUGAUCUCUAUUUAUAGAAGAGAGUUUCUAGUUUCAUUCUGACAUUGACACGUGUCAUGUUGUGAUUGGCUUCUGAUGUUGACAUGUGUUGCACUAUGAUUGGCUUUAGAUGUCAACAUGUGUCGCGUUGUGAUUGGCCUCCUGGUUUGAGGGAAACUCUUCUGGCUCCUUGACGGUAUAACGUUGAUCGAUGCUCAGUAGUUUCGGGAUUGGUCAAGUAUGGUACAAACAGGUGUAAUAUAAUCAUACUCAAUACUACUCUCACAUAAUAGCUGGGUGAUAAAUCGCUAGUCACCUAUGAGUCAGAACGAUAAUAAAGGUCUGUACGAAGACUGUGCACCUAAAUUGGAUCCAAUAUGACCAUAUGGUGCGGGAUGUGACAUUAUAUACAGGCUUGUGCCAUCACUGGCGGAGCUACACCCACGGCUACAGUAGGCUGUAGCCUAGGGAGGAUUUUAACAAACUGCUGGUAUAAUAGUUUAUAUAUGAGUUUGUUGUUGCUUAUUGUAUGUAUAAUAGCCCACAUAAAUCCUGCCAAAAUUAUUAGUUAAUGUGUUUCUUAAUUUAUAAAUAAUACUUUUAUUACCUUUUAUUAUUUUAUUAUUUUUAGGCUAAAAGUAAAAAUGGUAAAUUAAUACAUAAUUAGGUUUCUCCUAUUCCCCAUGCUUUUUACCUAUUCGUUCAAAACAAAAAAAUUAAACCCUCUACCCUAAGAAAAGAAAAACUAUGAAUCACCAUCAAAUUAUUUUCUAAUGAAAUUCAACACUAGAUAUGCUCUUCAUGUCUUCAUUUAACCUAUUUCUUGAUUCAAUUGUUCAUUCCAUAUAUCUACAGCACGACUUGAAUUGGUAUCCCCUAACCUUUUUUCUUUUGGGUACUUGUUAUCAACAAAAGUGAUAAUAUUUGUUCUCUUUCUAUUGCUUUUUUGUAUGCAUGUUUUAUUUGUGUAAAAAUUAGUUGGAAAGUAAUUAAUAAACUUGUUUGGAUUAUUAGUACUUCAUGUUCCUACUUUUAUGUAGAUUACUAUAUAAUUUUAUGUAGGCAAAAAAAAAAUUCAUAAGAUUAUAUGCUAAUGAUUUUAGUUAGCCCACCCAAGAAAAAUUUUCUGGCUCCGCUAUUAUGUGCCAUAACUCUGGCAAAAUCACAAUCACCCUAAGUGCAGUUUUAUGAGUUCAACGUUAUUCUAUCACAUAUCACAUCAUCGAUAAUUCACAUAACCAAACAUAACUCACAUGAGCUUACCUGAGCGUCCACAGUACCAUAAUUAUAUAUAAUGCAUCAUAUACGAAAUAUAAAUUCAUAUGCAUGGCAUUUAAGGUAUACUUUCAUUUAAACACAUAUUUCUGGGAAAAUAUCAAGUAUAUAAAUAUAUACUGAAAACCAAAAGCCCACUCAUUGGUAUGUCGAAGGGUCGUAGCCCCCGAGUCGCCUUUGAAUACUCUCGUCCUCGUGAUAAGUCUCACCUAUAUGCGAAUUAACUAUAAAAACGUUAUUUUAGAGCACAUACAAAAAAUUAGCUAAUAACUCUCAUACAAUGCUCAAUUUUUGUAUUUGAAUAUAUCACAGUGACCUACACAACCUCAAGAUCAUCCCUAAAUUUUUACAAUAUUUUUCUGACCCCUCACGCGCUGCCACGCACCGGCAAGGGCAACGCCUUACUCGCCCCCACGCGCGGCCACGUGACAAGCAUACUGAUGGCGUCAAUCAACAUCAUCAGGAAUAUUCUAGGGAAUAUUCUGUUAAAACCCAAUGGUAACUGUUAAAGAUGACUGACGGCAUGAGCAUAUUCUGUCAACCUUGACGGAAUAUACUCCUUUCUUCUCCGAUGAGUCGUCGGUCGCCGGCGACUUCGCCGAUUUCUUGGUAAAACUUUAAAUCGCUUAUUCUUCUUCGUUUCUUCGCCAUUUUUCAUGAAAUUGGUACCAAAAUGAAGCUAAUAACAUGUAGAAUCACUUUGUAUAAGUUUCAAGGCUUAAAAUCUACUAGUUUUUCCCUGAGAAAGCUCGAUAGUUCGGCUUACCUAGAUAUGCGUCGAUCUCAGCCCUCCGACGUCCAAUUCCUUCCAACGAAGUACCCCAAGACUCGUGAGGACCUCCUUAAGCUUCCUAUAAGCUUCAAAUUCCCUGAAACACAAGAUUUUACGUAUGCAUGAACAAUGCACAAAGUCGGAGCUAGGGUUUCCACGUGAAAUCGAAGGUUUCCUUACCUGAAAAUGGUUCCUUUGAAUUCGUAUGGUUCUCACGAACACAAUGGUGAUCUUAAAACCUUCGAUCUACAAGGUUUAAGAGGGUUUCUGGGUUGGUCCGUACGAAGAAGGGAGAGAGAGAAUGAGAAUCUGCGAGAGAGAGGGCACGGGAAGGAAAGAGAAAUAAGAUAGGUGUGUGUAUGGUCCAAAAGCCACCAAUCAAAACUAAGAAAAGUCUUAGUUGUAAUUGGGUCACCAAUCUAAAACAAUUUAACCCAAUAAUAACUUACACACAUCAUUUAACAUCCGAGGGUAAUUCCGUCAUUCUACGUCAUCGAGAAUAAUCUUCCGGGACGGGCUGUGACAAUAUCAGCAAUAUUUAUGUUAAUUAUGAAUAGGUCAAUCAUGUAUUUAAUACUUAAAUGUAUUUAAAAUAAACACCUUAUCAAUGUUUUCUGAACUGUGCUCGAUUUUUCUCCUUCGCUUUGGUUCUGUCCCAUUGGAUUUUUCAAGCAAGAUUUUAUCAAGGCAACUAUCAUUAACUGUGAACAUAAUUUAUCAUUGAGACACGAACAUCCAAGGGGGAGUGUCGUGGAAAAAAAUGUAGAUAUCUUUAUACGUUGUAUGGUAGUAAACCAUCAUAAACACCAUAAAUAUGUAGAAACGCCCUUGCGGUACCUUUGAAUGAUAACUCAUGUAUUUGUUGCCCUAUGUAAAGAUGGCUAAUGAUAAUGGAAGACUAAUUUUCUCAUCCCAAUCUCUCCUGUCUCUCUUAUUCUCUUUUCUCUAUAUUUUAUUUCCAACAAGUUGUGUUUUUUUUUUAGUAUUGUUAAGCAACCCAAUAGAUUUUAAUCGUAGUCUUUGUUUUUUUUCUUUUAUAUUUUUAAUCAAUUUCAGUUGCUUAUCAGUUCUAGCUAAUUGAGCUCUUUUACAGCAAUUUUUUUCUUUAAAUAAAAUUAUUAUUAUUAAAAAGAGUGAGAAAAUUCGAAAUUGUUACAAUAAUUUAAAAAAAAUAGGAGUUUCAAAUCAUGAAGGUAGAGGGAGUUAACAACAUUUUAGGGGGGGGUGUAGUCAAACUAGGAUUUUGAAGGAUUUUAAAAGUGAUAGAUUUGAUAGGAUUUAAGAUGAUUAAAGACUCUUACAAAAUUCAUAUGGAUUUUAAAGAAUAUGAAUGGAUUGCGGUGGAUUGUGGGGGAAGGAUUUGAAAUCCUAGGGGGUGAGGUUUGAUUCUUUUUAGUUUUGGUUAUAUAUGGUAUGCUUUCAAAUCCCAGAAAAUCCACAACUUUUUAAAAUCCUUUAAAAUCUUAAUUUUUUUAAUACACUUAGAUUUGGAUGGAUUCUAAAAUCCUUUAAAAUCUUUUAAUUGACUACACCUAGAUUUGAAUGGAUUCUAAAAUCUUUUAAUUGACUACACCUAGAUUUUAAUGGAUUCUAAAAUCCUUUAAAAUCUUUUAAUUGACUACACUAUGAUUUUAAAGUCUUUAAAAUCCUCUCAAAUCCAAGUUUGACUACACCCCCUAAAGAUUUUAAGGAAAACUAAUGAAAAUGGCUUGAAAACUUUGAGUUUUAACUAGGGGUGGGCAAACGGGUACAGGAACCGCGGGUAGGGGUGGGUAAUUCAAGUUCGGGGCAGGUAUGGGACAUGUCCAAUAUUUCUAAACACAAAACGGGGCGAGGCUGUUCGGGUAUAUGAAAUUAUCGGGGCGGGGCGGGUCUUAAAAUAGAAGGGAACGGGCCCCCAGCCUGACCCGUUUCUUUUCCUCAUCCCUAGUCUUCUCUAUCUCUCUUCCCCGACACUUUUCAUUUCACUCAAACCCGGCCCAUUUCUUUUCCUCAUCAGUCAUCCCUAGUCUUUUCAAUCUCUCUUCCCUAACUCCUUUCAUUUCACUCGUACCUCGAGACCUCCUCUUAACUCGCUCCCAGCCUCCCACCGUCCUAGCUCCGUACCUCGCCAUCAUCAUCGUCAGACCUCCAUCUCUCCUGAUUUACUCAUGUCUUCCUCGCUGCGUCCGCCGCCAUGUCUCUCUUUCUGUGACGAACUUAAAGGGACGGACGAAGUUGAACAACUCGAAACGACGCCUCUUCUGUCUGAAUUAGACCCAUAUUUGCAGCGCACGACUCUGCUCAUAGUCCUCUUCGGUUUUAAGGUAUUACGUUUUAGAGAUUUAGGAUUGAAAAUUAAAUUAGGGUUUUCUAGAUUUAGGGAUUUUGUUGGGUUCUUGAACCUUGACCUCUGUUAUGUUCCAAUUUCAAAUAUAUAUUGAAUUGAAUUUGAAUCGACUGUGUUUGAAACUUCUGUUGAAUUAAAUUGAAUUUGAGCAGGAGAAGAGGCAGAUGUGGGUUGGGCAAUGUCGAAUCUCAUUGUGGGUGGUGAGGUGGGCAUGGCGGGCGACAAUAUUGACUGGCAAUGGUACGGGCGGUGCUAUUAAGUUGCAGAAGAAUACGAAGGAGGGGGUGUGGGCAUGGGUGGAUAUCGCAAGCUCAAUUGAAUUUUUUCUGGUUUUGUUUGUGAUUAAUUGCUUGUAUAUGAUAGUUAUUGAUGGAUCUUGACAUGCCCAUUUAAUUGUUAUUGGCAAUGCUAGUUUGAUUGUAACAAAUUCAAACCGAUUGAAUUGUAUCCCAGAAAAAAAAAUCAAUAAAGGAACUGAGGACCCGGCCCGAACCAGCCCAUUUCAACCGGGCCAGGUUAGGUUCGGUUCUUAUAUUAGAAAAUGUUGUUCCCGGCCCGUUUCUCUUAAGCCCGGAUCCAGUCCGAUCACUUCGAAAUUGGCCCCAACCCGGCCCGGGCCCACCUCUAGUUUUAACGAUAAGGACAAAAUAAAGGGUAAAGUGAAUAGUACCAAGUUUGACUUUUUAGUGUAAAAAUGUAAUUUUUCGUUAAAAUAAGAUUUUAAUGGAUUCUAAAAUCCUUAAUUAAGAAAUUAGGCUUCAACCCAACUCAUCUUUGCAACGCCGGUUCCACUUCACAUCAACAGGCAAUGUUUUCUCCUCAACAAAUAGUAUUCUUUUAUGAGACAAAGACUAAUGAGGGUGAUAUAUAUAAUUAAUAAUAAUACUUGUGUUCCCUUUGUGAGUGAAUGCACUUAUUUUACCAUUCUCUAAUAAUGUAUCUUUAUUAUAUAAAUUUAUAUCAUGUGGAUAUCUUCCUAUAAAAAAGUUAUUCAAAUUGGAAAUCCUUACGUCAUCAAAAUAUAUAAAAAAAUGGACGAUCUCAUCGUAAAUAUGUUAGUUACUCACACUAUAACUUUGUAUAUUCCCUCACGUAGGAAACGCAAUAAUUAUCCUCUAAUUAAUUCUUCUUGAGAGUAGAAUUUUUAUUGUUGGUUUUUCGCAACCUUCAGACCUAAAGCUGAUAUGGACCUCUCAUUGUUUUUUGGGUUGCCGUUCUUAUUUUGCUUGGUCCUUUUACCUUUUCUAUAGUUGUUUAUCUAGUUCUUUUGAGCCUCGUACUAAUUUUUAAUGUAAUGAAAAUUAUCUUCGUGAUAAAAAAAAAAAUCAUUAGUCCUCGUAUGAACAUGCGAUGUAACACACUUUCAUGGAACAACAGAUGAUAAAGACGAUAUCCAAAUUUUCUCUGUGUUAUGUGGACUUUCCCAACCAAAUAAAUAAUAACCAAUAAACAAAUAAAUAAGAGUUUAACUUCAAACAUUGAGAAGCGAAAUUCCAACACUACGAGCCUAACUUUUGUCUUCAUCAUCAUCAUAGACUAGUCUCCUAUCCAUCAACUCCUACAUCAAUUUUUUUUUUUACUAGAUUGUAGCUCACUUUCAAAAGAGUUACGUAAAGUAUUUAAGCACCAUAAAAGAAAAUUAAACGACAACGAUUGACAUAAUAUUAGUAGUAUCAUGGUCUAAAAUAUUCAUAAUAUCUUGAUAUUUUUAUUGAAAUUUUCGUGUUUUUAGACUACCUAUAUUUUCAAUAUCAUCGAUAUUUUAAACCUUGCUAAGUCACUCAUGUAUCUUACCAUGCAAUGUAUAAAGUGUAAAAUAUUGUACUAAUUCAUUAUAUAUAAAUGAUUAUAGUGUGUUUAAACUUCUUUCAUUAAUUACUACAUAUUUUCUACACUCACAAUGUUUGCCAGCUCGCUAUAUAAUCAACUUAAAUCAAUUAUAUCUAUCAUGUAAUGCAUUUCCUUCCAAUUUUUUGUGAUAAACUAAUAGAUAAUUGACUAAAUAAACAUCCUGCAAAGUUUCAAUAAAAAUUUCCAAGUUUUUCUUACAAUUUCCGUAGUUUUUAUUCAAUUUUUAUCGAUAUCGAUAAUAUCCCGAUAUUUCCAUCGAAAUUUCCGUAUUUUUAGACUACUGAUAUUUCCGAUAUCAUCGAUAUUUUAUACCUUGGUAGUUAUACAUUUUAUCGGCCUCAUUUUUAUGCAACUUAUACAUUAAAUUAUUGUCAAAAUGUACAUAUAAAGUAGCUGAUCAACGAUGAGAUUUUAGGCAACCAUUUUCUUCUACGACGUCAAAGGUUGUAGAGGUGGCCAUGUGCACUACAUGCGUAAAUCAACUAGGGACUUGGAUCCUCUCUUAAGCCCAAGGAGAGGAUCCUCCUAACCAAAUGACUUGGAUUGUUGGAUGAAAAUCUAACGAUUACAAACAGAUGAUCUCUUUAAAGUUAUAAUAUUUAUUACCGUUGAAUUUUCAUCAAACGGUCAAAUAUCAUUGGUCAAAAGGGUCCUCUCAUUGGGCUCAGAGAGGACCCAAGUGCAUCAACCAGAACUAUUGCUAUUAUAACAAUUCAUGAAAUCAAUUAAACAAUAAUUUUCCUUCUGGCAGGCAUGUUAGUUAUUUCUUAUUUGGCCAAUUGCCUAGUGGAUUUGGUAGAUUUAACCUCUCCACCACAAACACAUUUAAAAAUUUCCAGAAAUCCGUAACGUAAAAUUUAAAAAUAAAUAUUAAUAACAGCAAGUUCUUUUCACCGACCGUGACCGAGAUCUGUCACAUAUCCAAAAUGUCACCUCCUUAUCGCAAAAACCAAAUUUGACUUGGGAUAAAUACCGUGUACAAAUUAAACGCGUUUCUCUAGCUUUUGCGUAAAGAGGCAACCCAACACUAAACUAGGAAAACGUUGGGUUGACAAAGAUACCAUGAAGAAUAAAGGGGUUAUGCAAUCCACUUUGCAAGAUAAUCAAAGUUUCCCGUUGUAGACUUGUCUUAACCCAACACUAAACUAAGAAAACGUUGCUUUCCCGUUGUAACAUGAAACAACAUUAAACAACAUUAAACAAUAUUAAAUAACAUUAAAUAACAUAAAAAUUAUACAACAUAAAAAAAACCAUUUAACAACAUAAAACUUAAAAUGCGUACUUCUUGCUUCUUGUGGCCUAAAGAUGUGCAACAAGAUCUUGAUGUAGGUACUUGUUUGUGGCACGAAAACGUAUCAUCCUAGCCGUUGGAUUUGAAUUUUUUUUGUUUUCGGCCAAAAAAUUUUAAAUUUAAAAGUUGAAGAUGGUGAGAAAUAUGAUCCUACACUGUUCAUUAAAAUAUUAAUUUCUUGAAUGACCAAAAGGCUAAAACAAGCCAUCCUUCGGUUGGAGAUGCCUAAGGAGAGACUAGAGAUAGAGAGUUUCCUAUAUAUGAUUUUCAUUAACAAGAUUGAAAUGAUUUCAGAGAGAAGAUCAAGUAUGGUUAUUUUUAUUUUGUAGAGUGUAGACAUUAUAACUAUACAUUCAUAAUAACAUGAGUAAUGUUAUAUUUAUCACAUUUGUACUCUUUCUCUGAUAAAGGUAGGGUUCAUCAACACAUGUGGGUUCUAUUUGCCCAUCAACACAUGCGGAUCUCAUUUUUAUUAGAAAAAUAGUACAAAUAUGGUACGGAAAAUAUGAUAAGAUCGCAAUUUUGUAAUAACAUAUAUACUCAACUAUUUAUAUACCGACCCAUCUCCUUUUAGUGUAGAUAAUAUCGUUUGUUAAAAAAAAUGUUGAACUUGUCAUAAUCAUUGAAUCCAUUUACCAUGAACAAACGGCAGUUUACUAAACUUGCCCUCAGAGUAUAUAUAAAAGGUGAAUCACAAUCUAUUGCAUUAAUAUAAGGAAACAAUUUAUAGGGUUUGACGGGUGACUUAAUAUGCUAUAUGGCACAAUGAAAAUUAAGUUCACACUUUAUCCCAAAUAAGGUGUUGCACCUUUAAUUUAUGGAUGCUGGUUUGACGUGUGACCGAAAUAAUCAAAUUGUAGCCAUUAAUCAUUUUACAAGUAAUAAUAUGUAGUUUUUACUGUUUACGAUUCACACAACAAUCUGCUAGGAAGUAGAAAAUGCAGUACUUGUCCCUCUCACAGAAGUCAUGAAUAAUUAUCAAAUUCAAAGAUAAAGAAAAACCACACAAUUUACAAGAGGAAAGAAAAUGAAGGGAUAAAGAAAGUAAGAAAGGAAUACCUCUAUGGGAGGACUCUUAUUUGCUUCAGAUGCCUACAAUAUUCAUCAUAUAAACACUGAUUAAGUAGUCAUCGAAAACCAAAACAAAUGUCGAACAUAGGGUGAAAAACAGAAAGAAUAACCGCAGCUCAUCAUACCAAUAGAGAUAGAACUGCCCGAUGCCCAAGUAUGACUGAAAAAUGGCAAUCCAAACAUGGCGCCUUCUAGCUCAUCAAACUGUCAAAACCUAGGUUCCACCAAAAAGAUACAAGUCACCUAGUUACUUGUAAAAUAAAAAUCUGUUUCAAAAUAGUGGAAAAUAUUAUUAACAUUGUUCAAAGUCCACAUUGUUGUACCUACCAAGAAACAAGAAGGAUUGUAUCUUAUCAUGAAAAAGAACAUAGGUACCUUUUCAAUUGUAAUUGUACAAAAAUGAGAGACCACUUCCGAACUUCUCUUGGAACUUCAAUCAAUUUCUGCCCACUUUUAAAUGCCUUGACAUACUUAAGCCUAUUUCUUUGAGCUUCAGUUUUGGCUUCUGAUGCCUUUAAAUUUCUUAAAGAUUCUUACCAAGUUUUACAAACUCACUUCUAUACAACCAUUUGUCAGUAUACAUACCAUUUUCUUUGAGCUUCAGUCUUUGCAACACCAAAACCCCCCAAAUAGACCCGGAAUUUUGCAAUGUGCAGGGAAUAUACAAAAAAAACCCUCCUAUCCAUCUAAAACGAAAUCAGAACCCAAACCACAAUCAAAAUCCGUAAAAUUAAUUUAGCCAACCCUAAAUCUAAUAAUUCUAACAAAUAUUAUAGUAUCAAUUGAGAGAGAAUUUGAGAAGAUACCUAGAGAUGAAAGGAAGAGCGUUUCCUCUGAUAGGGGUUCCGUGAAAGCAUCUGUUGACCAGAAAAGAAAAGGCAAAAAACCCCAAAUUACAUAUCAAGCAAUUAUAGAUAGAUCGAACCUUGAAAAUUGAAAUUUCAAACAAGAGAAAGGUUAUAAACUUACAACGAUCUGGGUGUUGGUUACUGGGUUUGGAUUUGGGUUUCUGAUAAGAGAGAGAAUCGUAUGAGGAACCGAUAGAGGAACUGCACCGGCAACAGAGAGCAACUGAUAUGGUGGAGAAUAGAGAUGGGCAAAAUAUCCCGGUUAUCCGCCCAUUUAAAGUUCACAGUUACGGUUAUGGUAAUUGAACGGUUAUGGGUACUACCCGUGGUUAUAACGGGUAUCUAUUGGUUAUGGGUAUUAUCCGCGGUUAUAACAGGUAUUCAUUUACCCAUUUAAUUUCAUAUAUGUAAAAUUUAUAAUAUUUUUAACAGUUAUAACGCGUUUUUGUAUUUGUUGCCAAACUUUUCGUAUACAAAAAAUUUGAAGCACAAGAAGCCAACAAGGAGAAAGAUCAAAGAGCUUACUUGAAGCUUAUGAUCUAUCCUGCGGUUAAUAGAAAGUACUGGUAUUAGUGUAGAAAAAUGUUUGUUUUUAGAAGCUUUAUUUUGUAAUCAUAUGAAUUAUAAUUAAAGACUUGCUUGGGUGUAGUAAAAAAAUAUCGUUUGUAAACUAUUAUUUCAAUUAUUAGAAUUGUAUGAUGACCUAAAUGAUUAAAAUAGAGAAAUGCAUGCUAAAAUGUAUUUAUAACAGUGUUUAAUUGUCAGAUUUUUUUUUUUUUUGUAAUUUUCAAGUUGUUAAAAAAAACAUGCAGAGAGGUGAAAAAAGGGAUUAAAAAAUGAUAAACGGGUUCAAAACGGGUAAACGGGUAAAUGAUUAUGGUUAAAUAGGUAAACGGUUAUGGGUAAAUGGGUACACGGUUAUGGGUAUGAGUAUAACCGUUUAUGCAAUUACCCAACGGGUAAACGGCUAUGUGGGUAUGAACAUAAAUGGUUAUGAGUAAAUAACCGCGGUUACCCGCCCGCUAUAACCAUUGCACAUCCCUAAUAGAGAACAUACGAGAAUAGCCGCUUGGAUGGUCAAUCCAAGAAGAGAAAAUCUUGCCACAAUCACGGUACUUGAAAAAAAAAACAAUUUUAAAGGAGGGAAACAAUCGCGCCUUUUUUUUAAUAGACUCUGUCGACGAUAUUCUUGACAAAUAGUCGGGUGAGCUUAUUUUUCACAACAUUUUAUUUAGGACUAGGUUCGGUUGGCAAAUCGUGUCAAAUUUCUUGUGCCAUUUGCCAGCCACAUAUACAUAAUUACCAAAAAUCAGUUACCGUUCGCCAACCAUCUUCUUGCGGUUGCCAAAAAUCGGUUCAACCAAAAUGAUUGGCUGGUUCGGUUGGUAAAUGGCACAACCGGUGGUUUCCACUUCUUCCUCGCUAUCUUCUAGUUGCAAGGGCUCAAUUUGAUUUUCAGAUUGGGAUGCUUGUUCGGUUGCAUUGUGUGGUUCAUUUUGGGUUAAUCCAUGUUGUGCACUAGCAAUUAAUUGGCUAGACUCCAUCAUCCUAAACAUAAGCAACACAUAUACAUUCAAAAUCAUAUAUAUGUACGUGUAUAUAUAGUAUCAGUAAUCAUCAUGUUAUCAAUUUUGUUAACAAUAUUUUCUAUAUUGAUUAUGGCAUGAAUCAUAUACAUAUACAUAUAUUUUUUAAACCCUAAAACUAAGGAGUUAUUUAUUUUCUAAGCCCUAAAAUUGAGGAGUCAAGCAUGUAAAAAAAUACUUAAAAUAUCUAAAUAGAAAAAGAAAAAAAAAAAAAAAAAUAUAUAUAUAUAUAUAUAUAUAUAUCGGUAGGUAUGGCAUACCGCCGACAUACAAAAUCAAUUACCAAAGCCAUGCCAUUAAUUGUCGGUUCGGUAAAAUGCCAACCGAUUAUGAAAAAAUGCCAAAACUAUACCAUACCAUUUUGAGCCAACCGGUAUGGUUCGGUCGGUAAAUCGGCUUAUGGCAAAAUUUCUCACCCCUAAUUUUAUUUGUCGCCUUAAACCUAUUGGUUUCUAGCCUACAAUUUGGAUAUUUUGUUGGGGAAAGAUUUUUGUACCAAUAAAAUUUUGCUUUGUCAGCUUAGGAUUUGUCGGCAAAAUGACAUUUUCUAGUCGUUAUAAUAUUAGGUAGAUCAAAUUUGUAAACUAUGUGAUGUGUCACCAAUAGGAAAAAAAUUCAGUGUGCUGAAAAUACAGUCUAGAACACCAAGUGUCAUAAUAUAUACUUGGUUGGAAAUUUUUUAUUUUCAAGUUUCCAACUAAUUGUAUUGUAACAGUUGGUGUUCCAAGCUAUUUUCUCGAUGCGUUGGAAAAUCUCUUCACCAAUUAAAAAUAAACAUAUUAAUUAACACUUAAGUAAUAAUCAAAGUAUCAACAACUACGUCAUAAAAUUUACGAAAUAUGAUCUUAAUUAAUGAUCUCCAUGGCAUUACCCUUUAUCUUAGCGUAUACGUACGCCUUCACAUGUUUAUUUGCUGAUAUGCAGCUUGAGUAAAAAUUUCUUUUUAAGAACAUAUAUGUGAAUAUAAACAUAUAUAUCUAGUGAUCCAUGUUGCGUUAUUUAAAAAUAAACAAAUUAAUUAAUUAAUAAAUGAACUGUGUGCAUGUCUGUGUAGAGUAAUCCAUAUGCAUGCUUGAAUCCUGAUCACCACGAAACCAUAAUAUAAGCUACUCAAGGCCCGGAAGCUAGGAUUGAAGAGAAAAACACCCAGUCAGAUUAAGCCAAUAUAUCAAAGUUAAUACUUCGAAAUGUAAGCUUUAAGAUAGAAAAAUCACUUACUACCUUGAGCAGUCGAGCUUCUUCAAUGGCAUGAAGCUUUUAGCAUGAGAUUGACUGCAUCACAACUAAAAUUUUCUCUUGGAAACUACAUAAGGAAUAGCAUGUAUACCUAUAACGUUGAGAAAGUACGCCAAUUUUUUCCUUCUGCACAUUCAUGUUUAAAAGUAAUCCUCAAAUGAACUUGCCCACAAUGAAAUGCAAUUUGAGGUAGUCGAGUGUGUUCCAUUUCCAUUCCAUGGGAAUUACUACUAAACUUUGAGAUGGUAAAGGAUUCAUGAAAUUUUUUACUUUUGAGAUAGCCUCUUUAACAUUUCUCGACUAUAACAAUGAGGGAAUACUUCACCUUGUAUCAAACAAGGGAGAGCGAAAAUCAACUACUAAUAGCAUCACAGAGCCAGCAGAAGAUUGAGGAGGCCAUGAAGAGGAGAGAGAAAAUACACUCUUUUUUUUUGUAAGGACAGAGAUAAUACAUUCAGUAAGGGGUACUGAUGUUUAUAUGCAAUGCUGAUUAGGUUUAAAUAGUCCUAUUUAUUCUGUACAGUGCCAAUAUUACCACCCGUUAGUACACUUUCAAGACACUGUACUCCAGUGUGUGCGCUAUGCAGUACGUAGUACUCCUCAUUUUUUGGGGAAAUUCAUUAUUGGUCUUCAUAUCUUCUUUAUUUUCCUUUUCCUCAUUGUGCCACGUGUUUAAAUCACUAAUUGUAGGUAAUCUUUCAAUUUAAUUAAAUCUUAUGUAAAAAAAGAUAUUUAAAUAUCAUUUAGUAUUACAAGAUAGUGAUAUUCCUCUUUAGUAUAAAAUUUUUAUAAUUAAAAGCGUUCAGUUUUUUAAUCUUCAUUUGAAUACUAUCUAUAAAGAAAAAUUAUUCGAAUAAGAGAUCGUUUAUGCAUUCAAAUGUACAAAAUGCAUCGACAGUGUGAGAACGAAUUAAUAUAUUUUUGAUGAAGUACAAUUAUUGAAUACAUUUGAAUGAUCAAAUGAUAUAUGAUUCAAAAUACAUAUUAAGAUAAUAAAUAUAAGUGAAUUGUUAUUAGCACUCCAAGAAUCUUAUUAUACACUCUAAAUUUUCUAUAUUUUGAAUGAAAAAUAAAUUUAUGAAGAGUGUAGAAUGAGAUUUUUUAAUGCUAAUAACACUUCUCUAAAUAUAAUUAUGAAAUUAAUAAAGUAAAGAUACAUGACCUCGUGAAUGAUGUAUGUAUUAUUCAAAAAAUUAUUAAAAACAAAUUGAAAAAGGACGCUGUUGUUGCCACCACUUAUGCAAUGAUCGUCGCUGCCAUCACCAACCCCCAACACCCCAUUACAGCUCAUAAAAGCACAUCAUAAGCAAUUUAUGAAAUAAAUUUACUGGAAUACUAAUUUCCCCCUUAGUUUAGGUCACCAAUGUUUAAAUUUAGGGGUGUGAUAUGCACAUACCUUUUUUUGCUUCUCUCACACUUUUUUUGUUGUUGUCGAAUCAGAUGAAUUGAAGAAGAUCAAUUGACAGAAAUUAACAAGGGGUGUAUGAAAAGUAAAAAUGGAUGUGUAGAUAACACAUCCCUAAAUUUAUCACAACUUUCAUUCCAAAUUUAAUUUUUAUGCGUAGUUUUGUUUGUUCAAAUUUACUUUGACAUUUCAAUUAGUAUUAAAAUCUAAUUUAAAUUUUAGCGUUCAAGCUAGAAAAAGUGUUCCAUUUAAUAUUUAAUCUCAGUUUUUCUCUUUAUUCUUUUAUUCCGAUUUGGUUGCAUCGUAUCUCCAUUUUUCUCGGUGUUGUAUGUUCAUAAGGCCUGGGAAACGUUGGCACGGAGUGAAGGGUACUCACUUUUUGGCCCAAAAUGCAUAAGGCAUGUAGAUAUGUUAAUCAAAUUUUGUAAACUAAAGGAUAUAGAAGUUGAUACUUAGAUUAUAAUUUAAGAUAAUACUAAAGAGACUAAAUUUGCAAACUAAAUGAUGUGUCACCAAUAAAAAUAAGCACGUUUAUCAACGCUUAAGUAAUAAAUCAAUCAUCAACUUUCAUGUCCUUUAGUUUCCAAAAUUUAAUAUACAAAUUUAGUCUCCCAAGCAUUACUCUAUUACUUAAGUAUUGAUUAACAGACUUAUUUCUUAUGGUGACAUAUUAUUUAAUUUACAAAUUUAGUCAACCCAACAUUACUCUUUUGAAAUUGUCUUGUCCACUGAUAUAAUUCUAUUUUUCUUGUGAUCAAAACUUCAAAUGUUAGCAAGUCGCACGUAAAGUCACUUCUGAGAGAAUGUGCUCACAUUGUAGUUGAAAGAUUAUGUGGCUAGCAACAUUACAAAUUUAAUUUGGUAUAAUUUAAAAUAUAGAUUGAGGAAAAAAUGAUCACAUUAACUAGAAACUGAAAAGGUUUCAGCACAGUUUGUUCAAGCAAGAAACUCAAUUUUGAUGCUACCGAUCUUAACAGCCUGAGCGCCGUACCUGGGCACUAAAGUCACCACCACACUCUCAUCAUCUUCAGCACCCAAAUCCUCCAACAGGUCCGUUAACCCCAACCUUAAACAACUCUUGCUCUUUUCCUUCUGCUUAUGUGGAACACUCACAAAACUCCCAGCAAACUCGCUCUUGUCGGGUCCACUCGGUGCCGCAUCCUCAUCGUCCACGUCAUUCACAUACACAUCAAACUUCACAGCCACAUCUUUGUCAAGCUCAAUCCCCUGAAUCACCAGUAUCUCCUCCUCAUCCUCUUUCUCCUUCUUGCUCCUCUUCUUCGGCUUCGGCCUUGACACCACCGUACUUAUCUUUGUCUCCAAAUUUAUUGGAAAAUCUUUACCCGCCACCACCUUCCCCGAUGACGUCGUCUCAGCGGCCUUCGCCACUCCAGCCGCCUUUGCCUUUCUCGCAAGCUUUGUCCGACGUGGCGUCGGUCUAGACUUGAGCCAUGGAAUCUCAACAUCUUCAUACGUAUACCCUAGCUUUUUAUUAUCAAGAGUGUCCCUCACCGUGACCCUAACAAGCUCAGCAUUCUCGUCAUAAAACAAAAACCCCGUAUCCAACCAAUCCUUAUCGUUAAUAUCUUUAUUUUUAGUCCCUAUACUUUUCCAAAUAUUCCACAUUCGAUCUAUAUUCGAAUGGUGCGAAAAAAAUAUUGGAUCCCUUGCAGCGGAGUAAAAAUUCCCCAUGUCUUCAAAAUUAGGUUGCGUGUUAUCUCCGGUCCAUGUAUGAACCGGACCAUGUGGGGUCGUUUCGAUUGAACCGGCCCCUGGAUCUGGUUCGGUGCCAGCCCUGUAGGGCGAACCAAAGAACAACAGCGGUUUCUUGGAGUUGGAAACCAUCUGCCUAUACAUGAUUUUGAGGUUGGCGUCGAUUUGAGCAUCCUUGGACAUUGUUUCAUCCGUGCCGUUAAAGUCAAGAUCGAUGAGAGUCGGCGGCUGAUGGCUGGCAGCGCGGAGCUCGUCGUAAAGCGGAGAGUCCGGGUUAGCGAACAAGGCAGGGAGUUGCAUGCCAGCUGGCGCGUCCCAGUUCCAAAACGGCAACGCGAACGUCGGAUCGUCUAUGAGUUUGGCCAAGAUUCUUUCGUGGAAGUAUAGGUAGUAACGAUGGAAGGGGAAGAAAAGCCAGGAUUGAUGGAUUUGGAGCUCGAGGUUGGGGAAGCCGACUUGAUCGUACGCGCCGUCGCAAUAGGCACAGUGGAUAUCGGCUUGCUGGGUGAAGCUACGCGGAUCGUCGUCCGGGAGGGCUUUCAUGAGCUCGAUGGCUUUUGAAUAUUUUUCGAUGUAGGCUUUAUCCACGGUGUGAGCUGCCGGCCUGACGCGGAGUUUGGUAGGGGAGGGGAAUUUGAAGUCUACGAUUUUUUGGGACGUUGGCGGGCAACAGUUGGUCGGGACUGCUCCACUUGGAAAGUCCGCACCUCCGCAUUUGGCUAGGUCAGGCGGCGACACUGGCUUUGCAACAGCGAAGGGGUCGCUGCCAAGACCAGCCACUCCACCGUACAGGCUUCCGAGACCUAUAAGUACAUGUCUUCUGUCUAGGUUUACUGGAGAAAGGUUUUCAUGGUCGUGAUCGUUGGAGCUAGUGGAAGGGUUUUUGUUUUGGUCACUACUAUUAUUCGUGGCUUUGCAUGAGACGGCUUGUAAAUUGGAAUGCCUAGGGUUUUCAAAUAAGGAAAUUCGGUGAUACUUUUGGGAGAAAGGGAAGAGAGAAGUUGUGGGGAUGAUACUUGUGGUGGAGGUGACGAGUGGAGCUGACAUAGAAGCCAUGGUUACUUGACUCUGAAUACUACGUUGUAUAGGCUUUGCUUUUAUAAUGUGUUCUAGGUUUUACUUUUCUUUGCACAGGUGGCAGGCCGUACACAUUGGCGGUCCUUAAGGGUUUGACGAGGAAUACUACGUAGUCAUUUAGUACAGGGCAACCAUGCACUAUAGCACGUGGCAUGUAAUAUUUACGUAGUCUCAGAAGGUGAAGCGGUUUUGGGCUUCUUGUGUACCAAUAAUAUUUACGUACUCAUUAUUCCACUGGAUGGAUUGCGUGCACGUGAUCUUUAUUCAAACAAAUCACUAUUGACCAUAUAUUGCAAUUGGUUAAUGUUAGGCAAAUUAAAUUUUUACAUCAAAUAAUGUGGUUGCUGAUUAUUGAAUUAUUAUUUAAGUUUGAUUAAUGUGCUUAUUUUUUAUCGGUAAUACAUCAUUUGAUUUGCAAAUUUGAUUUACCUAAUAUUACCAGUUAUAAUUUGUAUAAAUGGACUGGUACCUAACAUUACCAAUUGUAAUUUGUAUAAAUGGACUCGUACCUAACAUUACCGGUUGUCCCAAGAGCACACGCUACUGCUCAAGAAGCAAAGUUCUUAUUUGCCCAAAAAAAAUCAUGGUUUUUUAAUUGAUGCUCUCAUUUUAAUUUACUAGCCCCUUACUUGGCCCUUUUUAUUUAUCAUUUUAUACAUAUUAAUAUUUUGUUUGUAAAAUAUAUUAGUGUUAGUUUUAUCAAAAUUAAAAAUAAAUAAAAAACUUAGCUUUAGUAUUUAGUUAUUGAAAUUGUAAAAAAAGUGAUAAAGUAUUGGGUGCUUUGUUUGAAAAUUUUCAAAAUGAUAUUGUUUUUACCACUGAACCCCUGUUAUAUACAGUGAUGGCUAAUUUGUCAAGUUCUACGAAGUUGGGAUACCCAGCGUUUUAGCAUAUAACAUAGCUUAGUAUUUCAAGCAUAAUUAAUUAACGAAAAAUUAGUAUCCGGUCCCUAGUUUUUACUGUUCAUUGACUAAGACCUUAUUAGUUCUCAAAUUUUGAUUCAAGUCCCUAGCAUUAAUGUGAUAAUGAAUUUACAUGUUUAUUAUAUAAUUUUUUAAUAUAAAAAUUAGUAAUUAAUUUAGGGUUUAAUACUCACACCUCUAUUAAACUUCUAAUUAAUUUUCAAUUCAGACAUUUCCAAAAUAAUAAAAAAUUAAAUUAAAUUAAGUUUGUACCUAUUAGUUUUUUUUUAUAUAUAAAAAGAUUCUCAAUUUUUAAUCUUAAAUGUACAUCUUAAAUGUACCCAUUCUCAAAUAUAUCAAUUUGUUAUAUGUAAAAUGUACCCUUUUUUAAUAUAAAAUCCAUUCAAAAUUUUUAAUCCAUGUUUAAACUUAUAUGGGUACAUUCUUUUUCGUUGAUUUGAGAAUGUAUCCAUGUUUUGGUACAAUAAAUUUUUUGUUAAUUUUGGUUAAUGUACCCAUACAUAUAUGUACACACACACACACACACACACACACAAUAUAAUAGAGAGUAUAAUUUAUAUUUUAUUAUUUUUAAUCCCAUAAAUGAUGGGUUUUAUUUAAAAUCUCAUUAAUAUAAACAAUUAUAAAUUUCAAUUUUUAAUUUUUAAUUUAAAAAAUAUAGUAACUUACAUUAUUACAUUAAUGUCAGGGACCUCAAUAAAAAACUAAAAACUAACAAGGUUUCAAUCAAAGAAUAUUGAUAGCUAGGGACCACAUCCAAAGUGUCCCUUAAUUAAAGGGUAAAUUACAUAGUAACCCCUCAGGUUUGAUGUCUAUUACAACCCCAUACAACAUCUUUAAAACAUUUCACUUUCAUACCUCAAGUACUAUUUUAUUUCAAUAUAAUACAUCUGUUAGAUUUUCCAUCCAUUAAUCCGUUAAAUGCUGACAUGGAUACCACAUUUGUGCCACGUGGCUGCCAAAUGCGUGUCAUGUGGCAAAAAUAAUAAUUUUUAAAUUUAAAAAAAAAUGAAUCUUCAACCCAAAAAAAAAAAAAAAAAAAAAACCCCAAACCCAGAUCCCAUCAACCCCCCCCAAACGAUUAUCCCUUCCCCAUAUCCCCCAUCCCACCCCCCAACCCCCCCUCUGCGACCAACCUUACCAUAGCGCCCCCCAACCUCGCGACCCACCUCACUCAAGGCCCUAAUCCACACUACCUACAACCCAGAAACGAAAAAAAAAAACAAAAAACAAAAAACUCAUCUCCCUUUCCCUGCAACCCAAAUCCCAUCUUCCCUAAUGGGUAUGGAUUUAAGAAGUGGGGUGUGUAGAGGAGGGAAGAGGGUGGGUGCGGAGGAUGGGUAUGGUGGGUUGCAAGGAAGGGGGGUCGGGUAAGAUGAAGAUGGGUUUUUUUUUUCUCUCUCUCUUCUUCUUCUUCUGGGUUGCAAGUUGUAGGUUGGGGUUUUUUUUUGGGGGGGGGGGGGAGGGAGGGAGGGAAGACGACGUGGGGUUUGGUUUUUUUUUUUUAAUUUAUUUAGAAGAUUUAGGUUUUUUGAAAAAAAAAAAAAAAUUCCACGUGGCACAAAUGUGGCAGCCACGUCAGCAUUUAACAGAUUAAUAGAUGGAAAAUCUAACGGAUGUAUUAUAUUGAAAUAAAAUAGUACUUGAGGUUAGAAAGUGAAAUGUGUUGAUGCACAAAACCGAAGGUCUUUGAACAACGUAAAUCCGAUCGUGAAUAUGCAAGUAAUGUAAAUAACACAAGAUGUAUCGUGGUUCACUCCAAUGUUUGGGCUACGUCCACACUGAUUAUUGUAUUUCUCUGAGAGGUGAGGGGGAGAGCUUUGAGAAAGCUUAGAGCUUAGGGGAUGUGAGAAGGCUUAAGAAUUGGCCUCCCUUAUUUGUGAGGGUGAUGAGUCCUUUUAUAGAAUAAGGGAUCCUCACUUAUUACAUAUUUGCCCAUUCCUUUAUUACAUAAUUACAUUUAAGUCCCCUGAGUACUUGUACAAGGUCUAAAUACGGAGGCCCUAAGUAUGGUACAAACAGUAGUCCCCCAAGUCUUCAGUCAAGAGAGUCUUUUGGCUAGAGACUUGAAAUUCUGUCCAUGUGUGAGCCGAAAUAACUAGAUGUCGUCUAGAACUGAUAUUUGAUAUGCGGCAGUGCCCAUUUUGAAAUAAUGCUCAACUAGAAGUAGCACAUGCUGCGAGGCUGCUCUGCUUGUGUUGCCUUGGUUGGCUCGACUUGUGGCGUUGAAGGUGAGAGAGUCCCUUUUAUAGAAUAAGGGCUCGCUCCUCAUUACAAAGAUGAUGGGUUAGUUGGUGCUUGCGGUGAGGCGGAUGCUCAGCUGGCGGCGAUGCUCUCUAAUGAUAGUGAGGGAGUCCAUUUUAUAGAAUAAGGGAUCGCUCCUCAAUACAUAAAUAAUAGGUGCUCUCUAAUGAAAGUAAGGGAGUCCCUUUUAUAGAAUAAGGGCUCACUCUUCAAUACAUAAAUAAUGGGCUAAGUCCCCUAAGUAUUUUUUAUGAGGCCUAAUUGAGGCCCAAUAUAUGGUACAUAAUGUAGUCCCCCAAGUCUUCGGUCAAUAGAGUCUGUUGGCUGGAGACUUCAAAUUGAAUCCAUGUAUGGGCCGAAGUGGCGGUUGUUCGGAAGCGGUAUUUGUAUACCCUGCACUGAAGCUUUAUAGGUGAAGCUUUGCAAGUGAAGCUUUGAAGCUGGAGCUCAGUAAAUGAAGCUUUUGAAGCUAGAGCUUUUGUAAAUGAAACUUUUGAAGCUGGAGCUCUAUAAAGGAAGCUUUUGUAAAUGAAGCUUUUGAAGCUGAUUCACAUGAGUGAUGCUCAUGAAUGUUUAUGUUGAUUGAUAUGAGUGAUGCUUAUGGAUGUUGACAUGAGUGAUGCUCAUGGAUGUUGACGUGAUGCUCAUGAAUGUUAACAUGAGUGAUGCUCAUGAAUGUUUAUGUAUGAUUGAUAUGAGUAAUGUUCAUGAAUGUUUAUGUAUGAUUGACAUGAGUAAUGCUCAUGUAUAAUUUGAAGUACUGGGCAUACUUUUGAUUACCUGGUUGGCGAUAAUAGCGGCAGGGUGCCGAAUAAUUUUUUGUAGUACUGGGCGUACUUUUGGUCACCUGGUUGGUGAUAAUAGCAGCAGGGUGCCGAAUAAUUUUUUGUAAUACUGGUCGUCCUUUUGGUCACCUGGUUGGUGCUAUUUUGAGCUUAUGGGCCUUCGCCCUCUACACAACAUUCCAGCCUAUUUAUUUUGGGCUUUACCGUUUUUUUUAAUUACCCUAUGAUGGGGUUUAUACAGAUGUCUCCGAAAGAUAUGAAAAAUAAAUUACAUCAUUCAAAAAUAAAUCCGACCCUCUGCUCAAUGGGUCACGCCAAUAAUUCUUUUUUUUUAUGCAUGCCAUCACCACCGCAAUUAUGUCUGCUUCUUUUUAUCUUCUUUUGCUUUCUGCUUUUGCUUUUACUUUAUCUUUCUCUUUUGGCAUAUGGCAGACAACGCCAAAACGGAAUAAUGAAUUAUUAUGAGAACAUGAAUCUUAUCUUUUGCCUGGUUUUCCACUAGUGCUCGUGGUAUUCUCAGGAGAUUGGAUCUGGGGGUAGGCGACUACCCCAGCACCUUGCCCUGAUACGUAAUAGCCUGAUGUCCCACUGCCAUCUCCAUACUGGAAGGUGUACGAACAAUGGUUAUUCUGUGUGGAACAAAUAGAAUCCGAUUGAGAUUCAAGACUGCACCUUCGAUCUGAGCAAGAAAUGAAUUGUGACGUUGAUGAACUUCUAGGAGGAGAAGCAGAGGAUCUUUGACUAUGAUGAUCUUUGAAUUCCAGAUGAAACUGAAUAAAAUGCAGGUUGUGGAGCUUGAUGUGGGCCCAGAUCUGCUUGACAGCUUUGGGGCGGGAGGAUUCCUUGACACUGAGGAAGAUUCCCAGAGCUGGAGGGAUGAGAAUCGACUUCAUAAUCCCGAUGGUGGGUUUGUGCUUGGUCGAAAGAUCAUUUCUGGCAGGGGAAAACAUGUACCAUACCUAUUGCAAAUCUUGCAAAUUCUCUGCUUCUCCAUGGAAGAUGAAGAGCAUCGAAUCUCUGUUUUCUCUCUCUCUCUCUAAAACGUUUUCGUUAUAGAGUGCCCCAAUAGAAGUGGACGGGCAGUGAGCAUGCCAUUUAGUGCCUCCUCCAAGACAGUAACUGAUACGGUGGUCUUUAUUGGCACUCCAAGUUUACUAAAAAGGGCAGCAAAAAUAGUAUUUACAGCACCCAAACUUGAAAGAUCUAGCUCCAACUAGUGGCUUUCUGUUUCAACAGCCUGAAAGCCGGCAGUGUCAUACCGACGCCGUUUGUCUGGAUCAAAUAAUAUAUUAUAAGAAAACAUGACCUUCUUGAAGAUAUCAGCUGUUUUAGAGUCAUUAGCAUUUUUGUCAGGAUGGUACUUGAGAGCCAUUUUCCGGUAAGCACUUUUGAUUUCCUGGUUGGUGGAAUUCCUAUUGAGGCCGAGGACCGCAUAAGGGUUUUGUCGGAGCUGCUUCUUAGCUUCUUGCUUCUCCGAUUUUGAUCGGCUGCCCUGCAUUUUUGAAAUUGACGGUCAAUUUCUUCACAAAACCCUAGAAAUUGCCUCUCGAUUACCUCCGAAACACAUAAUUCACGACUCUUGGUUGAAAUUUUUUUUUUUCAUUUCAAAGAAGUGGCGGAGGUAAAUCAGUUGUCACAUAGCACCGGAGCAUGAGGAAAACCUAGAAAACCAAGAGGCAGAGAGACUCCAUGCACAUCUAACCUGGAACCUUGCAGGAGAGAGCAGAGAGAAAGAGACAAGAAAGAUUGAGGGAGAAGCGAUCUUGGUGCAUCGUCUGUGAUUCCUUGGUGAUUUGCUCGAUCGGGACUCUGAAUUCGUGCAAGUCAUUGCUGUUAAGCAAGAAUCGCGAGGAGUCGGAGAGCUUGGAAAUCGAGAAGGAGAGAGGGCCUUUAGUCAGGGCUUGGAGGGUGUCGGACUCCGUCGGCCAAGAUUGGUGCACGGUCACGGCGUCUGGGCCCAUGGCGGUUGUGUAAAUGGGGGAGGUUCUAGGAGUCCAAGAAAGAAGAAGAAGCAGCGACCAUAGAUCUGGGAGUCCAUGGCGCUUGAAAGAUACGGCGAACAAGUCGGACUUGCUGCUGGGCAGCUGGCGGUGAUAAUGUUGGUGCAUGGGUUUUGGAGUGGGAGUGUUUGGAAUGGGUUUUUUGUUUAGUUUCUAUGUGUUUUUUCACAGAGAGAGAGAGAGAGAAGUGAUGGUGUUUAAGGGAUGAGUUUUGGAGCUUAGUGAAUGCUUUUUCUGGAAAAGCCCAGUGAGGUUUGUGGGUUUUUGCAGAUUUUGCAGAUUCGCGGUGGAGGUGAAAGAAUGAAAGAGAACCGACACAACUUUUCGUAUUGAUUCCCACAUACGGCGCCAAAUGUUGAUGCACAAAACCGGAGGUCUUGGAACAACGCAAAUCCGACCGUGAAUCUGCAAGUAAUGUAAAUAACACAAGAUGUAUCGUGGUUCACCCCAAUGUUUAGGCUAUGUCCACACUGAUUAUUGUAUUUCUCUGAGAGGUGAGGGAGAGCUUUGAGAGAGCUUAGAGCUUAGGGGAUGUGAGAAGGCUUAGGAAUUGGCCUCCCUUAUUUGUGAGGGUGAGAAGUCCUUUUAUAGAAUAAGGGUUCCUCACUUAUUACAUAUUUGCCCAUUCCUUUAUUACAUAAUUACAUUUAAGUCCCCCGAGUAUUUGUACGAGGUCUAAAUACGGAGGCCCUAAGUAUGGUACAAACAAAAUGUUUUAAAGAUGUUGUAUGGGGUUGUAAUAGACCUCAAACUUGAGGGGUUACUAUGUAAUUUACCCUUAAUUAAAAUAAGGGCAAAUGAAGAGGAUGGUUGAACUUGUUAAGUUUCUUAAGUGUGUCUAAUUUAAGUGUGUUGUUAAUAAACAUUUAUUAUGGAGGCAAAGAGAGGGAAGGUGCGGCAUAGAAAGAGAAGAGAGAGAUAUGUAAUUGUGAGUUGUGUUUUAUUCCAUCCCAUUGUGCAUUUAUUUAUAUUAGUUGGGAAAGUUAAUUCUUUAACCUUUUAGGAUUACAACUCUAAUAGGAAAAUAUAUAAUCUAAAAGAUAUGGUAGAAUCCCAUAAGAAUAUCCUAGAUAUGUUAGGAUUUACACAAUCAUAUUCCUAUUCCAAUAGGACUGCAAAACAUUUGUAUUUUUUUAUAAUUUUUUUGAUAAUUUGUUGGCAUUUUCAAUUUUUGUUAACAUUGAAAAUAUAACGGUUCAGAUGAAAAACCUUUGGAAAUCCAACAUUGAAAAUAUAACAGUUUGACGUUGGGCUGUGGUGAAGGAGGCUGGGCUGUCACGUGGGUGGGGCCCUCCCUCUCCCACUUGGUGAUUCAAAGGGCGCAGGCCCGUGCAACAAUUGAGGCAGCCCAUAGAGAUCCUGCGUUUCACCCAUUUGCCAUUUUUUCCACCGCUGGAGCACCAAAAUUCGGUCCAAAGGCAGGGGUUCCAAUUGCAUGGGCAAUUUGGUUUCCGCUGGAGGUGCUCUUUGUCGACUUUGUUUAUUCUUUCUUUUUAGCUUUGCAGUAAUAUUGAAGUAAUCACUCCAAUUGUAUCCGAACUUUUGUUGUCCAUCAAUUUGUAUCAAAACUAUUGGUUAAUUUACAUAUUCAGACUAACCUUCUCAUUAUUUUUAGUAUUUUUAUCAUAAAUAAUAUCUAAAAUAAUCACAUUUUAUUCAACAACCACUCAAUUAAAAAUUAAUUAAUGUUGUUUCUAAACCAUUACAUCGAGCUUUUGUAAAUACACAUCAAUAUUGCAGCGAUCCGAGGCAUUGUUUUCUACGCCUUGGAUUUGGCGAAUUGGAAAAGAGAAGAGUUACGAGUAAAAGUCCCUCACAUUAAGAGGGCUCCUCCUCGGGGAGAUGAAGAUGAUGAUCUUUUGUUUUUGUUUCUUAAUGAUUAAUCCACGCAGCAACAUAUAAUUAGAUUGUUGGGAUCUACUCAAGUUCCAUAUCACGCACUAAUAUAAAGUUUGACAAACGAAACGAAAUAUGUGCUCUCGAAAGCAAAAUGAGGGCACUGCUCCAAGAACAGGAAGGGCUCCUUGUCGAGGUUGCCAUCCGCCAUGAGGGAAAACCGGAAGAAGUUAGACAACAAUGAUGACAUCGAUUUGCAACACCCAUAUUGGGACAUCAAACUGUGAAAUAAAUACUCAAAACUCCUGGAAAGUCCUCGGGACAACAAACUUUUAUCUCCUUCAAAUAUUUCAUUUUACCAAGUUUUAUGUUUGAAGGGAGGGAAAAAAAGAGAUGAGAGAAUCCUACUCCUUAUUCUUGAAUAUAUUCAGGAAUAACUAUUGAAUAAAGAGAGAAUGGAAGGGGAUCGAAAGAGGAGGGAAGAUAAUUCUAGUCCCAAACAUAAAAAGGACCACAACUUUUAAAUUAUCAGCACGAUCAUCAUCUGAUUGAAGAGACCAUUCAUUGUGAAACAUAUCGUCAAUCAAUAUGUCUAUAUCUAUUUAUAUACCACAUUUUUGGAGUAGGAUUCUCCCCCCUCCUAUUACCAUCCCCUUCCAUCCCCUUCCAUCCCCUCCUUUCAUACUUUUUUUUUUCUUAUUCUCUAUAUAAAAAAUUCAAAACAAGAUGUAGAUGUGUCGUAAUCGCAAUAGUUUAAAUAAAAGGAGAUGGAAGGAGAGAUAAAUUACGAGGGGAGAGAAUCUUACUCCCACAUUUUUCUUCUUCAUAAACAAAAGAGAGGUUCUAGAUUACUUGACUCUAUGCCUCAUUUUUUUCAUCAAGUAUUUGUGCUAAACGGGUUCAGUUUCAAGUAUUUUAGUUUUUUGUCAAAAUUGAGAAAACUGAAAAUCAAACAUUAAUAUGCAAAAUUAAAAAAUCAACACAUAAUUAUUUAGAAAUCGCAAUAGAAAAGAAAAAAUGGAGGUUUGUGAUGAAAAAUCUUUUAUACUAAGUAAUUUAGUAUCCUUAUGCAUGAAGAUAAUCAAUUCGUUCGUUAUGGUCAGACUCUUUUUGAAUUUUUGAACACAUUCUCCAUAGGGCCUUCUUAUUUGUUCCUUCUCCGAGUUGGGGUUAUGGAAGAAGUAAAAGAAGGAACCAAGAAGAAAGUAUUGGCAACAACCGAUUUCGUUACGGGACAACUCUUGAUAUUCAUAUCGAUCUAUUAUGUACCUUUGCAUCUAGCAUUAGACAAUAACUGUCAUAGCUUUACCAUAUUUUUUUGUUUCAUUUCUUCUGAAACAAUAACACACACUUUUUUAUUAUGUGUCUAAUACUAGGAAUUCAAUACAUAAUCUUAGCAUUCAAUAGUUAUUCCUGAAUAAUUUCAUUUUUCAAUUGAUCAACCAUUUCAUUUUUCCAAGUUCAAUCAAUGUUAGUCACAUUAGUCAACAUUUAUAUAUUUUGAUGCAACAACAAUAUGUUAUUUGUAACAAGUGAUUUUGCUAGUUGGUUAAUUGGUCACAAGUUAAUGUUCGGUUCAGUUCAGCUUUUCUCUCGAUUUUUUGCGAUUCGGUUUUUUCGAUUCUCUUUAGAUUCGGUUCGAUUUUGUUUUUUUAUUUAUACUUAAUUUUUUUUAAUCUGAAAACACCAAGAACAACACAAGCAUACUCAAUCAAACAACUAUCCUUCUCCACAAAUCACAGUAAUAAUUACAUUCAUUUAGCUAAAAUGCAAAUAACUAACAAACUCACAAAAAUCGAAUAAAAACUACAAAUUGCUUACUCUUUUUCUUUGGGUUUCACUCGAAAAGUGUCGGUAAAAUUUAGGGUUUGCAAGAACGCAACCGAAAUCCAAAACGGAGGCUCUGUGGCUUGUGGGCUGCUAUUGAGUUCCAGUACGGAAAACCUUGCUUACUCUCUAUCACGGUACAAAGUAUCAGUACCUUUAGCACUGUAUUUGGUAGAACCAAAUUAAAAGCUAACAUCAAUAACAACUACCAGAGACAUAAGCUCUUAUCAAUGCUUUGGAAACAGUCAUGUAUCUCCAAGUGUAAUGAUAUAAUUAGUAAGAAAUUUAAAAGAAAAAUGGUGAUUUCAUAUAAAAUCAAUAAAAAGUUACAAUAUUGACAAUAUAUCAACAAUUUUUAUGGGGUAAAUUACAUAGGACCCCCUCAGGUUUGAGGUCUAUUACAACCCCAUACAACAUCUUUAAAAUAUUUCACUUUCAUACCUCACCUACUAUUUUAUUUCAAUAUAGUACCUCCAUUACAUUUUCCAUCAAUUGAUCCAUUAAGAGCUGAAUUGGUUGCCACAUUUGACACGCCCCGAUCCCGAUAUCCUCGGGAUAUCAGGAUGGUCACGUGCUGGCCGACACCCGAGGGUGACGAAAGCCAUUUAUUGAGUGCAAUUGCUGAAAAUAAAGGAUAGAUAAAACUUAUAAAUGUAAAAGAAUAAGGAAUAUGCAUUUAAGGAACGUGUUCAGAGCAUACAACUAACUAGAACACUAAAAGAAUGAUAUAAAAUGGAAUGAAUAAAAGAAUGAGUCUUACACCAAGAGGACUCGAAGAUGCCGAUGCGGAAGUACCUUGAUUGUCGGGAUUGUACGCCUCGAUCCUAAAUCCUGAAGGGGGCGCAAAACAAACAUGAGUGGACCAAGUUGAUAUAUAUAUAAUAAAACAGUUAUCAAUAUACUAACCCCCAGGUUUAUGAAAACAAAUAUAUAAUGAUGAACAUAGGUUUUCCGAAACCUAGCAUGAUGUGCAGUAUCUCAAAUCAUAACUCAUAUAUAAUAAUCACUAGUGAAUUGUCCGAUAACCUGCAGGCCCCAUGCCGGCUCCCCGUCUCUGAGCAGACAGUCAGAGGAAAAUACACUUCAGGCCCCAUGCCGGCUCCCCGUCCCUGUGCUAAAUAGCCAGAGGAAACACACUCCAGGCCCUAUGCCAACACCAAACCGUCGCCCGGGACGGACCGGAAUCUAUUCCUACGUCCCGUAGCGGAAAUGACCACUAGGUAAGUACAAAACCAUUGAACAUACAUAUAUUGAAAAACAACUUCAUAGUAUAAAGUCAUCCAUCAUCUAUACUAUAAAGAGGUGUUCGAAACAUGUUCUAAAUAUCAUAUCGUCAUCCAUCAGAUAUUCUAUAAGAACACGGGUUAUAGGAAAAAUAGUAAUAAUUCAAGGUAGCCUCAGUAAGCAUGUUAUCUCAAAACGUUUCAUAAAACGUAAUCAUUAAAUCAUGCAUUUCAUGUAUGCAUUUCUACUAUUAAAACAUGCUUUUGAAGGGGUCCACUCACAGUACUUAGCCGCCGAAGAGCCACGCAAACUAACGUCACCAAUAUUGCCCCUAAGCACAUAAAUGGUCCAAUUAAUAAAACUAUAUAAUAGCAAUUGGAUUUGGGAAAACGGACGUUGGAAACGGAUUCAGAACGUCGAAUUACCCUAAGAAGGGUCCCGGACGAAAACCCGAAAAGUCAACUCUAAAGUCAAUGUUGACCGGAGGUCAACGGUCAAAUUAGGUCUAACGGGUUUUAGGCUUGAAAUCCGGAUUAGGGUUUAGGUUAAAUAGGAUUAGGAUUUAUUGGGUUUUGGAAUUCUAAGGUUUUUGGGUUAAAAGGGUUUAGGGUGAAAAUGGGUGGUUUGGGCUUAAUCCCAAACUCACACACAACACACACACACACUACACAAACCCUAAAACACACACACACACACGGGCUGCACUAGGGCAGCCCUCACAACACUUCACAAAGGCCCUAAGGCCUUAUUAAAGGACAGGGCUUUAAGCCCUUUAAAGGAUACUGGCCCAAGGCCCGUCAAAAUAAGGCCCGAGGCCUUUGGGUUUUAAAAAGAACAAGAACAAAUUUAAAAGAAAAGGGGCUGGGGUCUACUGGGCUAAGAUAUAACGGGCUUAAGGCCCGUGGGGUUUUCUAAAGGGCCUGAGAGGCCUGGGUUUGUCGAAGGAGAAGGCCGGAAUUUCGGCCGGAAAACCACCCAACUUUAAAUGGCCAUAACUUUGUCAAUACUCAACGAAAUCAAGCAAGACAAAAAUGAAAGUUGUAGCCCUUGAAGCGACGAAGAGAAUGGUUCCUCACACGACGUCUAACUCGCCGUGGUUUGGCCGGAAAAUGCCUCGAAAUCCGUCGGACUCGCCGGAAACUGGGUAAGAUUCAAAUGAGUAUAACUUCUUCAAUACUCAACGAAAUUAAGUGAAACAAAAAGGAAAGUUGUAUUACUCGACGAGACGAAGAGAUUGAUACCUUACACGCCGGCCAACUCGCUGUGGUUUGGCCGGAAAUGGCCUCGAAAGGGGCGGUGCUCGCCGGAGCUUACUCCGUGCCGUCGAACUCGCAGGGUAGGGUCCGGGGUUCGUUGCAAGCCUCUCUUCGAUGGUGACUCGGUCCUAGUGAGUCCAGGGGAAGAGAGAGAUGCGAAAGGUUGAGGGAGAGAGAGACGGGAGAGCUGAGAAAGAGAGAGCUACGGGAGGGAGAAACGAAGAAGAAGAAGAGAGAGAUCAGAAAACAUAAAAAAAAUAAACAAGGUGGGCCCCACGGGCUCACCAAUUAAGGCUUUAAAACAAUUUUAAAAUAUAAAAGAGGGUUGGGGUGUUUCAACAUUUGUACCACGUGGCAAAAAAAAAACCUAAAUCUUCUAUACAAAAAAACUAAAAAAACCAAAAAAAGCAAAAUCGAACACUCCACCCCGCAAAAAUCCUAGCAUCUUCCUUUUAUUCCCCACAACCCCAAAUUCCCCCCCAAAACCCCUAAAACCCAAACCCUAAUUCCUCCCCCACAUGAAGAAAAUCCCAGUCCAAUUCAAUCCCAAUUACCUCAAAUCCCACCAUAGAAACCCUAAAUUUUGGUUCCUCAAUCCCUAGAUUUCCCACGCCUCUGUUGCCUACACCUUAUCAAUCUUUAGCUUUCUCCCUCAUCCCCUCCAUGAACGACACUUUCUCUCAUCCGCUGUUCCCCAGCAACGGCACCGAUACCUACGAGGCCUGGUACGGCAACAUCCAGUACCUUCUCAACAUCUCCGCCAUCGGCUCAUUCUUAUGUGUCUUCUUUUUCACCUUGGUCAAGCUUUGAAGCGAUCGCCGCCGCAUGCCCGGCUCGUCCUCCCUCGUUGCUAAGCUCUUCGCAGUGUGGUAUGCUACCUGUCGAGAGAUUAUGCUCCCAUGUGGCGCUGAGGCCAUAAUACUCACGCACCCAUCUACACACCCACACCACCACUACCGUGGACUCUCUCUCACUCUCCCUCGUCUUUGUAGAGCUAGGUGAAGCCUAGAAACCGAGAACUAGCUCCAGCAAACCCCGUGAGUUUCGAGCCAGAUCCCUGCCGACUCCGACCAUCCCAUGACCAAUCUAAGGUACAAAACAUUUCCCCUUGACUCUAUGCUCUUUUUCGUAUGUAGAUCGUAGGGAAAAGCCCACAGAAUGAGAGAGAAUAGUGACCUGAGAGAGUCCACGGUGAUGGUGGUGUGUAGAUGAGUGCGUGCGUGGGUGUACUGUCGGGGAUAGAGUCUGAGAGAGAUAGAGAGUGAAAGAGUCUGAGAGAAGAGUGACUUGCGAGAGUGAGAGAUUCGAGAGAGACUCGGGAAAAGAUUUAUGGGUUUGGGUUUUUCUGGUUUUUUAUUUUUAUAAUAAUAGGGUUAAUAUUAUAAUAUUUUUAAUGUAUAAAAAUUUCUUUUUUGCCACGUGGCAGCCACAUCAGCACAAAUGUGGUAGUUGUAGAUGCAAAUUUCUUCCUCUUGAUCUUGGACAAUUUUGCACCUACAAAACAAUUAACACCUUAGGUUAAGGCCAAAAGCCUCACACACCCACAAUGAAUGGGGGGCUUUGGCCGAAGAACCUCUGUUGCCAAAGUUAGAAUUUAGAGAGAAAGAGUCUUUACAGAAUUUUGGGAUUUUUGCCAAAGUGUUGGAAUGGCUUUCUGGUGAGAACGGGAUCACUUUUAUAAGGAUAGGAAGUGGUCGGCCUAGCUAGGGUUUUUGGGUUUAAUUUAGGUUUAAUUCUUCAAUUUAUUUGGCUAAUUAAACCCUAAAGAAUAAAUUGGUGGUUACAAAAUUGAUUAUUUGUAUAAAUGGGGUAAUAAAAUGGAGAAAAGUGAAAAAGGUUAGGAAAAGGGAGGUAGCUAGCUUCUUAGUAGUUUUAGGUGUGAGUGGGUGUUUUAAUUGAUAAUUAAGGGAUUGAUUAGGUAAUUAAUCCCUUAAUUAAACAAUUUUUAGGGAAUAUGAAAGGAAAUUAUUAUUUAGCUAAUUGAUUAGCUAAAUAAUGGAAUACAAAAUAUAUAGAAUAAAUUAGGCUUUAGGUAUUACCUUAUAGAAAUGAUUUGAUGAAAUAGGCUUUAAAUUGUUAACUAUUUUGGGCACUUUUGACUUGGUUGAGGAUGAUUGUCUGCCGCUCGCACGUAGGAAUCUCGAUAUGCCUUAAGGGUAUUUUUGUCCUCUUUUACCCAAAAAUCCACGUGUCGCCUUGUGAUUAUUUUUGGCUCCACAAAUGCCCCCACACCUGUUGGGCUGCUCGCAGAAAAUGGCAGCAGGUGUAGAGAUCAUCUUGCUUUAGGAAACGUAGGACUACUUCCUCUUUAGAUGUAGAUUCUCUCUUUAAUAGGAAAUUAGGUUCUUCUAGGAAAGGGAAAUAAAUUUCUGUUAAAGCCUAUUUAAGUCUACCUUAAGUGGGUUAUUAAAUCAACUUUGGAGAGCGAUUUCUUAUACCCUACAAGAGAGAGGGAGCUUAGAGAAUAUUUGUUCCCCCUCUUCUAGCAAUCUUCUACAUCUUUCCCGUGCAAAGGAUCGUCUUUCGUUGAUUUCUUCGUCUUCUCCGUGCCGCACCGAUGUAAGAAAAAUUUAAUUUUUUGCUUAUCUUCUUCUUGGAUAGUACUAUUACAGGGCAACCGUUAAGGUAGUGCGGCACGUCUACUGGCAGGGGCUAGGAGUUGGCUCGGCAUCGGUCGAUGAGGCAUUAUGGCAGGGGCCACUGCUUAGGCUGUUUGGCUUGGCUAGAGCCAAUGGCAGCUUGUGCGGCUGGGGUCGCGGAUUGUGGCGUUGGGGCGCAAUGCUAGGCGAGCCACAUGGUUAAUGUCCUUUAGGCUCUUAGACCUUACUCGGGCCAGGCUAGCGACUGAAAGAAAUGAGGAGGUCGUGGGCCUCAUGGGUUGUUGGAAUGUUGGGCAUGCAGGCCUCCUGUCUGCUAGAAUGCUAGGUUGAGCUCCUCUGCUGAGUACCGUGAAUGGCGUUGGCUGCUUAGUUCUUUUUACAGAGAGAAAGGUGGGCUGCUCCCGAAAGAGGAAGUAAAGAGGAUCAAGGUGGAUGCAUUGGCUCGUCUAAUCGCUGUCGUGGAACCUCCUAUGAAUGAAGAUGGAAAUAAGAGAUCUUCCCUGCCUACUCAAGAGAUGCCGAUCGAGAAAAAUUGAAGACUUUCUCCACUGCUGCUCAUGAUGAUUUGUCUGCUGUCGAUAGGCCUGUGAUUGGCAUGACUUCUUCCAAUGGGAAGAAAAAUGAGGCUGCUAGAUCUGAUCAUGUGGUGCCUUCCAUGUUGAGAAUUGCUAGUACAAUUGUUGAUAAGAUUGCUUAGCGCAAAGGUUUUAUCAUGCCCCCAGUACCGAAGUCUGUACCAGGACUUUCGUUUGGAGCAAAGUCUGGUUCACCUUUGGAGAUACUUGCUAUUAUGAAAAGUGGUAAGGUGGACUCUGCUGCUAAAGUGGCGUCAAGGCCCACUCCCUUUGUUGCUGAGACUGAUUCGCCUGCUAGGAAGGAAGAUACUACUUGUAUGGGCAGCUGUGAGAAAUCCACUAAACUUGCUUCUGGGGAGGCUGCUGAGAUCAUUGUGCUUUUGAAACUAUAUCUGCUUGAAGACAUGGACGCUUGUGCCAAGUUUGUUGAUGGCGGUAGAAAGGUUGUUUACCUAAGUUCCUUUGCGAAACAUACGACCCAAUAUAAAAUGACUGCUCUGCUUACUAGGAUGCAUAAAUAGCAAGGUUGUCAAGGAGGUGGCGAAGAUUAUGGCAGCUAAAGCUUAUUCCUCAGUCGAGGAGAUCAAAAGGUUGAAUUAUGAGCUUGUUGCUUUGAAAGAAAUGGAAGAACUGCAACACGUUCGUGUUAGUCUGUUUGAGAAGAAUGAGCAGCUAAACGGUAAGAAUGAUGGGCUUGAGGUUUCUCUAUUUUUCCGGAAGACUUGCUUACUUUUACUUUUGAGGCUUCCAUUGGUGAAGUAGUUGGAGACGUUAGUGCCCAGGCUUAGGCAACCGGGGGUGAAGCACCGGAUGAUGCCGCUGCUAAGAACGUUACGGCUGCUGAAGGUGUGGAGACCAAGUAGUCGUGGGAUGUCCAAGCUGCUGUAGUGUAGUAUUUUAGGUAGCUUUUAUGAUUUUCUUUGUUUUUCCUUGUAGCUCUUGUUUUGCUUGAACUUCUUCGGCCUUUGCUAGUUGUAUAAACAUGUUUUCCUUCGCUUUUCUUCAUCUUCGCUUCUUUUGUUCAUGCCCUAACCUUUAGACUUGAUAGACCAAUGGCAGGCAUGCUACUUUUUUAUAAGCAGACAAGCUCGCGUAGCCUAUGCAGCCGUAAAUGUUGGUGUAGAACUUUGCAAAGUUGUUAGCCAUUAGGUUGGUAACCAGAUACCUUACUUACAGAAGUAGACAAGUCCGCAUAACCACUAGGCUAUUAACCUUGACUUUCUCCAAUUCUGUAGGUUGCGUAGCAAGUAUCACAACACUUUAGGAAUUGGUAUAGGUUGCUCCGCACUUGGCAGAGGUGAAGCCUAUCGACUACGUAGCAUGUCGGCAGUGGAUAAAACUUCCAUAUAUGCGCGCUAGCUUGUUUAACCUUUCACAAGAAUGUGCGGUUGUAUAAGUCUAGCACGGUUUUACUGCUUGAAGGGCAAGCCGUAGGCAGUCUUCCGGAAUCCGUAGGCUACCUUAAUGUACUCGGUAGCAGCUUUAGGGUUCCAGGGCAGCCGUCUAUAGAGCGUACUGCGUAAUGUGCCCCAUCCGUCUCUAGCUCCCGGUUCCCCACAGAUUAGACCAAGAGACCCAAAAUCCUUCAGUUAGUUAAGCCUUGAAAAAGACCAUUGUGGCUACUUCUAGGAAUCCCGGCUCAAGCCAUCGUACAUCUAGUUAUACUAGGGUAGCCAGGCUCAUCAGCGUCUGGAUAUUCGGAGUGUAAAGUUUAUCCUCCCGUCUUAGAGAGCUGACCCAUAUGAGUGUCGGGGAAUUGGUUUACCCUCUCACACUAGAGAGUAAUUAAUUUACCCUCUCGCACUGGAGAGCAAUUAGUUUACCCUCUCGCACUGGAGAGCAUGGUUGGUCCAUCGGGGGGCGCAAUUCCUGCGAUGAGUCCCUAAGAAGGGCGCAGUCUUCUUUUGAAGUGCAGGAAUGAUUAGUUGUUAUAAGCAUGUGAUCGAGUCAAGUUGUGAUUACUUCUAAAUUCCUCAUUGAAAAACGAGUGAAACGAACGAGAACUUAGCCGUAAGGUAGGAACUGCAUAACAACUGGAUAGUCCUCAACUUGUGUGGUGGUACCCAUCGAGCUUCUUGAGUCUUCGGGCUUUGAUGUAGUGGGAGGUUACACAUGGCACCUUUUCAGAUUGUAGGCGCUCUACUGCUUUUCGAACUUUUUUUUUGUUGUGUAAUUGCUCUUGCUGCCUACUCGGCUAAUCUUAUACAGACUUUCUCGGAUGAGAUUCAUCUUUUUGGAGCUUCUCUGCUGGCAGUGAUGAAGGCUUUUCUUAGGACUAGAUCUCUGGGCUGGAACUGCCAGAUUUUGGCCUUUUUGUUGUGGCUGGAAAAGAACCACUGCUGGUAAGUUGUAAUGCAGAUGAUAGUCUGCUCGCACUUCUCCUCUGCCAAAUUUAAGCUUGUGGCCAUCUCCUUUCGGUUGCUCGUCUUUUGGUGUUGCGAUGUGCCCAUAGACAUCCAGGGAGUUUGUCUGGCCAUUUUCUUUUCUUAUUGGUAGGGGAUUUCUUGUGGCAGUCGAGGAUCAUCUUAGUGGAUGUUUUGGCCAGCCUAUUGCCUUGAGGAUAUCUUGGCGUAGACAUGUGCUGCUUGAUGCCAUAUUUUUAGAAGAAUUUCGCCAAAUCUUUGCCCACGAAUUACGGGCCGUUGUUGGUGACGAUGGAUUAAGGUAUGCCAAAUCGGCAAAUGAUGCUCUUUCAUAUGAAGCGCUCUAUGUCCGUUUGAAUUGUGAUCGUCAUGGGCUCUGCUUCUACCUAUUUGGUGAAAUAGUUGGUUGCCACGAUCAUCAUGCAUUUGCCCUUAGUAGUCUGGCUGGUGAUUAGCUGGGAAUCAGAAUGAAUUGAAAGCUUUUUCACCACCAAGUCUUUUGUCACUCGAAGGCCUGCUAGUGGGGCUUUGUACUCUGCUUCGUUGUUAGGUGCUUUGACGCUUAGAGUGAUCGCUUACUCGAGCAUUGAACCGUCUGGGGUGGCAAGAACCACGGUUACUUAUAAGCCUUUGUAGUUGGAUGCGCCGUCGACAUGCAAAUGCCAGAAAUUUCCAUUGAGGGAGUAGGUAUGGCUAAAGUGUGCUCGGCUACCUUCGAAGCGUCGUUGGGCCGCUUUGUUACAUUGUCAAGGCUAGGUUUGAAGGCGCGGUAGAGAGUCGUGGAGCUGGGGCCAUGUUACAUGUAGCAGGAGAUGCUCAACUUCCGGUAUUAGGCCACUCUAGAGCUGAAUAAUGGAGCAAAGGUCGGCUAGGGUCGUAUGACGCGCAGCAGAAGGUAGUGCUCGACUGCUAGUACAUGUUGCUCUUACGUAGAAUCUUCUGAGGCGACGAGGACAAAACUUGCUUUUAAGUGUUCCUUCUAGUGUUCGUCUGCCCUUGGCGUGUCUUUUGGGCUGAGUUGUUGCGUUCGUCAGAAAACUUUGCAUCUGCCAGGGUUUACGUCUUUAUCAUCACGGGUUUGGAUUAGGCGGAAUAGUGCGUCAUGAUGAUGACUGCGUACAUUUGAAGGUAAAACUUAAGCUUUUGGGUUACAACAACUAUCACCAAAGUUAGCUUUUGAAUUUUUAAUAGCAUCGAGGAGAGCUUUUGAACUAUAAAAUACAUGUAGUUGGGCCCCCAACUCUUCUCGCAUGACGGUACAGCUUAUUUCUACUUUAGAUACCGUCAAACAUGCGAAUAAGUCCUCUGCUGCUUCUAGGGAGGUGAUGUUGGGUACUUCUUCAAGCCCUUGAAUGUGCAUUGGCGAGCCUCAUCCCAAAGUGCAUGCUUCUCUGCCAAAGAAAAAGAGUCUACCAGAGUUAGAUAUUCUUUCAUGAUCAAUUUUCUAAAUAGCGGUGGUCUGCUGGAAGGCCUUUUUGGAAGGCUGCUCUAGCUAUUGAGUCGCUGCAUCCGACUAUCAUUGCCUUCUCUGUUUUGAAUCUCUUCACAUAGUCACGAAGUGACUCCUUUGGGUUCUUUUUUACGUCAAACAAAUGGUCGGACUUCUUUUUGAUCGAGCAAUAAGAUGAAUAUUCUUUGGUGAAAACCAAAGAAAGUUCGUAGAAAUUCUAGAUAGAUUGUGGCGGCAGGGUGUAGAACCAAUCUUGUGCCUCGCCUUCAUAGUGGUGGCGAAUAUCUUGCACAUGAGAUCAUCGUUGUUUCGAUAAAGGAUCAUUGUGCUUCGGUAGCGCUUUAAGUGUCUCUUCGGGUCUUCAUCCCCUUUGAAAGAUAUGAAAUGUUGCAUACUGAACUCGCAUGGAGGCUCUGCCAGCUCGAUCUCAUCCGUGAAGGGUGACCUGCUUAUGUUGGUCAUGUUCCGUCGUAGUGCCUCGUCGGUGACCUUGUUGCGUUAGAAAUCAUGCAAUCGCUUGAUUAAAAGUCUCUCUACUUCUUCCUGAAUUUUCAUUUGUUAGGGUAGCAGAGCUCUCGGCUGCCCCUAGCCAUAACUUACUGGUCUAGGAUGCUCUUCCAUGUGUUUGGCUCGUAUACCGUGGAUGCAGUGUAUGUGGUGCGGUCCUAGUAGGUGAGCGAGUUCUUCGCAGGCUGCUAGUUGAACUUGAGCUGGAUUGAGUGACUACUUCUCUCCGUCCGUCGUGCUGCCUACUCCAAUGUGAGGUGAAAGAUGCUCCUUGCAGGCUUAGCCACGAAUGAACACUUUACCUGGAAGGUUGCUCAUGUUGACUAUCAGAGUAUGACCCUAACCGUGAAUGUAUAUUCACCCGUGGGCUUAGUCGAGAGUGCACGCUCCUCCGCGCGCUAAGACGAGAGUAUACGUUAUCUCGGGAGCCCAAUUGGGAGUGUACACUGCCCGAACGCUCGGCUCGUGGCUGGUCGAGUGGCUGCUUGCCGAAACGCUGCGGGAAAGGUUCGUCUGCCCUUGUCCUACUUCGGGAUACCUUGUUUGGGGCACGUUGGAUUCUGGUGCAUUGCAAAAGUUGAUUCACCAAGGUUGUCUGUUGUGCAAGGGUGCUCGUAAACGCUACGACUUGUCGAGACAAGUGUUGUUCGUCAUUUGGAUUGGAAUAGCUUGGAAGGAAUGUGCCUUCUUGGGCAGUGGAAGGGUGGUAGACUCCGGGCUCGAGAUUUGAGUUGGGAAAUGUCAAAUCUACGAAAAAAUGUGGUGAGAAUGCCCCCGGCUCGAUGGUAGGUCCGGAUGGUUGAGAUAGUCUUGGGCCGACUUGGGCUGCUUGGAAAGCCACGGGAGCAGGCUGGGCCACGAGAGUGAGCUGCUCGGCAGGAGUAGGCUGGGCUACGAGAGUGGGCUGCUCGGCAGGAGCAAACUGCUUGGAGUGUGAUGCACAUGGGUGCGAGGCUUGGGCUCGGCUUGGUAACACAUUGAGUUCGGGUUUGGCUUGGAGUGACAUGACUUGGGCCGUGGCCUUGGUGUCGUGAGCCUUGGAUGGCACGGCUCGGGCAGUGGUAGCUGUGCCAUGGACCUCGCCGCGGGUAGUGGUGACCGUGAUGGCCACCGCGGUGGUUGCCAUGGUGGAGCCCCGUAGUGAUGGUGCCGCUCCUAUGAUCACAUUUAGCCUCGUGGAUCGUCGUGGUCCCAUUUCUUGAAUAUUAGAAUUUUCACUUAUGGAAUUUUCUAAAUUUCUAGCCAUUAUAUUUUUCUUAUACGUUUUAUCAAAGAACCUUUGCAAAUAAAAAAUUCUAAUAAUAAGAACGUAUGAAAAAAUAUUCAAAUGGACUAGAAAAUAGAGAAAAACCUUUUUAUGCGAGAGUCUUCUACGAGUAUAGAUCUCAACUCUCAAUGAAAGCACCAAUUUGUGGAUGCAAAUUUCUUCCUCCUUGAUCCUAGACAAUUUUGCACCUACAAAACAAUUAACACCUUAGGUUAAGGCCAAGAGCCUCACACGCCCACGAUGAAUGGGGGGGCUUUGGCCGAAGAACCUCUGAUGCCAAAGUUAGAAUUUAGAGAGAUAGAGUGUUCAGAGAAUUUUGAGAUUUUUGCCAAAGUGUUGGAAUGGAUUUUUGGUGAGAAUGGGAUCACUUUUAUAGGGAUAGGAAGUGGCCGGCCUAGCUAGGGUUUUUGGGUUUAAUUUAGGUUUAAUUAGUCAAUUUAUUUGGCUAAUUAAACCCUAAAGAAUAAAUUGGUGGUUACAAAAUUGAUUAUUUGUAUAAAUGGGGUAAUAAAAUGGAGAAAGGUGAAAAAGGUUAGGAAAAGGGAGGUGGCCGGCUUCUUAGUGGUUUUAGGUGUGAGUGGGUGUUUUAAUUGAUAAUUAAGGGAUUCAUUAGGUAAUUAAUCAAUUUUUAGGGAAUAUGAAAGGAAAAUAUUAUUUAGCUAAUUGAUUAGCUAAAUAAUGGAAUACAAAAUAUAUAGAACAAAUUAGGUAUUAGGAAUUACCUUAUAGAAAGGAUUUGAUGAAAUAAGCUUUAAAUUGUUACCUAUUUUGGGCACUUUUGACUUGGUUGAGGAUGAUUGUCUGCCGCUCACGCGUAGGAAUCUCGAUAUGCCUCAAGGGUAUUUUUGUUCUCUUUUACCCAAAAAUCCACGUGUCGCCUUGUGAUUAUUUUGGCUCCACAACAACCACGUCAGCAUUUAACAGACCAAUGGAUGGAAAAUCUAACGGAGGUAUUAUUUUGAAAUAAAAUAACAAGUGAGGUAUGAAAGUGAAAUGUUUUAAAGAUGUUGUAUGGGGUUGUAAUAGACCUCAAACUUGAGGGUCCUAUGUAAUUUACCUAUUUUUAUGUUAAUUAUGAAUAGGUCAAUCAUGUAGAACCAAAUUAAAAGCUAACAUCAAUAACAACUACCAGAGACAAAAGCUCUAAUCAAUGCUUCGGAAACAUAGUCUUGUAUCUCUAGGUGUAAUGAUAUAAUUUGUUGGAAACUUAAAAGAAAAUUGGUGAUUUUGUAUAUAAUCGAUAAAAAGUUAUAAUAGUGACAAUAUAUCAGUAAUAUUUAUGUUAAUUAGGAAUAGGUCAAUCAUGUAUUUAAUACUUACAUGCAUUUAAAAUAAACACCUUAUCAAUGUUUUUUUAACUGUGCUCAGUUUUUCUCCUUCGCUUUGGUUUUGUUCUAUUGGAUUUUUCAACUAUCAUUAAUUGUGAACAUAACUGAUCAUUGAGACACAAACAUCCAAGGGAGAGUACCGUGGAACAAAAUGUGGAUAUCUUUAUACAUUGUAUGGUAGUAAACCAUCAUAAACACCAUAAUAAUGUAGAAACGCUCUUGGGGUACCUUUGGAUGAUAACUCAUGUAUUUGUUGCCCUACGUAAAGAUGGCUAAUGAUAAUGGAAGUCUAAUUUUCUCAUCCCAAUCUCUCCUGUCUCUCUUGUUCUCUUUUCUCUAUAGUUUAUUUCCAACAAGUUGUGUUAUUUUUUUUUUUUAGUAUUGUUAAGCAACCAAUAGAUUUUAAUUAGCAGUCUUUGUUUUUUUCUUUUAUAUUUUUAAUCAAUUUCAGUUGCUUAUCCGUUCUAGCAAAUUGAGCUCUUUUACAGCAAUUUUUUUCUUUAAAUGAAAUUAUUAUUAUUAAAAGAGUGAGAAAAUUCGAAAUUAUUACAACAAUUUAAAAAAAAGAAGUUUCGAAUCAUAAACACAGAGGGAGUUUACAACAUUUUAAUUAAGAAAUUAGGCUUCAGCUCAACUCAUCUUUGCAACGUCGGUUCCACUUCACAUCAACAUGCAAUGUUUCAGAAGGUCACGCGGUUUUGGGGUUGUUGUGUACCAAUAAUAUUAUAUAUAUAUAAAUUAGGAUUGAAGGAUACACGCAUUUUGUAGAGCUUAUUUUGUUAUGUAUUUUAAUGAUUUAAAUGCUUACGUUUUUCUUCACUACAAAUGAGUGAAUUAAUGAUUUUAGAAUUUGUCUAAUUUUUUACAUUGAUUAUUUAUGAAUAUUGAAUUGAAAUAUAGACGAUUCAAAAAUCGUUGAUAUACAUUACAAAAUGAACUCCACAAAAUAAGCGUCAAAAUAUGUAUAUAAAAUGGACAGCGUGAAAGGCUUGGAAAUUGGAAUAGGUUUGAAAAUUGUGCUUUUUGUAGCAAAUUGUAGCAAAGUUUGCUUGGACUUUCACAACCGUAUAAAUUAUGCCGCAGCACUCUCUAUUUUCUCUCUCGCUCUAUAUCGUGGUCCCUCUCUCUCGCCGUCCUCGAUUGCUCGAACUCACUAUCCUUUAUUGCUCGAACUCACCGUCCUCAAUUGCUCGAACCCACUGUCCUUUAUUGCUCGAACUCACUGUCUCCAACUUCCUCUGUUUGGUUCCCGAUGAAGAUGGUAAAACAGUAGGGGCAAGAAAUUAUGACAAUGUUAGAUUUGCAUAUUAAUCUGGUAGGGCUACAAUUCUCCAAUCCACACCCCUUCCAUCUAUGCUAGUGUUUGUACCCAAUAUUAGAUAUCCGGUCUGUGCAAUCGAGAUCGUUGAAUGAGAAAAAUUCUAAGCCGUGGGAUCAAAUAUAAUGAUGUGGAUUAAAUAAGAAAAAUUUAAAUGUUUAUCUUGGUUGAAUUACCAUGAUAAUAUUGUGGAAUUAUCUUCUGCAUAACGGGAUAGCGAGAAAAGUCCAAGGGUGUAGGGAAGUUGUGUGGCUGACUACCGCUUUUUUUUAUGGUGUCAUUAGUAGAGUAAUAUCACACUUAACAUUUAUUUGUACCAUCUCUCUAAUAAAGAUAAAGACCAUCAAUGCAUAAAUAAUGAUACAAAUAUAUAAUAAGAGUAUCAUAUUUGUAACUAGAAUAGGAGAAGAAAGACUUCAAGAUGGGGUCAGCCAAAUAAUUAGCGUCAGGAUAAAAAUAUGAGUAAUGAUAUUUGUAAACAUCGAAAUUUCGGUAAAUAAAUGUUGACCGAUAAAUCAAAGUUUCAACGCUCAUGUAUUACAUAAAUUUUACACGUAGCGUAUGUCUAAACAAAAAAUCGAAAUAAGUUGGAAAAGUCAUCAAACAGGACACAUGUCAACACCUGGCAGAAACGACUUAUUUCAUCUGGAAUAUUAUAUUCAAAAUUAGGCAUUGGAAAAUUCUAUAAAUAGAAGCCAAUUUCAUUCAUUUGAAGGAACCAAAAUCAUUAGGCAAAAUUCUUGAAGCUCUGAAGCUCUGAAACUCCGAAACUCUCAAGCAUCCAGGUUCCCGAAGAAUCAAGAAAGCUCUCUUCGUUCUUCGUUCUUCGUUCAUCGUUCAUCCUAAGAUCAAGCUCCAACGGCCCUUUAGAUCAACAAUCAUCCACUAAUUCAAGAUCAAGCCCCGACGGCCCUUGAAGAAAGUGUUCUUCAUUCUUCGUUCAUCGUUCUUCCAAGAUCAAGCCCCAACGGCCCUUUGGAUUAACAAUCAUCCACCAAUUCAAGAUCAAGCCCCAACGGCCCUUGAAGAAAGUGUUCUUCGUUCUUCGUUCAUCGUUCUUCCAAGAUCAAGCCCCAACGGCCCUUUGGAUUAACAAUCAUCCACCAAUUCAAGAUCAAGCCCCAACGGCCCUUGAAGAAAGUGUUCUUCGUUCUUCGUUCAUCGUUCUUCCAAGAUCAAGCCCCGACGGCCCUUGGAUCAACAAUCCACCAAUUCAAGAUCAAGCCCCAAAGACCCUUGAAGAACUUCUACCAAUUCAAGAUCAAGCCCUGACGGCCCUUGAAGAAAGUGUUCAUUGUUCAUCAUCCGUUCAUCCCGAAGAAUCAAGAAAGCCUUAUUCGUUCUUCGUUCAUCGUUCUUCCAAGAUCAAGCCCCGACGGCCCUUGGGUCAACAUCAUCAACAAAUCCACACAUCCAACCGUUCUUCAAGAUCAAGCCCAAAAGCCCUUGAAGAUCCGUUCAUCACCGUUAUUCAAGAUCAAGCCUUAACGGCCCUUGAAGAAACACUCAUCCUCAAGAUCAAGCCCCAACGGCUCCUUGAAGAUCCGCUCAAAUCCACCUUCAAAGAUCAAGCCCACGGCCCCUUGAAGAAACAUCCAACAGUUCAUCCAAGAUCAAGCCUCGACGGCCCUUGGAUCAACGAAACAUCUACAAAUCAACACCUUACGGAGAUCGAAUCAGAUGAUCAAAUUAGAGAGAGAUUGUAACCCUAAAUCAUCAAAAUACAAAUAUUAUUUUGUGCACGUUGUUCUUAUCUCUUUCGUUUCAGGAAAUUUUCGUGUUCACAAUAUUCUUACCAUCUAAAUAUACUAUAAUUUUAUACCAUCUUAUGUGGCAAUUGAGAUGGACUUCCACAUAAGUUUUAAAAAAAUCUCAUGUCAGCUAAGGUGGAUAUUUACGAUUUUACGAUUUUACUCAAUGAUUUUUAUUAAUAAAAUAAUUAAAAAAUAAUAAUGAAACCUACUUGCUCCCGUUUUCAAGCCUCAUCGCUGGGCCUCCUCCCUCUUCGCUCUCCAAUUUCACCUUCCUUCACCAACGAUCGAUGGUGCUCGACCCCCUUCAUCAUUGCCAACUGGCCGAAUAUCUUGAUGGUGCUCCCAGUGAUUGUUUUGCUCUGCCACCAAAUCAAGUUUGCAAUUUUAAUGGUUUAUGCCUUCUGGCCAAGUGUUGGAUUUGAUAGGUUUUUAAUUCCAGCAACAUUGAACAAAAAUAUGAAAAGGAUUGGAUACGAUAUUUUCCUCUGUUCUACUGCUGAGGAUUUUCCGAAUAGAAGAAGAUUUGGAAGACAACCUCUUUUCUUUUUUCUUCAUGGACUUUUGGUUAGCACCAAAAUCUUUUCCUAAUCCUCUAUAGGAAUGAAAAUUUCAUUCCAUGUUAUAUCCCGAUGUUGUCCAAGGUUUUGGCUUGAAUUUUCAUUGGAAUUAUCAUAUGUUGGAUCAGAUCAGGUGGAGAGAUGAAACGUAUCUAACAAGGAAGUUGAACGGGUAGGGUUUGAGCAAAAAUAAACAGAAAUUCCACCUAGGUUGACACCUAAGCUUCCACAUCAUGUGGUAUACUAAAUGUGGUAUAAUAAGAUGGUAAGAAUAGCAUUAUUGAAUGGGUAAUGUUAAGAGAAAUUUUUAGUUGUGACGGGAACACGGAUGGUACACCAUGCGUUUUUAUGUAAAUGGUGGAAAAUUUUAAUUUUUAAAUUAUUAACCUUUUAGCACACAUAUCCCACCAUUUAUAUGAAAACACGUGAUGUAUCACCUCGUGUGAUAGUCACAUUGAAAAAUCUCUCGUAAUGUUAGGAAAACUAAAUUUAUAAACAAAAGUUACAAAUUAAAUGAUGGGUUACCAAUAAGAAUGAUUACGUUUAUCAAUGCUUAAAUAAUAAAUCAUUCAUCAACUUCCAGUCCUUUAGUUUUUAAAAUUUUGUCUAACAUUACCCUUUCAAAACUCAUGAAAAUAAUUUUCAAUUUUUUUAACUGAAAAGUGAAAGUUACUAAACAAGAUUUCAGUUUUUAGCUUUCAAAAAAAUAAAAACAAAAGCUAAAAAUAAAAUGGUUAUCAAACAUCCCUAGAAGUCAUUCUUAGUGAUAGUAAGGUCAUCUCCAACCGAAAGAUCCAGGGGGCUAGAGGGCCGAAAAUAGUCUGAAAACCAUUUCCAAUCAAAGGCCAUGCCAAAGGGGUCGUGGACCCCAUUAGACAAAAAAGGGCCAAAGGGCCAACUGGCUGGCCCCAGUUCCAACAAUAACUAGAUGACGUCAGUUAACCGUUAUUUUUGAAUUUUUUUUUUAACAAAUUUUAACUUUCUAAGCCAUUAAACAACAUUAAAUUAAGUAAAAAAGAAAAUUCCUAUAACUUCCUAAGUCAUUAAACAAUAUUAAAUUAAGUAACAUGAAACAACAUUAAACAAUAUUAAACAAAAUUAAACAAUAUUAAACAACAUUAAAUAACAUUUAACAACAUAAAAAUUAUACAACAUAAAAAAAAACAUUUAAGAACAUAAAAUUUAAAUGCCUACUUCAUGCUUCUUUUGGCCCAAAGAUGUGCAACAAGAUCCUAAUGUAGGUACUUGUUUGUGGCACGAGAGCGUAUCAUCCUAACCGUUAGAUUUGAUUUUUUUUUGUUUUCGGCCAAAUUUUUUUAAAUUUAAAAAUAAAUUAUGUUUGACCUUUUGGCCCUCGAUUGGAGAUAGUUUUUUUUGUGACAUGACUAUGUUUAGCCCUAUGACCCUUUGGCCCUCAGUUAGAGAUGGUAAGAAAUAUGACCCAACAAUGUUCAUUAAAAUAUUAAUUUCUUGAAGAGCCAGAGGGCUAAAACGAGCCAUCCUUCGGUUGGAGAUGGCCUAAGAAGAGACUAGAGAUAGAGAGAUUCCUAUACUUAGCUGUGAGAGUUUCCUAUAUAUGAUUUUCAUUAACAAGAUUGAACUGAUUACAUAGAGAAGAAGAUCAAGUAUGGUUAUUUUUAUUUGGGAGACUUUGGAUGUGGUCCUUAGUUAUGAAUAUUAUUUGAUUGAAAUCUUGUUGGUUUUUAAUUUUUUAUCAAGAUCCCUGAAAUUAAUGUGAUAAUUUAUUUCUAUGUAAGUUACUAUAUUUUUUUAAUUAGAAAUUAGAAAUUUUAGUUGUUUAUAUAAAUGAGAUUUUAAAUUAAAAAAACCAUAAUUUGUGGGAUUAAAAAUAUUAAAAUAUAAAUAUACUAUUGUGUGUGUGUGUGUGUGUGUGUGUGUAUAAAUAUGGGUACAUUCAUCAAAAUUAACCAAAAAAUUUAUUGUAUCAAAACAUGGGUACAUUCUUCAAAAUCACAAAAAAAGAAAGAUAUUAGGCUUAAUAACAUUAGUAAAUUUCUUCGAUUAAACUUGACAUGGAUACAUUUUAAAAUCAAAGAAAAAAAAUGUACCCAUAUAAGUUUAAAAAUGGAUUAGAAAAAAAAAUUGAAUAGAUUUUAUACAAAAAAAGGGUACGUUUUACAUAUAACAAAUUGGUAUAUUUAAGAAUGAGUACAUUUUAAGAUUAAAAAGUUUUACAUGAAUGGGUUCAUAUAAUUAGCAUGGGUACAUUUAGCAAAAUAAAAAGUACAAAUACAAAAAAAUAUAUGUGUACAAAUACAAAUAAACUUUAAAAAAUAUGGGCACAAAAAGAAAUUAAUAUAUGGGUACAAAUUAAAACCGAAAAGAAAAUUGGUACAAGUUAAAAAAGAAUUACAAAUUAAAAAUGGGUACAAACUAAAACUAAAAAUAUAUGAUAAAAAAUUUAGUCAUAAAUAUAAAUAUACUAAUUGUAACAUUUUUAACAUUAAAUGAAUAUAUUUAGACAUAAAAAAUAUAUUUUAUUAUUGAAAUAAUUAAUGAUGUUAUUAAUACCCAAGGACCUUGAUAAAAAAUUGAAAAGAAAUAGAAUUUUAAUCAAUGGAGUAGCAAAAGAAAAGAUGAGAACCUAAUUUCUCCUUUGUAUUGUGUAGACAUUAUAACUAUACAUUCAUAAUAACAUGAGUAAUGUUAUAUUUAUCACAUUUGUACUCUUUCUCCAAUAAAGAUAGGGUCCAUCAACACAUGUGGGUUCUAUUUGCCCAUCAACACAUGCGAAUCUCAUUUUUAUUAGAAAAAUAGUACAAAUAUGAUAUGGAAAUUAUGAUAAGAUCGCAAUUUUGUAAUAACAUAUAUACUCAACUAUUUAUAUACCAACUCAUCUCCCUUUAGUGUAGUUAAUAUUGUUUGUUCAACCAAAAAAAAAAAAACUGAACUUGUCAUAAUCAUUGAAUCCAUUUACCAUGAACAAACGGCAGUUUACUAAACUUGCCCUCAGAGUAUAUAUAAAAGGUGAAUCACAAUCUAUUGCAUUAAUAUAAGGAAACAAUUUAUAGGGUUUGACGGGUGACUUAAUAUGCUAUAUGGCACAAUGAAAAUUAAGUUCACACUUUAUCCCAAAUAAGGUGUUGCACCUUUAAUUUAUGGAUGCUGGUUUGACGUGUGACCGAAAUAAUCAAAUUGUAGCCAUUAAUCAUUUUACAAGUAAUAAUAUGUGGUUUUAUUGUUUACGAUUCACACAACAAUCUGCUAGGAAGUAGAAAAUGCAGUACUUGUCCCUCUCACAGAAGUCAUGAAUAAUUAUCAAAUUCAAAGAUAAAGAAAAACCACACAAUUUACAAGAGGAAAGAAAAUGAAGGGAUAAAGAAAGUAAGAAAGGAAUACCUCUAUGGGAGGACUCUUAUUUGCUUCAGAUGCCUACAAUAUUCAUCAUAUAAACACUGAUUAAGUAGUCAUCGAAAACCAAAACAAAUGUCGAACAUAGGGUGAAAAACAGAAAGAAUAACCGCAGCUCAUCAUACCAAUAGAGAUAGAACUGCCCGAUGCCCAAGUAUGACUGAAAAAUGGCAAUCCAAACAUGGCGCCUUCUAGCUCAUCAAACUGUCAAAACCUAGGUUCCACCAAAAAGAUACAAGUCACCUAGUUACUUGUAAAAUAAAAAUCUGUUUCAAAAUAGUGGAAAAUAUUAUUAACAUUGUUCAAAGUCCACAUUGUUGUACCUACCAAGAAACAAGAAGGAUUGUAUCUUAUCAUGAAAAAGAACAUAGGUACCUUUUCAAUUGUAAUUGUACAAAAAUGAGAGACCACUUCCGAACUUCUCUUGGAACUUCAAUCAAUUUCUGCCCACUUUUAAAUGCCUUGACAUACUUAAGCCUAUUUCUUUGAGCUUCAGUUUUGGCUUCUGAUGCCUUUAAAUUUCUUAAAGAUUCUUACCAAGUUUUACAAACUCACUUCUAUACAACCAUUUGUCAGUAUACAUACCAUUUUCUUUGAGCUUCAGUCUUUGCAACACCAAAACCCCCCAAAUAGACCCGGAAUUUUGCAAUGUGCAGGGAAUAUACAAAAAAAACCCUCCUAUCCAUCUAAAACGAAAUCAGAACGCAAACCACAAUCAAAAUCCGUAAAAUUAAUUUAGCCAACCCCUAAAUCUAAUAAUUCUAACAAAUAUUAUAGUAUCAAUUGAGAGAGAAUUUGAGAAGAUACCUAGAGAUGAAAGGAAGAGCGUUUCCUCUGAUAGGGGUUCCGUGAAAGCAUCUGUUGACCAGAAAAGAAAAGGCAAAAAACCCCAAAUUACAUAUCAAGCAAUUAUAGAUAGAUCGAACCUUGAAAAUUGAAAUUUCAAACAAGAGAAAGGUUAUAAACUUACAACGAUCUGGGUGUUGGUAACUGGGUUUGGAUUUGGGUUUCUGAUAAGAGAGAGAAUCGUAUGAGGAACCGAUAGAGGAACUGCACCGGCAACAGAGAGCAAUUGAUAUGGUGGAGAACAGACGAGAAUAGCUGCUUGGAUGGUCAAUCCAAGAAGAGAAAAUCUUGCCACAAUCGCGGUACUUGAAAAAAAAAAAAACAAGUUUAAAGGAGGGAAACAAUCGCGCCUUUUUCUAAUAGACUCUGUCGACGAUAUUCUUGACAAAUAGAUGCUUCGUCGGGUGAGCUUAUUUUUCACAACAUUUUAUUUAGGAUUGGGUUCGGUUGGUAAACCGUGUCAAAUUUCUUGUGCCACUUGCCAGCCACAUAUACAUAAUUACCGAAAAUCAGUUACCGUUAGCCAACCGUCUUCUUGCGGUUGCCAAAAAUCGGUUCAGCCAAAAUGAUUGGCUGGUUCGGUUGGUAAAUGGCACAACCGGUGGUUUCCACUUCUUCCUCGCUAUCUUCCAGUUCCAAGGGCUCAAUUUGAUUUUCAGAUUGGGAUGCUUGUUCGGUUGCAUUGUGUGGUUCAUUUUGGGUUAAUCCAUGUUGUGCACUAGUAGUUGAUUGGCUAGACUCCAUUAUCCUAAACAUAAGCAACAAAUAUACAUUCAAAAUAAUAUAUAUGUACGUGUAUAUAUAGUAUCAGUAAUCAUCAUGCUAUCAAUUUUGUUAACAAUAUUUUCUAUAUAUUGAUUUUGGCAUGAAUCAUAUACACAUACAUAUAUUUUUAAAACCCUAAAACUAAGGAGUCAUUUAUUUUCUAAACUCUAAAAUUGAGGAGUCAAGCAUGUAAAAAAAUACUUAAAAUAUCUAAAUAGAAAAAGAAAAAGAAAAAAAAAUAAAUAUAUAUAUAUAUCGGUAGGUAUGGCAUACCGCCGGCAUACAAAAUCAAUUACCAAAGCCAUGCCAUUAAUUGUCGGUUCGGUAAAAUGCCAACCGAUUAUGAAAAAAUGUCAAAACUAUACCAUACCAUUUUGAGCCAACCAGUAUGGUUUGGUCAGUAAAUCGGUUUAUGGCAAAAUUUCUCACCCCUAAUUUUAUUUGUCACCUUAAACCUAUUGGUUUCUAGCCUACAAUUCGGAUAUUUUGUUGGGGAAAGAUUUUUGUACCAAUAAAAUUUUGCUUUGUCGGCAAAAUGACAUUUUCUAGUAGUUAUAAUAUUAGGUAGAUCAAAUUUGUAAACUAUGUGAUGUGUCACUAAUAGGAAAAAAUUUCAGUGUGCUGAAAAUACGGUCUAGAACACCAAGUGUCAUAAUAUAUACUUGGUUGGAAAUCUUUUAUUUUCAAGUUUCCAACUAGUUGUAUUGUAACAGUUGGUGUUCCAAGCUAUUUUCUCCAUGCGCUGGAAAAUCUCUUCACUAAUUAAAAAUAAACAUAUUAAUUAACACUUAAGUAAUAAUCAAAGCAUCAACAACUACGUCAUAGAAUUUACGAAAUAUGAUCUUAAUUAAUGAUCUCCAUUACCCUUUAUCUUAGCGUAUACGUACGCCUUCACAUGUUUAUUUGCUGAUAUGCAGCUUGAGUAAAAAUUUCUUUUUAAGAACAUAUAUGUGAAUAUAAACAUAUAUAUCUAGUGAUCCAUGUUGCGUUAUUUAAAAAUAAACAAAUUAAUUAAUUAAUGAACUGUGUACCUGUCUGUGUAGAGUAAUCCAUAUGCAUGCUUGAAUCCUGAUCACCACGAAACCAUAAUAUAAGCUACUCAAGGCCCGGAAGCUAGGAUUGAAGAGAAAAACACCCAGUCAGAUUAAGCCAAUACAUCAAAGUUAAUACUUCCAAAUGUAAGCUUUAAGAUAGAAAAAUCACUUACUUCCUUGAGCAGUCGAGCUUCUUCAAUGGCAUGAAGCUUUUAGCAUGAGAUUGACUGCAUCACAACUAAAAUUUUCUCUUGGAAACUACAUAAGGAAUAGCAUGUAUACCUAUAACGUUGAGAAAGUACGCCAAUUUUUUCCUUCUGCACAUUCAUGUUUAAAAGUAAUCCUCAAAUGAACUUGCCCACAAUGAAAUGCAAUUUGAGGUAGUCGAGUGUGUUCCAUUUCCAUCCCAUCGGAAUUACUACUAAACUUUGAGAUGGUAGAGGAUUCAUGAAAUUUUUUACUUUUGAAAUAGUCUCCUUAGCAUUUCUCGACUAUAACAAUGAGGAAAUACUUCACCUUGUAUCAAACAAGGGAGACCGAAAAUCAACUACUAAUAGCAUCACAGAGCCAGCAGAAGAUUGAGGAGGCCAUGAAAAGGAAAGAGAAAAUACACUCUUUUUUUGUAAGGACAGAGAUAAUACAUUCAAUAAAGGGUACUGAUGUUUAUAUGCAAAGCUGAUUAGGUUUAAAUAGUCGUAUUUAUUCUGUACAGUGCCAAUAUUACCACCCGUUAGUACACUUUCAAGACACUGUAAUCCAGUGUAUGCACUAUGCAGUACGUAGUACUCCUCAUUUUUUUGGGGAAAUUCAUUAUUGGUCUUCAUAUCUUCUUUAUUUUCCUUGUCCUCAUUGUGCCACGUGUUUAAAUCACUAAUUAUAGGUAAUCUUUCAAUUUAAUUAAAUCUUAUGUAAAAAAAGAUAAUUAAAUAUCAUUUAGUAUUACAAUAUAGUGAUAUUCCUCUUUAGUAUAAAAUUUUUAUAAUUAAAAGCGUUCAGCUUUUUAAUCUUCAUUGGAAUAUUAUCUAUAAAGAAAAAUUAUUCGAAUCAGAGAUCAUUUAUGCAUUCAAAUGUAUAAAAUACAUCGACAGUGUGAGAACCAACUAAUAUAUUUUUGAUGAAGUACAAUUAUUGAAUACAUUUGAACGAUCAAAUGAUAUAUGAUUCAAAAUACAUAUUAAGAUAAUAAAUAUAAAAGAAUUGUUAUUUGCACUUCAAGAAUCUCAUUCUACACUCUAAAUUUUCUAUAUAUUAAAAGAAAAAUAAAUUUGUGAAAAGUGUAGAAUGAGGUUUUUUUAAAUGCUAAUAACACUUCUCUAAAUACAAUUAUGAAAUUAAUUAAGUAAAGAUACAUGACCUCGUGAAUGAUGAAUGUAUUAUUCAAAAAAAUAUUAAAAACAAAUUGAAAAAGGACGCUGUUGUUGCCACCACUUAUGCAAUGAUCGUCGCUGCCAUCACCAACCCCCAACACCCCAUUACAGCUCAUAAAAGCACAUCAUAAGCAAUUUAUGAAAUAAAUUUACUGGAAUACUAAUUUCCCCCUUAGUUUAGGUCACCAAUGUUUAAAUUUAGGGAUCGUGAUAUCCACACACAUUUUUUACUUCUUUCACACUUUUUUUUUCGGUUGUCGGAUCAGAUGAAUUGAAGAAAAUCAAUGAACAGAAAUUAACAAGGGGUGUGUGAGAAGUAAAAAUGAAUGUGUGGAUAACACACCCCUAAAUUUAUCACAACUUUCAUUCCAAAUUUAAUUUUUAUCCGUAGUUUUGUUUGUUCAAAUUUACUUUGACAUUUCCAUUAGUAUUAAAAUCUAAUUUAAAUUUUAGUGUUCAAGCUAGAAAAAGUGUUCCAUUUAAUAUUUAAUCUCAGUUUUUCUCUUUAUUCUUUUAUUGGGAUUUGGUUGCAUCGUAUCUCCAUUUUUCUCGGUGUUGUAUGUUCAUAAGGCCUGUGAAACGUUGGCACGGAGUGAAGGGUACUCACUUUUUGGCCCAAAAUGCAUAAGGCAUGUAGAUAUGUUAAUCAAAUUUUGUAAACUAAAGGAUAUAGAAGUUGAUAAUUAGAUUAUAAUUUAAGAUAAUACUAAGGAGACUAAAUUUGCAAACUAAAUGAUGUGUCACCAAUAAAAAUAAGCACGUUUAUCAACAAUUAAGUAAUAAAUCAAUCAUCAACUUUCAUGUCCUUUAGUUUCCAAGAUUUAAUAUACAAAUUUAGUCUCCCAAGCAUUACUCUAUUACUUAAGUAUUGAUUAACAGACUUAUUUCUUAUGGUGACACAUUAUUUAGUUUACAAUUUUAGUCUACCCAACAUUACUCUUUUGAAAUUGUCUUGUCCACUGAUAUAAUUCUAUUUUUCUUGUGAUCAAAACUUCAAAUGUUAGCAAGUCGCACGUAAAGUCGCUUAUGAGAGAAUGUGCUCACAUUGUAGUUGAAAGAUUAUGUGGCUAGCAACAUUACAAAUUUAAUUUGGUAUAAUUCUAAAAUAUAGAUUGAGGAAAAAAUGAUCACAUUAACUAGAAACUGAAAAGGUUUCAGCACAGUUUGUUCAAGCAAGAAAUUCAAUUUUGAUGCUACCGAUCUUAACAGCCUGAGCGCCGUACCUGGGCACCAAAGUCACCACCACACUCUCAUCAUCUUCAGCACCCAAAUCCUCCAACAGGUCCGUUAACCCCAACCUUAAACAACUCUUGCUCUUUUCCUUCUGCUUAUGUGGCACACUCACAAAACUCCCAGCAAACUCGCUCUUGUCGGGUCCACUCGGUGCCGCAUCCUCAUCGUCCACGUCAUUCACAUACACACAUCAAACUUCACAGCCACAUCUUUGUCAAGCUCAAUCCCCUGAAUCACCAAUAUCUCCUCCUCAUCCUCUUUCUCCUUCUUGCUCCUCUUCUUCGGCUUCGGCCUUGACACCACCGUACUUAUCUUCGUCUCCAAAUUUAUUGGAAAAUCUUUACCCGCCACCACCUUCCCUGAUGACGUCGUCUCAGUGGCCUUCGCCACUCCAGCCGCCUUUGCCUUUCUCGCAAGCUUUGUCCGACGUGGCGUCGGUCUAGACUUGAGCCAUGGAAUCUCAACAUCUUCAUACGUAUACCCUAGCUUUUUAUUAUCAAGAGUGUCCCUCACCGUGACCCUAACAAGCUCAGCAUUCUCGUCAUAAAACAAAAACCCCGUAUCCAACCAAUCCUUAUCGUUAAUAUCGUUAUUUUUAGUCCCUAUACUUUUCCAAAUAUUCCACAUUCGAUCUAUAUUCGAAUGGUGCGAAAAAAAUAUUGGAUCCCUUGCAGCGGAGUAAAAAUUCCCCAUGUCUUCAAAAUUAGGCUGCGUGUUAUCUCCGGUCCAUAAAUGAACCGGACCAUGUGGGGUCGUUUCGAUUGAACCGCCCCCUGGAUCUGGUUCAGUGUCAGCCCUGUAGGGCGAACCAAAGAACAACAGCGGUUUCUUGGAGUUGGAAACCAUCUGCCUAUACAUGAUUUUGAGGUUGGCGUCGAUUUGAGCAUCCUUGGACAUUGUUUCAUCCGUGCCGUUGAAGUCAAGAUCGAUGAGAGUCGGCGGCUGAUGGCUGGCAGCGCGGAGCUCGUCGUAAAGCGGAGAGUCCGGGUUAGCGAACAAGGCAGGGAGUUGCAUGCCAGCUGGCGCGUCCCAGUUCCAAAACGGCAACGCGAACGUCGGAUCGUCUAUGAGUUUGGCCAAGAUUCUUUCGUAGAAGUAUACGUAGUAACGAUGGAAGGGGAAGAAAAGCCAGCAUUGAUGGAUUUGGAGCUCGAGGUUGGGGAAGCCGACUUGGUCGUACGCGCCGUCGCAAUAGGCACAGUGGAGAUCGGCUUGCUGGGUGAAGCUACGCGGAUCGUCGUCCGGGAGGGCUUUCAUGAGCUCGAUGGCUUUUGAAUAUUUUUCGAUGUAGGCUUUAUCCACGGUGUGAGCUGCCGGCCUGACGCGGAGUUUGGUAGGGGAGGGGAAUUUGAAGUCUACGAUUUUUUGGGACGUUGGCGGGCAACAGUUGAUCGGGACUGCUCCACUUGGAAAGUCCGCAGCUCCGCAUUUGGCUAGGUCAGGCGGCAACACUGGCUUUGCAACAGCGAAGGGGUCGCUGCCAAGACCAGCCACUCCGGCUUUGCAACAGCGAAGGGGUCGCUGCCAAGACCAGCCACUCCACCGUAGAGGCUUCCGAGACCUAUAAGAAGAUAGAAUUCAGUUCUUGGCAGUAGAGGACUCUAUUGCAGGGAAAAACUGAUUUGAAUUAGGAAGGCUUAAGUAGUUUUCCAUAAGGAUUUUAAUAGGGAAUCCAUAUUCUAAUAUGAGAAGGAUAUGUGUGUACAUAUAUAUAUAUAUAUAUGGCAAUCUCUUCUCUCACAGGUGUGUGCUCUUUUGGAACUAAGCCCUAUUCUUAGUUUGAGUGAUAAAUACCCUGACAGAGAGAAGAAGAAUUGAUGUGCUUUUCAGGUUGAUCGAGAUCCACCAUGACUGCAUCAAACGGGAGUUCUACAGGUUAGUAUAAUUAGGUUUUAUUUGGAUUGAUGUUUUGUGUCUACUUGGUUGUAGUUUAAGUAACUGAAUCUUGCAGCUAGAUUUUGGUUUACAUGUGGUAUCAGAGCCAUAGAUUCAUGUUCUUAAAUUCAAUCGAUAAAAUUGAUUGAAUCCAAAAUAAAAUUCCGAUCUUCAGACUUCGAAACAGGUUCUGGUAGUUAAAAUUAGGAAAAGAAGAAACGGUGCGUUUUGAUUAAAAUAUGAUGAUUAAUACUUGACCGUUAAGAGCUAAUAAACUAUCUUCUCUUCCGAAUUGGGAAUACAAAUCGACAUCUAUCGAUUUCGAUUUCGGGGUUUGAAAAACUGGGUUAUAUGACAUCUAUCGAUUUCGAUUUCGAGGUUUGAAAAACUGGGUUAUAUGAAUUGUUAUUGAGUAUCCACAAUUUAUAUUAAUUGCUUCCGCUGCUGGGUGUUGAUGCUCAUAGAACAAACGGGUAUGUCUCCUGAACAUUGAAUUGAAAUUUGUUUUUUAAUCAAUCUUAUCUUGAAUUUCAUUAUGUUCUACAGCAUGAUUCGAAUAGUGAGCAUAAAAAUAUGCUUAUUUAUGCUGAUUAGUCCUAUGUUUAUGCGUUUUUCUCUAACCAUCUAUGGAAGGGAGUUCUUCGAUAAGAACCUCUGCAGAUUUCACUUGUUUUAUGCAGAAAGUUUUAUGAAGAACUGUUCAUUUGAUAAAGAUCUGCUAAAACUGUGUUCUUAAAUGGAAAAAUCUUUUAUUCUAUAUGUGCUUAUCAAUUCUUCAUUGUUAAGAUUAUAUAUAUGGAUAAAAGGUUUUGAUGAUAUGAUGUACAAAGGAUUGUGAGAUGAAAUCUGGAACUCUAAACGUUCUUCUGUGAUUCAUUGUGAUUUCAUUGUGCUACAGUGUCUGCAAUAUCAAUGAAGACUCUGAAUUUGGCUAACAUCCCAAUUCUUACUGGUGGGGGAAAUUACAAGAAGUGGAGAAGGGAAAUCAGUUUGCUGUUGACUCUAAACGAGUUUGAUAUAGCAAUCGAGAAUCCCAAACCCGUGGUCAAUGAUCAGAGCAGCACAAGGGCUGAAAAGGCAGAUUUUGAGAGAUGGACAAGGGCUAAUAAGGUAGCAUUGUCCAUCCUUGAGAGUGGCAUGACUGAUACAAUCAGAUGAGGAAUUAAGAAGCACGAUUUGGCUGCUGAUUACCUAAAAGCUAUUGAAAAGAAAUUUCAAGAAUCUGAAAAAGCUGAAGUGAGUCAGUAUAUGUCUUUAUUAACUACUUACAAGAUGGAGGGUACAAGCUCUAUAAGGGAUCACAUAAUGAAGAUGACAUAUGCUGCAGAAAGACUCAAUGCAAUGGAUAUAAACAUAGGUGAAAAGCAGUUAGUAUUCAUGAUUCUUCAAGCACUUCCCAGUAAAUAUAGUCAGUUGAAGAUCUCCUACAAUACUCAAGACAAAAACUGGGAUAUUGAUCAGUUGAUUGCACAGUGUGUGCAAGAAGAAACUCGUCAAAAACAAGAAAGAGGCAAAGAAGUUGAGGACAUCAACUUUGUGCAAACUAUAAAUGACAAAAAGCAGUUCAACAACAGAAGCUUUUCUGGUUCUGGUAAGAGUUCUAAGCCUUUUAAAACUUCUAAUAAGUUCAGUAAUUCUGCUAAAGUAGUUGACUCCCCUAGAAAAUCUAUCAAGUUUAAAGCUAAACCUAAAGAUGUGUCUAAAUUAAAAAUGUUUUUGGUGCAAAACUAAGGGCCAUUUAAAAGUUAACUGUGAAAUUUUCAAAGAUUAUGUAAAGAGCAAAGAAAAGGAACAAGUACUUGUCUGUAUUGAAUCAAAUUUGUGAAGUAUACCUGUUGAUUCUUGGUGGUUUUGAUAUACCGGAUGCUCAGUGCAUAUAACUAAUUCUUUAAAUGGUUUUCAAAAACAAAAGGAAUUUGGAAAUGCUACAUAUAAUGUUUUUGUUGGGGAAGGAACUAAAGUUGCAGUAGAGUCAAUUGGGAUAGUCAAAUUAGUCUUAUGUUCUGGUUAUGUUUUAGAGUUGAAAGAUGUGUGCUAUAUGUGCCUAAGAUGAGAAGAAACUUAAUUUCUGCCCUCUAAAAUUGUAAAAGAUGGUUUUUCUUUUCUUGGUGAUGAUGAGUGCCUCAAAAAUUUUCAAGAAAAACUGUCCUUGUCCUAACACUAUUUUAGGGACUGCUUUUUUGUCUGAUAAUUUAUGGAAUCUAAAUUGCACUGUUAAGGCACUCAAUCACACGAUUUUCAGCAUUAGUACUAAGAGAAUGAUAGGUCAGGAUACUUCAUACAUUUUAUGGCACAAAAGACUAGGACACAUCUCUAAAGAAAGGAUAAUUAAGCUGUAAAAAACUGACUUGAUUCCAAAAUUAGAUCUUUCUACUGCAACUGAAUGUGUUGACUGCCUAAAGGGUAAAAUGACCAAUUUUAGAAAAACAGAUGCCAAAAUGAGCCAGGGGUUACUUGAAAUCAUACACACUGAUAUCUGUGGUCCUUUUCCAGUUAAGACAAUAUGUGGAAACAAGUAUUUCAUUAAUUUCAUAGAUGAUUUUUCAAGGCUGGGAUAUACCUUUCUGAUUAAUGAAAAAGCUGAUGCCCUUAAGUGUUUUAUAAUUUACAAAACUGAGGUUGAAAAACAGUUAGGCAAGGUUAUUAAAAUUGUUAGAUCGGAUAGGGGAGGUGAAUACUUUGGCAGGUACACUGAAUCCGGGCAGCAAAAGGGACCAUUUGCUCUCUAUCUCGAGAAGAAUGGUAUUGUGGCGCAGUACACCACACCUGGAACGCCUCAACAGAAUGGUGUUUUUGAAAGAAGAAACAGGACUCUUAUUGGUAUGGUUAGAAGCAUGAUGUCCAGAUCAAAAUUGCCAGGAUUCUUGUGGGGAGAAGCUUUGAAAACAGCUAAUCAUAUAUUGAAUCGAGUUCCAAGCAAGGCAGUAUCUACCACACCCUAUGAGUUAUGGCAUGGGAGAGUUCCUAGUUUUACUUAUUUCCAUGUUUGGGGUUGUAAAGCAGAAGCUAAGUUAUAUAAUCCUAAUGAAAGAAAGCUGGAUUCAAGGACUCAGUCAUGUUAUUUUAUUGGCUAUCCUGAGAAAUCAAAAGGAUACAGGUUCUAUAUCCCUCAAGGUCACACUCGGAUCCAAGAGACACACAAUGCAGUUUUCCUAGAAGAUGAAGAUGUCUCUCAUUUGUCAAGGGAAAAUUUCAUAUUUGAAGAGAUGCAUUCAGAUGGUGGGGACCAUGUGACAAUGGAUUAUAAUAUCGGUCUCAUUGUUUCCCAAUCAAUCAUCAAUUGCCAUUGAAGAUAUGAGUGAAGAUUUAGGAGUUCCUGAUGACAACUCUGUAGGAGUUGAUUCCACAACAUAAGCUGCAACAAUUCCUUUUGCAGAAGCAUGUGAACCAGUUGCUGUUCCACCUCCAGUUGAAAUCAGAAGGUCACAAAGAGCUCGGAAAACCACUGCAAGCAAUGACUAUGUGUACUUAUAAGAGACUGAGUUCGAUAUUGGUGACAUUUGAUGAUCCUCUUACAUAUACUCAGGCAACUGAAAGUCCUCAAGCAGUUCUUUGGAACAAUGCAAUGAAGGAUGAGUUAGAUUCAAUGUCCAAAAACCAGGUUUGGACAUUGGUGGAAUCCAACUCUGAAAUUAGGCCAAUAGGCUGCAAGUGGGUAUAUAAAACCAAAAGGGAUGCUGCUGGAAGAAUUGAAAGAUAUAAAGCAAGGUUGGUUGCUAAGGGGUUUACUCAAACGGAGGGGAUCGACUAUAAUGAUACUUUCUCUCCAGUUUCCUCCAAAGACUCCAUGCGAGUUAUCAUGUCUUUAGCUGCCUACUUCGAUCUUGAAUUACAUCAAAUGGAUGUAAAAACCGCUUUUCUUAACGGAGACUUACAAGAGGCUAUAUACAUGAAACAACCUGUUGGAUUUGUUGAAAAGGGGAAAGAGAAUUUAGUAUGCAAGCUCAAUAAGUCCAUAUACGGCUUGAAACAAGCAUCAAGGCAAUGGUACCUAAAGUUUGAUCAAAUUGUCUCUGCAUAAGGUUUUGUAGAAAACAAACUGGAUGAUUGUAUAUACAUUAAGUUCUCAGGUUCCGAGUUCAUCUUCUUAGUACUUUAUGUUGAUGCCAUUCUCCUAGCUAGUUCAUGUCCCCAAUUGCUUCAUAGCAUUAAGAGAAUGCUAAGUGAUAACUUUGAGAUGAAAGAUCUUGGAGAAGCACAUUAUGUACUAGGAAUAGAGAUUGUUCGAGAUAGGAAAAUGAGGCUCCUUGGUUUAUCUCAAAAGGGGUACAUUGACAGAGUGUUGGAGAAAUUUCAUAUGGCAAAUUGCAAUUGUGGUCAGGUUCCAGUCAAUAAAGGUGACAAGUUUUCGAAGAUUCAAUGUCCAAGAUCUGAUUUGGAGGUGAAGAAAAUGCAAGCUAAGCCUUAUGCCUCGUUGAUUGGAAGUCUUAUGUAUGCAACUAUCUGUACAAGGCCUGAUAUUGCCUUCAUAGUUGGUAUGCUAAGACGAUUUCAAGCAAAUCCUGAGAAGCACAUUGGGGGUGGCAGCCAAGAAGGUUCUUCGAUACUUGCAGAGAACCAAAACUCACAUGUUAGUAUAAUGGCCGAACUGAUUCUUUGGAGCUCAGGGGGUAUAUACUCGGAUUUAGCUGGAGAUGUGGAUGACAGGAAGUCCACAGGGGUUAUAUCUUCAUACUCAAUGGAGGGGCAGUUUCGUGGAAAAAUGCAAAGCAAACUAUUAUAGCCACAUCAACUAUGGAAGCUGAGUUUGUAGCCUGUUUUGAAGGCAUGAAACAGGCAGCAUGGUUGAAGAAUUUUUUGACAGAUUUAAAGAUUGUGAAUUCGGUUCAGAAACCAGUAACAAUGUUCUGUGAUAAACAACUCGGCUGUGUUUUUUGCUAAGAAUAAUAAAAGGACUUCAGCAUCUAGAUUUGGAUGGACGAAGUUUCUUAAGGUCAGAGAACAAGUCAAGAAAGGAGUUAUUGAAGUACAGCACAUUAGCACUACUAUGAUGAUUGCUGAUCCCUUGACUAAGGCACUGCCAAUUGGAGAAUUCAAGAAACAUGUUUCUUCAAUAGGAGUACUAGAAGGUUUUGAUCAGUGGGAGUAAUCACGUGUGUGUUAAAGGCUUGGGAUUGCAGAAGCAGAAGUAUAUAUGUGUUUCAAGAACUGUAUGUGCAAUUCUGACAAGCUGAACUAAGGAUGCUUUAUGUUUUAACUUGCUUUAGUUAGUUUGUUAAGGUUGUUUGUGUUUUAAUAAGUGUCCUUGUCUGCUACUCAAUACUUUGGCUUUCAGGUGUUGAGGUACGGAUACUGGACUGAGUUAGAAUUUAGUUUCAUUAGUAACUUUGAAAGAACAGUUUGUCUGUUUUUUAAGUUUGUGGUUAAUGAUGUUAUAUAGUCAAUUACUAUGUUGCUUUUCUGUGAAGAUUAAUGUGUGUUGUGAUCUUUUGAAAAGUGGGAGCAUAAUGUUUGACGGUUUAUGUUAGUCAUGAGUCAUAUUUACAAAUUGAAUAUAUGUGAGCCUUGAAUUAAUACUACAAUUUGGUUGUGGUCUGAGAUUCUUGGUUUCUAUAUUUUGAGAUGUAAUGGGACAGUGGUCAUGAUGGUUAAAUCUUAGAUGAGGUUAUGUGAUCACUUCUUAUGAUUGGUGACGGCAAGGUUUGAUCUUUGUCUCAUGUUCAAGUGGGAGAAUGUAAGAAUGUGAACAUGAGAUAAGAUGAUCGGAUAUUAGUUGUUUGAGUCCAAUCCGAAUAAGAAAGCCUCUAAGAAGAUGGAAUUCAGUUCUUGGCAGUAGAGGACUCUAUUGCAGGGAAAAACUGAUUUGAAUUAGGAAGGCUUAAGUAGUUUUCCAUAAGGAUUUUAAUAGGGAAUCCAUAUUCUAAUAUGAGAAGGAUAUGUGUGUACAUAUAUAUAUAUAUAUGGCAAUCUCUUCUCUCACAGGUGUGUGCUCUUUUGGAACUAAGCCCUAUUCUUAGUUUGAGUGAUAAAUACCCUGACAGAGAGAAGAAGAAUUGUUGUGCUUUUCAGGUUGAUCGAGAUCCACCAUGACUGCAUCAAACGGGAGUUCUACAGGUUAGUAUAAUUAGGUUUAUUUGGAUUGAUGUUUUGUGUCUACUUGGUUGUAGUUUAAGUAACUGAAUCUUGCAGCUAGAUUUUGGUUUACAUAUUUUUCGAUGUAGGCUUUAUCCACGGUGUGAGCUGCCGGCCUGACGCGGAGUUUGGUAGGGGAGGGGAAUUUGAAGUCUACGAUUUUUUGGGACGUUGGCGGGCAACAGUUGGUCGGGACUGCUCCACUUGGAAAGUCCGCAGCUCCGCAUUUGGCUAGGUCAGGCGGCAACACUGGCUUUGCAACAGCGAAGGGGUCGCUGCCAAGACCAACCACUCCGGCUUUGCAACAGCGAAGGGGUCGCUGCCAAGACCAGCCACUCCACCGUAGAGGCUUCCGAGACCUAUAAGUACAUUUCUUCUGUCUAGGUUUACUAGAGAAGGGUUUUCAUGGUCGUGAUCGUUGGAGCUAGUGGAAGGGUUUUUGUUUUGGUCACUACUAUUAUUUGUGGCUUUGCACGAGACAGCUUGUAAAUUGGAAUGCCUAGGGUUUCCAAAUGAGGAUAUUCGGUGAUACUUUUGGGAGAAAGGGGAGAGAGAAGUUGUGGGGAUGAUACUUGUGGCGGAGGUGACGAGUGGAGCUGACAUAGAAGCCAUGGUACUUGACUCUGAAUAAUACGUUGUAUUGGCUUUGCUUUUAUAAUGUGUUCUAGGUUUUACGUUUCUUUGCACGGGUGGCAGGCCGUACACACGUGGUCGGUCCUUAAGGGUUUGACGAGGAAUACUACGCAGUCAUUUAGUACAUGACAACCAUACACUAUAGCACGUGGCAUGUAUUUAGAGAUCGAGAGAGAAUUGGGUAAGGUUCACGAGGGAUUGUAGUUUCAGAAGGUGAAUUGGUUUUGGUCUUCUUGUGUACCAAUAAUUUUUACUUAGUCAUUUAGUGCAGGACAACCAUGCACUAUAGCACGUGGCAUGUAUUCAGAGAUCGAGAGAGAAUUGGUUGGGUAAGGUUCACGAGGGAUUGUAGUUUCAGAAGUUCAAGCGGUUUUGGGCUUGUUGUGUACGGCUGUGGGUCUGCUGUCACGGACUCUCUGUCUCAUUUGUGUCUUAUUUUUUAUUUUUUGACACGUUUUAACGUCAAAUCAUUAUAGCAAUGUUAUGCAAUUGGGAGCUAAAUGACCGAUGCUCUUAUUUUUUAGUUUGCUUUUUUUCCAGAUCUGAUCAAAUCAUGAUAGCAAUGUUAUGCAAUUUUCAAGAGGGAGAGAUGCACCUGGGAGAGAAACGGUACGGUGACUUCUAAAUCACCGUCCAACAGAACAAUUCUCAGUAGAGACUACUAGAGAGAGAUGCACCUCACCAAUGAAAAAUUUAACUGCAAAAAUUCUGGGUAUCGGGAGUUGUGGGGUGGGUCUUGGCAGUUUUCUUAUUUCUUUGAAUUUUUUAUAAUUUAUUUUAUAAAAGUAACAGUGUUUUGUGGGGGUUAAAUUGUAAAACACGUGUCAUCAAACUAAAUAAAGAGACACCAAAGAGACAUGGAAUUCGGGACAACAGACCCACAGCCGUUGUGUACGGAGGCAGACUCUCUGCUCUCCUACUUUCUGUGUCCUCCUGUUUUGUGUAGUCACGAUUAAAUCACGUCAAUAUUUUAUAUUAUUAUUUUAUAGAUAUAAUAAGACAAAAAAGAAUAGUAAUUUAAAAUAUUAACGUGACUUAACUGUGACCACACGAAUAGGAAGGCAUGAGAAGUGGGAAGGCAAAGAAUAUGCCUCCGUUGUGUACCAAUAAUAUUAUAUAUAUAUAUAUAUAUAUAUAUAUAAUUAGGAUUGAAGGAUGUAGAGCUUAUUUUGUUAUGUAUUCUAACAAUUUAAGUGCUUAUCUUUUAGGUUUUCUCUUAAACAGCAUGCCUAUAAAAAAUCACCAAAAUUCAAACCAUAUGACCAUUAGAUCCAUAGUCAUUUUAGUGUUAAAUGAACUUCACAAAAUAAGUCUCAAAAUAUGUAUAAAAAAUGGACAGCGUGAAUGGUUUGGAAAUUGGAAUAGGUUUGGAAAUUGUGCUUUUUGUAGCAAAUUGCAGCAAAGUUUGCUUGGACUUUCACAACCGUAUAAAUUAAACUGUUCGCUUUGUUGGGAAAAACAAGUUUGCCGCUGGUCUUGGGUUCCAAGAUCGGCCAAUUUGACGGCACACUUUUUGGCGUUGAGAAGCAGUACGGAGAUGUGCAGAUUAACUUGGAUUGAUACUCCUCCAUCUUCGUUGGUUCGUGUAUUGAACAAAGAUGGCCUUCCUUGCCCUCCUUAAUAUUUUUUGUUCUUCCUGCAGUGGAGGCGGUGACGCCUUGCUCUUGGUGCAGCGUCUAGUGUUCUGUACCCUCCUCUUCUGCAUAUGUUUGUAUUUCCCCUCGUUGCCCCUUCUAAGUGGGCUUCCUAUUGUUUUGGCUUCGGCCCUGGUUAUGAAAUAUUUCCAAUCUUACCCAAAAAAAAAAAAAAAAAGAAGAAGAAGAAGAAGUCAAGCACGGUGGGAGACUGGUCAUAGUUUCUAGAUUGAUGCUCUAAUUCUAAUGUUAUACAACGCGUACGCUAAAAUAUUUUUAUCAAAAUAUUAGUUUUAGUGUUAUCAAAACAAUAAUGUUAUUCUUACCAUGUUUUUGUAUCACAAUUAUAUACCACCUUAGAUGGCAUAUGAUGUAGAUAGCCACAUCAUUUAAAUUAAUAAGCAUUUAAUUUCAAAUGUUAAUCAAUAAUUAAUAAAAUGAUUGUUAAUUAAAUGAUGAUUAUGGUAUACAAGGAGUCUCCUUCUUCCUUCCCCUUUCCAUUCUGCUUUUUCUUCCUACCACUUUCUGUUUUUUUUUUCAUGCCAGUUUUUGUAUUGAUUUCUAUUGAUUUCCAUGAUUAUGGUCAAUCUUUAUAGAAUUUACUCGUAUACCACAACCACCAUUGAUUUCUAUCUCUAGACUCAUGCCCCGUAGCCCUAAUCCUCAUUCCCCUUCAAGUAUUUCUGUCUCCAAUCUUCUUUGGUACUCCAUGGUUGUUCAUCUCGUGAUUUUUUUUUAUUAUUUCAUUAAGUAACGCCUAUUAGCUUUCAUGCGAAUUAGGAGUCAAAAUCAAAUUUGUCUAUCGGAUUAGGGUUCAUGCCCAAUUAAGUUACUAACGCAAGAGAGAUUUUGAAGUCUACAAUUUUCCUUAUUUAAGUGUUUUAAUUAAUAAGAAAAUUGAAAUUAAACGAUUUAGCUUGUCCAACUCAUCUGCCACCUAAGAUGGUAAAUAAAUGUGGUAAGAAUAGCAUUACUCUUAUCGAAAUUACAAAAAAAAAAAAAAAAAAAAAAAAAAGCUGAUUCAAUAUUUAGUUAUUAAAAAAAAUAUAAAAAAAGUGAUCAAGUAACUAUCCAAUACCCAUGUAUUGGGUGCUUUGUUUGAAAAUUUUCAAAAUGAUAUUGGGCUCGUUUGGAUAUGUUUUUAAAAUGACUGAAAGCGUUUUUAGAGAAAAUAUUUUUUUGAUUCCAAAAGCACUUAAAGUGUUUUCUGCAAAAAGCACUUAAAGUGCUUUCUGCAAAAAGCACCAGUUAUGUGCUUCUUCCUAGAAGCACUUUAAGUGUUUUUCAAGCAUUUACUUGCUUUUUUACUAAGGAUUGGUUCCAAAAACAUUUUCACAAAAAGUGUUUUCAGUCAUUUUAAAAGUACAUUCAAACGAGCUCAUUGUUUUUCCUAUUUUAAUCAAGUGCGUCGUCCCCUGUUGAGAAUGAAUCUCAUAUUAUGGGGAGAGGGGUCUUGCAUGGAUGAGAGGAGGGACCUUGCAUGAGCUUAUAAGUAAGUUGGGUUACUCUCUAUAUUGCCAAGAGAAAUUUUAUUUGGACCUACUUUUCCUCUCUCUAAACCCAACUUUAAUAUUUUGUUACCUAAACUCUCUAGUUUACCCUCAUAAAUUAUAAACAUAAAUAAACUGGAAAAAGAAAAACUCAUCAAACCUAUUUCCCAACUGUUCUGGCGUCUCUUCCCUGUAUUUGUUGGGUCUAUCUCCCUCCCGACUGUUUUUUUUCCCUGAUAUUCUCUGUGUGUUCCCCCACCUCUCCCACACCCACCGAUUCUUUGUGGUGGCUAUUCCACCCAACGUCCAGUGAAUCUUUCCAUUUUUCUUCUAUUGCGCGUGAUAGGGCCUUGCUGUUAAUAGGCAAAACUAAGCGGCAUCGUCGACUCUGUAAGCGACUUGUUGCAGAAGUCCAAAAUGGAGUCAAAAGGAUUUUGUAUUGGGUCGGGUUGUUGAAGGCGAUGGCUGAUUUAGCAAUCUCGCCUAACUACUUCUAUAUGCAGGAGAAGGAAGAGGGAGGAAGGUCUAAAGUGGUGGUUGAGUGGUGGCGAUGUAUGUGGGUUCUAUCUCGGUUGAAUGGGUGUAGAAAGAUAUUUAAUUUUCAGUUUCUUAUUUUAUUUUGUAUAAGGGAUAAUAUCGGAAUUACAUAAAAAGUUUUUUUUAUAGCUGGGUGUAGAAAUAGUAUUGUUGGGUCUAAAUAAAAUUACCCUAUUGCCAAACAUAGUAUUGUUGGGUCUAAAUAAAAUUACCCUAUUGCCAAUUAGCUUUGUUUGAAAAUUUUCAAAAUGAUAUUGUUUUUACCAUUGAACCCUUGUUAUAUACAGUGAUGGCUAAUUUGUCAAGUUCUACGAAGUUGGGAUACCCAGCGUUUUAGCAUAUAACAUAACUUAGUAUUACAAGCAUAAUUAAUUAAAAUAAAGGAAAAUGAAGAGGAUAGCUUAGUAUUACAAGCAUAAUUAAUUAAAAUAAAGGCAAAAGUAACAGCCUGUCCCUAAAAAUGACGAUUUUAUAAUCUUAACACGUGAGUUUAUGAAGAUGCCCUUCGAGGCAAAGUGUUGACUUGUGUUGACUACCGCAUCGUGUCAUGUGAGACUCAUCUUCUUGGCGUAUUCUCGUUUUACUUGUCACUACGGACGCAUGGGCGCAAACGGGACAUGAUUUGGAGCUAUAACGAAUGAGUUAUUAACAUUUAAAGUUAAGGACAUUUUAGUAAAUUAAUUAAUUUCAGAUUAUGUUGAGGGGAAAAUCUGGAGUGCCGGUGGGUGGCCCAGAUUAAAGGAAAUGAAGAAUGGAUGGUGGAGGUGUAAAGGAAAGAAGAUAAAAGAAAAAUGAGAGGAAGUGUGUGACUAAUAGGGAGAUGAGAGAGUUAGGAUGGCCCAAUCAGAAACAAACGAAAGGAGGAAAAAGGAGAGAAGAGGGGAGCGGGGGAUCCCUUCGACCCGGUUCCAUUUUCCGACCCGACCCGAUCCUUUUCAUCUUCUUUGAUGGUUUUUCGUCGGUUUUUUCCGACGAACCACGUUAUCUAACCCCUUGGAAAAUGUUCCACAACCUUCCCUCAACUAUUACAAUCCAAAAUUGUAGAAAUUUAGCCAUGAAAGUAUGAAAACCACACCGGUGGGUGCGGGAAACCCUUGUCGUCGAUUCUCCCAUUAUUGCAACGAUUUUCACCAAUUACCACCACCUACAACAUCCUCUUGAGGUCUGGAAUAAAGCCCAAACAAGUUUUGCACUACUACAAUAUUAGCUUUAGAUGGCAGAUGAUGGUGGCGGAUUUAGAAAAAUAUUGUCGGAUAAAUUAUAUCUGACACAUUAUUUAAUUAGUGGUGAAUAUAAGAAAAAUCAUGUCGGUUAUAACCGACAUAAAUUCGUGGCAGAUACUAGCAGAUAUUAAAAAACUCAUGUCGGUUAUAACCGACAUAAAUUCCUAGCGAAUAAUUACUGACAGAUAUUAUAAAACUUCUGUCGGUUAUAACCGACAAUAUUUUUGAAUUGGGGGAAUUUAAAAUUUUGGGAGGGAAUUUAAAAUUUUGGGAGGGAAUUUAAAAUUUUGGAGGAAAUUUUGGGGGGAUUUUUACCCAUAUUAAUUCAUGGCGGAUAAUUACUGACGAAUAUUAUAAAGCUCAUGUCGGUUAUAACCAACAAUAAUGAAAAUGUUUAUGUCGAUUUUUAUUAAAAAAAUGUUUCUGUCAGUUUUAACCGACAUUAAUGAAAAUAUUCCACAGUAAAACCCCUACUUCUUCUCCUUGUGCUGGUGCCUUCUCCCUUCCCCCUUCUUUCCCCCUUUUCUCUUCUCCUCAUUUCCUUUUCCUUUGUAUUUUUGAUUUUGACAAGGUCUCUCCUUUAUUUGAUUCUUUGUUGUUCAUCUCUCACAAAUGUAGAGAGAGUAAAGGAGAUGCUUAGAGCGCUUUCUUUGUUCCUUUUUUUUUUCUUUUCAUUUUUUCCCUUUUCAAACUCCGACUAUGUCUUACAUGGCCGGUCCCAAGCCCGGAUAAAGGAGGAGGGGGAGGGCGUCAGGUAGUCGACAGCCGGCACUCCAUGAUCACGUCGAAUCCUUAUGAAAAUGAAUCCAGAACAAAAUCGCGCUAAAGCUAGGGCGCCACCCGUAAGUGGCGCGCUGUGUGGCCCGAGCACAGUGAUAAGUGAGCAAGGGUCGCUGUAUCUCCAUCGGCACUCGGAUGCAGUGUUAAAUGAGCAAGGGGGCCAUAGAAACUUCUUUUCGAACGACUCCACUCAAAGUUGUUUGGGAGCAUAUGCUCCUAUCAACUUUACCCGGGACACACAAAAGAAGUACUUUGAUCCUAUUAGACGGGGGAGGGUGAAGAAGCUAGGACAGAAGGGUAGAGUUCAAGAGAGCAAAAUGCGUUUAGGAACGUGGAAUAUAGGAACCUUAACGGGAAAAUCUAUGGAAGUAGUGGAAGUUAUGGUGAGGAGAAGGAUAAAUAUUAUGUGCCUACAAGAAACUAAGUGGGUUGGUAGUAAGGCAAAGGAUCUAGAAAACUCAGGGUUUAAACUUUGGUAUUCGGGCACAAAUAGAACGAGAAACGGUGUUGGCAUCAUCGUGGACAAGACCUUGGUACAAGAUGUUGUAGAUGUCAAGAGUGUAGGAGAUAGAAUCAUGGCAAUCAAGAUUGUAAUAGGACAAGAACUUAUCAAUGUGAUUAAUGCGUACGCACCUCAAGUAGGGUUGGAUACGAGUUCGAAGGAGAAAUUUUGGGAAGAUCUUGGAGACUUGGUGCAAGGAAUUGCUCAGACGGAGAAGUUAUUUAUAGGAGGAGAUUUAAAUGGACACGUGGGCAGGGAGACAGGCAACUAUGGAGGUUUUCAUGGUGGCCAUGGUUUUGGGGAGAGAAACGAGGAUGGGGAAGCUAUCUUGGAUUUUACAAUGGCAUAUGAUCUCUUCUUAGCCAACACCUUCUUUAAGAAGAGAGAAGAACAUGUGAUCACCUACAAGAGUGGGUCGUCAAAAACACAAAUAGAUUUUCUUCUAAUGAGGAAAGGGGAUCGUAUAACUUGUAAGGAUUGCAAAGUUAUACCAGGAGAGAGCGUGGCUAAUCAACAUCGCUUGUUGGUGAUGGAUGUACAUAUCAAAAGAGUAAGACAAAAGAACAAGACUUGGAAGUGCCCAAGGACUAGAUGGUGGAAUCUAAAAGAAGAAAAACAAGUCAUUUUCAAAGAGAAGGUAAUCACCCAAUGUGUGUGGGAUAGAGAGGGGGAAGCUAGCCAAAUGUGGGAUUUCAUGGCUAGUUGUAUCCGAAAAGUAGCAAAAGAGGUAUUAGGAGAGUCUAAGGGCUUUGCCCCACACUAAAAGGAAUCUUGGUGGUGGAAUGAGGAGGUACAAACAAAGGUGAAGGCUAAGAAGGAAUGUUGUAAAGCCUUAUACAAGGAGAGGACCGAUGAAAAUGGUGAAAGGUAUAGAAAAAAAGCGAAGCAAGAGGCGAAGAAAGCUGUCAGAGAAGCUAAGUUAGCGGCUUACGACGAUAUGUAUAAACGACUAGAUACCAAAGAAGGAGAGUUGGAUAUCUAUAAACUAUCUAGAGCAAAGGAAAAGAAGACAAGGGACCUAAACCAAGUGAGGUGCAUCAAGGAUGAGGAUGGAAAGGUUCUUGCUACAGAGAACGCGGUUAAAGACAGAUGGAGAGGUUAUUUUCAUAAUCUUUUCAAUGAAGGACAUGAAAUGAGUGCUUCUUUAGGGGAGUUGAGUAACUCAGAAGAGUGUAGAAACUACUCUUUUUAUCGUCGAAUCCGGAAGGAAGAAGUGGUUGUAGCUUUGAAGAAGAUGAAGCAUAAAAAAGCAAUAGGCCCAGACAAUAUACCAAUCGAAGUGUGGAAACUUUUGGGAGAGACAGGUAUAACAUGGCUCACUGACCUUUUCAAUAGGAUUUUGAAAACGAAAAAGAUGCCAAAUGAGUGGCGAACGAGCACUUUGGUGCCUAUCUACAAGAAUAAGGGCGACGUACAAAAUUGCAUGAACUAUAGGGGUAUUAAGCUAAUGAGUCAUACAAUGAAGCUCUGGGAGAGAGUCAUUGAGCAUAGAUUGAGGCAAGAGACACGGGUUUCGGACAACCAAUUCGGGUUCAUGCCAGGGCGCUCAACCAUGGAGGCAAUCUAUCUCUUACGAAGAUUGAUGGAAAGAUAUAGAGAUGGGAAAAAUGAUUUACACAUGGUCUUUAUAGAUUUGGAAAAAGCGUAUGAUAGGGUCCCAAGAGACAUUCUUUGGAGGAUUUUAAAGAAGAAAGGAGUACGAGUAGCAUAUAUCCAAGCUAUAAAGGACAUGUAUGAAGAAGCAAAGACUGCCGUAAGAACUCAUGAAGGACAAACCGAAAGCUUUCCCAUAACUGUAGGAUUACAUCAAGGCUCAUCCUUAAGUCCUUACCUUUUUGCGUUGGUAAUGGAUGAGUUAACAGGACAUAUUCAAGAUGAUAUUCCUUGGUGUAUGCUUUUCGCAGACGAUAUAGUGUUGAUAGAUGAAACUCAGGAAGGGGUAAAUGCAAAGCUUAACCUUUGGAGAGAAGUGUUGGAAUCUAAAGGUCUUCGCCUAAGCCGAUCAAAGACAGAAUAUAUGGAGUGCAAGUUCAGUGCAAAUGGAGGCCAAAACGAGUUAGGGGUGAGGAUCGGAGAUCAAGAAAUACCAAAGAGUGACCGUUUUCGUUACCUAGGAUCUAUCUUGCAAAAGAACGGAGAAUUAGAUGGAGAUCUCAACCAUAGAAUACAAGCUGGAUGGAUGAAGUGGAAGAGUGCAUCUGACGUGUUGUGUGACCGUCGUAUGCCACUGAAGCUCAAAGGAAAAUUUUAUAGGACGGCAAUAAGGUCGGCGAUGAUUCAACUUGGCGGGUUCGAGCAAAUAGGCGUUGGGCCAUAUUAGACACAGAACCUGCACACUGAACACUGAGAGCUAGCGAAUCCUUAACAGCUAACUCAUCAGACCGUUUGGAAAGUAGUCUGUUAUCUUUGGGAGUGAGAAGGUUCCUGGCCACCACCGCAGCGGUCAUAUCAUUCUUCAUCACGGAAUCCCCAACGGUAAGAGGACCAGUAGGGGAGACAAAGGAUGGGCGCCAUAUGUUGUCUGGAGAAGGCGGGGCUGCCUCUUCAACAAGGUUCAAGUCAAAAAACGACGGUCGGAGGGCCAGACAUUUUCAAAGGUGUUGAAGAGAGAAGAGGUCGGACACAAAUCAAGAUCUUAGAAGUGCAAGAAUGAAGCUUCUACUGGUGGAGAUUCAAGUGUGCUUUGGAACUUAAUGCCAGCCCCUAUAAAAAUCUGCACUCGACGGAGCUUCAGAAAUCGAAGAGGCGUUUGCUUUCUCAAAAGCUGGGCUGCUUAGAGAUCACGAGGGUUGAUCUCAGGAAUCGAAGAGGCGUUUGCUUUCUCAAAAGUUGGGCUGCUCAAAGACCACGAAGGCCGAUCUCAGAAAUCGAAGAGGCGCUCACUUUCUCAAAAACUGGGCUCCCCAGAGACCACGAGGGCCGAUCUCAAAAAUCGAAGAGGCACCUACUUUUCCAGCCUUGUCAGCACCUGUCACACGCACACUCAGCUUUGCGGAAAUUAUGGGCAUUCUGUCGAAGACUUCUGGGGAAGUAGAAAACACAUGAAUCUUACUGUUCAAUCACCCACUUCCCACACGCAAUAAUAGCUCAUGGGUACCACAGAUAACUUUGCCAAAGUUCUCUGCCAAAGUUGAGCACGUGAAGCUUGCAGCUCCCACUACAUCGCUCUGACCAAGAAGGGUAAAAAGAAUAGCAAAGAAACAGCACUAACAAAGUUUAGACCCAUAAAUUUUGAAGGUCUAGCUACCAUAUUAUUACCCACAAGGGUAAAGGAACAGUACCACUGCUGGAUAAUUGGAAAGUCCCUAUGUGUCAACCUCUGUGCUUCGUGGCAAGGUAGACUAGCAAACAUGCCCAACCUUUACUCACAUUCGAGAAAACACUCCCAAUAAGAUUGCUUGCUCCAAAAUCGAAGAGGCACCGUCCUCCGAAUCUCGAGAGCCAGACUCCCAACAUGACUACUUUCUUAAAAAUCGAAGAGAGGGUAAAGGAACAGUACCAUUGCUGGAUAAUUGGAAAGUCCAUGUGUGUCAACCUCUGUGCUUCGUGGCAAGGUAGACUAGCAAACAUGCCCAACCUUUACUCACAUUCGAGAAAACACUCCCAACAAGAUUGCUUGCUCCAAAAUCGAAGAGGCACCGCCCUCCGAAUCUCGAGAGCCAGACUCCCAACAUGAUUACUUUCUCAAAAAUCGAAAGAGACACUGCUCCCCGAAUCUUCGAGAGCCAGACCCCCAGCAUGAUUGCUUUCUCAAAAAUCGAUGAGGCAUCGUUCUCCGAAUCAAUCGAAGAGGCGCUCGCUUUCUCAAAAGCUGGGCUGCUCAGAGACCACGAGGGCCGAUCUCAGAAAUCGAAGAGGCACUUACUUUUCUAGCCUUGUCAGCACCUGUCACACGCACACUCAGCUUUGCAGAAAUUAUGGGCAUUCUGUCGAAGACUUCUGGUGAAGUAGAAAGCACAUUAAUCCUACUGUUCAAUCACCCACUUCCCACACGCAACAAUAGCUCAUGGGUACCACAGAUAACUUUGCCAAAGUUCUCUGCCAAAGUUGAGCACGUGAAGCUUGCAGCUCCCACUACAUCGCUCUGACCAAGAAAGGUAAAAGAAUAGCAAAGAAACAGCACUAACAAAGUUUAGACACAUAAAUUUUGAAGGUCUAGCUACCAUAUUAUUACCCACAAGGGUAAAGGAACAGUACCACUGCUGGAUAAUUGGAAAGUCCCUGUGUGUCAACCUAUGUGCUUCGUGGCAAGGUAGACUAGCAAACAUGCCCAACCUUUACUCACAUUCGAGAAAACACUCCCAACAAGAUUGCUUGCUCCAAAAUCGAAGAGGCACUGUCCUCCGAAUCUCGAGAGCCAGACUCCCAACAUGACUACUUUCUCAAAAGCGAAGAGAGGGUAAAGGAACAGUACCAUUGCUGGAUAAUUGGAAAGUCCCUGUGUGUCAACCUUUGUGCUUCAUGGCAAGGUAGACUAGCAAACAUGCCCAACCUUUACUCACAUUCGAGACAACACUCCCAACAGGAUUGCUUGCUCCAAAAUCAAGAGGCACCGCCCUCCGAAUCUCGAGAGCCAAACUCCCAACAUGAUUACUUCCUCAAAAAUCGAAGAGACACUGCUCUCCGAAUCUCGAGAGCCAGACCCCCAGCAUGAUUGCUUUCUCAAAAAUCGAAAAGGCAUCGUUCUCCGAAUCUCGAGAGCCAGAUACCACAGACCACUUUUUCAAAGUGCUCUGACAGAGUUAAAACAUGUGAAACUGGCAGCUCCCACUACCGUGCUAUGACCAAGCAGGGUAAAGGAAUAGCAUUACUACUUGUUGUUAGGGAGACUCCUAUAUAUGUCGACCUCCAUCCCCAACGGACAGGCAGACCUGCAAAAAUGCUCAACCCUUCAUCAUAUCUGAGUGGGCACUCCCAACGAAGCCUUUCGAAAUAUUCAGCUUUCUUUCCCCCCGAUAAUACCUCUGCAAACAAGCUAUACUAGAGCAAGAAUAUCUCAUAUCAUCAGGGUUAAAAGCAAGAGUAUCCCAUAUCAUGCUUUUUCCCUGUCUUUUCCUUUGGCCUUGUUUUUACCUGCAAGACAAGGAGAAAGAGAGCAAUCAGUCAGCACUUGGAAUCAAGCUUCCAACCAGGAAAUGACUGCCUGGAACCCCUUACUUGGCAUUGCUCUCGAGUACUCAUCUUCAACAUCUUAUGUUUCCAGGGAAGAUUCUGCAUCUGCUUGAGGAACAGAUAGGGCAAGUGCGAAGGAUACAAGGAAGCAUGCGGAGACAAGCGUAACAGCACACGUGCCGAUACAUCCAUUACUCUGUCAAAAGCAAAAGUAUCCCAUAUCAGCAGGGUGGAACGUACUCUAGAUUUGAUGGACUUGUUUUGACCCUCAAAUUCUUCAGUCGGCCUUAUAUUCUGGAGGAAACCAGAAAACCCUCCAGCUCAGUUCAAGAAUAAGCCUGUGGAAAGUUACUUCUUCAAAAGCAAAAGUAUCUCAUAUCAUCUCUUCUCAUUUUUCUUCUCUCUUUAUCCUUCAUGCUGCUGCAAGAUGGGGAGAAGGUGAACAAUCAGUCGGAGCUCUGAUUGCUUACCUUGUCUGUCACCUCUUUCAGCAGACCCCCUAGCUCGGCGACUUGGGGGACUCCUACUAAAUGGUUUGUAUCGCGCUUGACCAAGCCUGAAACUACAAGUAAGCUUCAAGUGAAAUUGAUACAUUACCUUGUGCAUCUCCACCAGUUAAAGAUACCACCCCUGGAUGGAGGAAGAGUACUUCCAGAGAAGAUGCCACAUCUACCUAUGAGACAGAUAAGGCAAGUCAAGACGACACCACACUCCGAUACUUAGAAGUUUCGUGAUUAUGAGAUCAUUCUCCCACAAUAUUUCCUAAUGUCAUUUGUACUAAAUCAUUCACUUGUACUCACUAAAGGAGAGCUUGAACCUAUGUACUUGUGUAAACCCUUCACAAUUAAUGAGAACUCUUCUAUUCCGUGGACGUAGCCAAUCUGGGUGAACCACGUACAUCUUGUGUUUGCUUUCCUAUCUCUAUCCAUUUAUAUACUUAUCCACACUAAUGACCGGAGCAAUCUAGCGAAGAUCACAAAAAGCGACCGUUUUCGCUACCUAGGAUCUAUCUUGCAAGAGAACGGAGAAUUAGAUGGAGAUCUCAACCAUAGAAUACGAGCUGGAUGGAUGAAGUGUAAGAGUGCAUCCGGCGUGUUGUGUGACUAUCGUAGGCCACUGAAGCUCAAAGGAAAAUUUUAUAGGACGGCAAUAAGGCCAGCGAUGUUGUAUGGCACAGAAUGUUGGGCGGUGAAGCAUCAACACGUACACAAAAUGGGUGUAGCGGAGAUGAGGAUGCUUCGUGGGAUGUGUGGGCACACGAGAAAGGAUAAGAUUGGGAAUGAGGAUAUCCGAGGUAAAGUAGGAGUAGCCGAAAUUGUAGGAAAGAUGAGAGAAAAUCGGCUCCGGUGAUUUGGACAUGUGCAAAGAAGGCCGACUGACGCUCCGAUUCGAAGAUGUGACUACGGGACAGAGGUUCAGGGCCGAAGGGGUAGAGGAAGACCUAGGAAAACUUUGGAAGAGACUCUAAGAAAAGACUUAGAGUACUUGGAUCUAACGGAGGACAUGACACAAAACCGAGCGCAAUGGCGUUCUAGGAUUCAUAUAGCCGACCCCACUUAGUGGGAAAAGGCUUUGUUGUUGUUGUUGUUGUUGUAUUUUUUCCCUUUUCAAAAUCGAAAUGUUCUAAAUUAUUUCACUAAUCCUUGCUAGUUUGAACUGCAGGAGUCUGUCUCUGGAUUUGAAAGAUUAUCUGGACUUACAGUUUUGAAGAAUUGGGAUUCUAGUGUUACACAUAUUAUUGCAUCGACAGAUGAAAAUGAAGCAUGCAGAAGAACCCUUAAAAUUUUGAUGGGUAUCUUGGAGGGGAAGUGGAUUCUGAGUGUGGAGUGAGUUUUACUGUUUUCGUUUUAAUUGUUCUUCCUCAAGUGCUUGGACUUUACAAUUGUAAUGAGUACAGAAGCCGAAAUGAGAUAUUGAUAUACAUGUUCACAUUGCUGAUAAUUCGUUAUCCGUCUGUUUGUGUAGGAAUUAAUGCUUGCACAUAAGUAAUGAAACUAGUUAAUGAGGAGCCUUAUGAAAUCAACGUUGACAUUUAUGGAAUCAGGGAUGGUCCUCGACUUGGUAGACUAAGGCUGCAGAACAAGGUUAGCUUUUCCUCGAGUUUAACUAUCAUCACGAAAACUUUAGAUUUUCAUGGAUUCACCAUAGGCAUUGUUAAUCUUGUUCAGUCCAUAAAUAGGUUACACACUUAUCUUAACAAAGGUGAGACCUUCUCAAUUCCUCAUCGAGAUGAAUCAAGAGCAUAAUUGUAGCAGUGAUCAAGAGCAAUUUUUUUAUGUUUCUUCCAAAUUGUUGAGAUGAAUCAUCUGUGUUUUGUUCUAAUAAUCUUACAAAUUUGUUGAGCAAUUUUUGUAAAGUCAGAAUCUUUGGUUUCGGUUGUGAGGUAUCUGAUUUGGGUAUAUGUGUUUUGCAGGGCACGGUGGUUGUGGCGGAGGAAGAUUAGGAUUGACGACAGAGCUCUGGCCAUGAACUAUCAGCUCUGUCUUUCUCUCUCUAACUAUGAAUUGAAUACAAAAGUCUGUGUUGAUAUGGAAAAUGUAGCUCAAAAUUAUUACACAAAUGGCAAAAAAAAAAAGUUCGAGUGUGGAGUUUCACUUACUGAUACAGGGCUUUUGAAACAGGGUUGUCUAGACUGUAGAAGAAAUCCAUGGCUUUUGGAAGAGGGGAUGUUCCAAAUCUAUCUUUUCUCCCUCUCUAAUGUUCUUCGAGGGGUUCUUGUGAUGCAAAAAGUGGUUUAUAUAUAUUUUUUAUUAUUAAUAAAUUUUCUGUCGGUUUUAUCAGACAAUAAUUCUUUUAUUUAUUCUUAUUAAUAAUUUCUCUGUCGGUUAUAUCUGACACAAUUUCUGUCGAUUUUAGAGUAUUUUCUAUCGAAAAUUUCAUUUCCUGACGCAUCAAUUAUGUCGCUUAUUAUAUCCGCCACUGCACUCAUUUCAUGUCGGAUUUUGCUUAAUUUCCAACAGUAUUAUACAUUUCUUGUCGGUUUUUAAACCGACACUAAUGGGUACUUUUGUAGUAAUGUUGGGGCGUCGGAGUUCGUUUAAGGUCGAAUUGAGCACACCCAAAUUCAAGGGUUCCGUACGGUUCAUGGUAAUUUGAGGUAUUUCUCAGCCAAAUUGUCCUUAGUCACAGAUAUGAAAGUUGCUCCACUCGUUGAGAUCUUCAUUUAUGUCAAAUUUGAGAAUUUUUAGAAAUAAUUGGAUUUUCCAGCGAAUCGGGGCGGCGGACCACCACCGGACAGCGCAUGGCUAGUGGGCCCCCAAUGUCAUUUUACGUUAAAUUGGUAUCUUGAUUUUAGGUUUGAUGUCUAUAUGUUAUGACUUGAUAUGUGAACCUAGUUUAAUUAAGGUGCGUUAAUUGGUAAAAAUAUGAAACGACGAUCCGACCGUGGGAUCGUCACCAAUCUUUAUUAUGUUAUAGUACAUUAUAUUUGAGAAUCAUAGGGACUGACGGAUAGGAAAUCCGAUAUACGGAUCUUCCUGAAAUGGAAUUGUAAGUUCGAAGAAUAAACGUUAACCGCCACUUUGUUUUGACUAUUGGUGAAGAUCCAACCGUUGGAUCAUAAUGAAAUUUUAGGAUGAUGUUUUAGAAGCAUAAUGUGGAUCUUUGGAAGUUAUUGAUUGGAAAUCCGAGGAGCGAAUCUUCCGGAUUGAAUUACGUAAGGUUGUGGACCCUACCGUCGAUCGUUGACUGACGAUCGACUUUUGGUCAAUGGGGCUUAAAUCACUCUAAAAUGUUUUUAGGGAUGUGUUUUACGUAAAUUACAUUAUCUAUGGAUAAGAAUUCUGAGAUGUGGUUUGAUAAUUGUCCUGGGCGCCGAUCGUUAGGAACGCUUCGAUGGUUGUGCUAGGAAAUUGUAGCAUAGACUCCAGGUGAGUGAAUCUUUUCCUUCUUAUAUAUAUAUAUAUAUAUAUAUGAUUGACAAUUCCACAAACGUUUAUAAAUUGAUUAUUGCAUAUAACUACUGUAAAUACUUUGAAGUACUUAUGCGAACUACGAAUGGCUUGAUCCCUAUUUAGGGUACGUAUGCAGUCUAACAAGACAUUAAAUGCAGUCAUACAAUAAUUGAGAUUAAACAAUUGAGACAAAGCCUUGUAUGGGGAACUGGGCAAGGUGAACGAAUUUGGUAAAAAUGUGAGAUUUAACCUUCUGAAUUGGUGAUUAAAUGUUGGUCAUAAAUCAAUGUGUAAAGAAUCAAGAAUUUGAAGUAAGGAAACGUAAGUAAUGAUAAUUAAUUAAACUAGUGUCUAGUUGGGCUUGUCACCUAUAAUUAUCCCCAAAAAUGAAUAAUUCGGGAGUAGGGCGUUAUAGCUUCUGCAUUUUUAUGCCACAUUAUAUAUAUAUAUAUAUGUGUGUGUGUGUGUGUGUGUGUGUGUGUGUGUAUAAUUGGAAAUGCUAUAACGUGGUUGAGUAUCAGAUUUCAUCAUGGUUUAUCUAUAUGUAUAUUACCUGCACACAAUUAUUAUGAACACUUUGAAGUGCAAAGGUGAACGCAAGACACCCAGGAAAGUUCAGGUGAGUUUAUGGUAUUAGUUGAAAUGAUGGGGUUAUGGUAACUACAUGUAUGUUUAGGUUGCAAUGAUAGGCAACUCCGACACUGUCGUACAAGUUGCCCAUGAAUUGUAUAUGUUACAAUAGAUAGAGUUAGAGGUCAUAAACCUGCACCCCGGUGUUAGUGCUCCCACCCGUGGCUAGGGCACAGUCUUUCACGAGAUGUUCACCUCUCGCAUCUUACGCUCACCUUGGAUCCAAGGUAGGUGCACAGUCAUGUCAUAAAGACCACUAUAGGUGGUUCCGACUAGUAGAUGACCCGUGAUUAUUCGCACAGUCUUCACGUGAUUGUAGCACUUGAGCGUAUUUAUUUACACCCAGUCCUGUCGUACAGACCACUUUAGGUGGUUCCGACUCGUAUGCAGGUAUACUUAUUGAGCUAUGGAUAAGUCGUACAGGUCACUAAAGGUGACUCCAACUUAUGAGCUAGCAUAUGUGAUGAAAUAUGUGAUGAGCUAGCAUAUGUAAUGAGAUAAGUGAUGAGCUAGCAUAUGUGAUGAGAUAUGUGAUGAGUUAGCAUACGUUAUGAGAUAUGUGAUGAGUGAUAUAAUCAUAAUUGCAUACAUUUUCAUGCCCUUUUAGUUUAGAUUUUUGUUAUCCUUUUGAGUGAAUUUAGUUUGUUUCACUUAGUUUUAUGUUUUUCUUAGAUUUGAAGUGUGAAGAUGAAGAAAGAAGAAAAAAGAGCAUUUUUAGCGAUUGAAAUGAGUUUGGCAUGCUGGAAGCAGAGGCUAUUUGUGCGGAUCAGCCAACUUUACGGAUUAAACUGUACUUCCUUAGAAUGCCAGCUGUUGAGUCUUAUACCAUUGGAAAGAUAUGAAAGUUAGCUUUCAGAGGAAUUUUACGAUUCGUGAUUCCGAGUUUCCUAGAAGACGUUAUAGUGGUUUUUCUACCAGAUGUCUGCCAGCAAGGUUUUACGCGGGAUUUGCAAAGAGAUUCCAGAUUUACAAAGUUUAAUUAAAGGAAACAAGCAGAGAAAAAAGAAGAGGAAGCUUUUAGAAAAGUUCAGGACUAUUCUAAACGGUGCAUAGUUAAUAUAUUUAAUAGUUUAGUGUGCCACAUCAUCAAUAAACUAAUCUAAGUCAGAAGAGAAAUUCAAGAGUCCCAUUCAAGUAAGUAUUCCAGCAGUUUUAUUCAGGAAUAAAGGAGGGCAGACCGUCGGACUUUAGGAGCGGACAGAGAGAGUUUUUGGGUUUUCGAAGGUGCAGAGAAGAGGUCGCAGCAAGGAGUGAAACAGAGUCGCCGAUCAUCUGGGCAAUCCAUCACCAUCGUGUGGAAGUAUUUUAUGUUUUUCAGAUUUUUAAUUAUGUUUUCAGAUUUUAUGAGUAACUAAACUCUUUUUCUAAGGUUAGGAUGAUGCCCUAGCAUGGAUGUUUAUGGUUUGUAAUGUUAUUCAUUGGAUUUCCAGUUUCUUUUAGAUGAAUGCUUAAUCACUGUUUGAAUUGUUACUGUUUGUUUGAGUUCUUUGAUUGAUCACCUUAGGACUUUGCAUCUAGUAAGAUUGGAAGAUGAAUUUGAGACUGAACUAACAAUAUAAUUCAAUUAGCUUCUUGUGGUUAAGUGUGGUAAAUUACAUUAUUGCUUGAAAAAGAAUAAUGGUUUGUUUGGGUCCCUUGUUUUCUAGAGGGUAAAGAGUCCUACUUGUUAAAUUUAUGCCUUAACUAGGAUAGACUGCUUGUUAGGAUAUACGACCUCUGCCUAAACUAGGAGAGAAUCAUUCACAUAAGGAAAACUAUGGUCUAAUAUGCCUGACAAGGACUUAGAUACGGGAAUUAUCAUCUAAAGAAUUGAAAGAUCCAUUGAAUGCAUUGAAACCUAAACUAGAUUGCUUGUGGUUGAUUCCGAAUCCCUAGAUUUUCAUCACUUGCCUUAAAACACAACCGUUUCUUUUCUUUAAUUUCAGUUUUUACUUAAGGUUCUGUUUUUGUUCAUUUAUAAAAUCAUCACAACAAAUUUUUUACAUCUUUGAUUGACUUAUUAAUUAAGAUCGAGUCUAGUUCGUUGUUUGGGUUUGUGUGUCUUUAAUAUAAUUAGAUUUGGUUUAGUUUAUCAAAUUGGAGAUUGAAUUAGAAUCCUCGUGGGAACGAUACUUGGACUUGCAAAACGUUAUAUUACGACUAUCUUGUGCACUUGUAAGUUUACACCAAGUUUUUGGCGCCGUUGCCGGGGACUCUAAUUGAGUCCCCCAAUUUGAUAUCAUAUUCCAUAUCUAAUAAGUAGUUUAUUGUAGAUUAUUCAAUUUGAUUUUGUUUUGUUCUCUAGUUUCGAGUAAGAGUCAUAACUAUUAAGAUAAGUAAAAGUAAUUUUCGUCACUGUUUUAUUUCAGUUUUGUAUCACUGUUUCGACACAGUUUUGGACUAAACUAUUCGAUUUUUUACCAGGAAUAUUGUGUAUCGUUGGAAAGCCCCAGAAGUCUAGUUUUCAACCCAAAAAACAGAUCAAUGAUUGGAUUUUUGAGCUGCAAGAAAUGUACAAAAUACUGAGCAGUGGUCAAACAAGGAGCACAGUCUGGUCGUAUAUGCAAGGUAGACGUUCGUUGCAAUUUGAGUUGAUUCAUAUAGACCAAGAACUUGUGCGUACUUUAAGAGAACAGUGGAGGCAGCGAGUGUGUCAAGAACCAGCCAUGGAGGAAGUAGUUAAUAAUGGUGGAAAUAAUCCUCCACCAUUGCUACCACCACAACCAAGGCUCAUGCGUGAUUAUACAAAGCCAACGGAGUACAACGCACCGUCAUGCAUUGUUUUGGCUCCAAUUGCGCAGCGAUUUGAGAUUCGUCCACAAAUCUUUCAGUUGCUGCCUAUAUUUCUUGGGAAGGAGGAAGAAAAUCCAUACCAUCAUAUCAAGGCGUUUUUCAAGCUAUGUUCCACAUUCACAUUCACCAAUGUUACUGAAGAGCAAAUUCGACUUCGGUUAUUCCCAUUCUCUUUGAGGGAUAAAGCAAGCAGUUGGUUGGAUUCUCUUCCCGAAGCAUCUAUCGACACAUGGACAAAAUUAUCGAAGAAGUUUUUGUCCAAGUUCUUCCCCGCUCGAAGAACCAAUGCUCUGAUCAAUGAAAUCAUGAGCUUUCGACAACAAGAAGGUGAACAGUUUCAUGAAAGUUGGGAGCGCUAUAAGGACUUGUUUCUUCAAUGUCCUCAUCAUGGUUUCAACACUUGGCAAAAGGUUCAUUAUUUUUACAAAGGUUUGAACUCUCAAUGUAGGAGUUUGGUUGAUUCAACGGUUGGUGGAACCUUGAUAGACAAAACUCCAGAAGAUGCCAUACAUGCCUUUGAAACUAUAUGUGAAAAUUCUGAGCAUUGGGAUUUUCCUACAAAAGAUUUGAGAGUUCCAACUGCAUCGUCAACAAAAAAAGGAGGCAUUUAUGAAGUUAAUACAAGGACGGGCUUAGAGGCACAAGUGGCAGCCCUCACCAAGCUUCUCACACCACUUGUAAGCAAGAUAGCCACGCAGCCAUGUACUUUAUGUGCGAGCAUCGCCCAUGACAUGGAAAAUUGUCCAACAAAUGCUAAUCUAGAAGGCAUCCAAGAGGUCAAUGCAUUUAGUGGGAGGCCCCGGAAUGAUCCAUAUUCUAAUAAUUAUAACCCGGGAUGGAGAGAACAUCCAAAUUUUUCUUAGAGAGAUUCACAAAAUAGCAUGGGAUCAUUCACUUCAACAAAGCAAUAUCAGCAACCUUAUCAAGCUCCUCCAAUUCAACAAAAAGACUCGUCUAUCAAGGAUAUGUUAUCUCAACUCUUAAAGAAAACUGAUCGGUAUGAACAUGAAGUUGUGUCGCUUAGACAAAGUCAGACGGUGUUGGAAAAGGCUCGAUCUAAUUUUGAGACUCAGUUGGGACAGAUAGCUACUACUUUGAACAAGCUGGAGUGAGCACAAGGGCAAUUUCCAAGCCAAACUGAAACAAAUCCUAGGAAUCAAAAGCAUGUUCAAGCUGUCACCACUUUGAGGAGUGGAAAGACGAUUGGUAAUAAUGUGGAAAGUUCAAAAAUUAAUAAGGAAGAAGAUGAAGGGGUCAGCACAUAUCGGGCAGCAGCUUGACAAGACAAGCUAAAAAAGAGAAGUAUAUGGGAGAUAUUUUAGAGCAAUUUAGAAAGGUGCAGAUUAAUAUUCCUUUUCUCGAUGCCAUCAAACAAAUUCAAUCAUAUGCGAAGUUUUUGAAGGAACUUUGUACUAACAAGAGACGGUAUGAAGAACAUGAGGAGGUGAAGUUAUCAGACACGGUUAGUGCGGUUCUUCAAAGAAAAUUGCCACCAAAACUUCAAGAUCCUGGUAGCUUUACAGUCCCAUGUGUCAUUGGAGAAAGAAAAUUCGAAAAAGCUUUGCUUGACUUGGGAGCCAGUGUGAAUUUGAUGCCCUAUUCUGCUUAUAAACACCUCAAAUUAGGCGAACUAAAGCACAUAUCCAUUUCUCUACAAUGCACUGAUCGUUCUGUGAAAUAUCCAAGAGGGAUUGUUGAAAAUGUACUUGUGUGUGUUGAUCAAUUUAUUCUUCCUGCUGACUUCAUCAUUUUGGACAUGGAAGAAGCCGAAAUUCCUGGUCGUGACUUGCCUCUCAUUCUUGGCAGACCUUUCAUGGCUACUGCAGGUACGAAGAUUGAUGUUAAAUCGGGAUUAUUAACUAUGACUGUGCAAGGUAUUACUGUAGAAUUUCAGGUCUUCGAAGCAUUGAAGAAGCCCAUGGAUCUUUAUGACUGCUUUCGUGUUGAGGUAGUGGAUCCAAUUAUAAAAAAAAACAUUCAUUGAAUCAAGCAUCUCAGAUCCUCUGGAAGUUUGUAUCUCUCAACAUGGGAUGAGUUUUGAAAAGGCUACCAUCAUUGAAGCAGAACGAGAUCUCAAUGCCGUAACGUCCUACUCUCUUAGAUGCCAGCCCAAAUUUGAAGCGUUGCCACUCACAAGCCAAAAUUGUACCAUCCAUUAUACAACCUCCAAAGCUUGAAUUGAAGCCUCUUCCAGAGACUUUAAAGUAUGCAUAUUUGGUGAUUCAGAGACUCUUCCUGUGAUUAUAGCUGCUGAUCUUAACCAAACAGAAGAGGAAAAGUUGAUGCAAAUGUUGAGGGAGCAUAAAACAGCAUUGGGAUGGAGUAUUGCAGACAUAAAAGGAAUUAGUCCUCAAUUUGCAUGCAUCGGAUAUAUCUUGAGGACAAGUCAAAGCCUUCUAGAGAGGCACAGCGACGUCUAAAUCCACAUAUGCAAGAAGUGGUUCGGGCAGAAGUUCUUAAAUUACUGAAUGUCGGCAUUAUUUAUCCUAUAUCUAACAGCAAAUGGGUAAGUCCACUGCAGGUUGUACCACAGAGAUCUGGAAUUACAGUUGUCAAGAAUGAAAAUAAUGAGCUUAUACCCCAGAGGACUGUCACGGGUUGGAGAAUGUGUACAGAUUACAGAAAGAUCAAUAAUUCAACUCGAAAAUAUCAUUUUCCACUCCCUUUCCUUGAUCUCAUGCUUGAGAGACUUGCAGGCCAUAGUUAUUAUUGUUUUCUUGAUGGCUAUUCCAGAUAUAAUCAAAUUCCCAUAGCUCCGGAAGAUCAAGAAAAGACUACUUUCACAUGUCCAUUUGGAACUUUUGCCUAUCGACGAAUGCCUUUUGGGUUAUGUAAUGCUCCCGCAACAUUCCAAAGAUGCAUGAUGAGCAUUUUCUCAAACUUGGUGGAAAGGUGUAUCGAAGUGUUCGUGGAUGAUUUUUCCGUGUUUGGGUCAUCGUUUGAUCAAUGUCUUCAUCAUCUUUCAUUGGUGCUCUAACGGUGUCAAGAAACCAACUUGAUUUUAAAUUGGGAAAAAUGUCAGUUUAUGGUGAAAAGUGGUAUUGUUCUUGGUCAUGUAAUUUUAGCUGACGGAAUUGAAGUUGAUAAAGCUAAGGUGGAGCUGAUUUCGAAGCUUCCUCCUCCCACUUCUGUAAAAGAAGUUCGAUCCUUUCUCGAGCAUCCAAGUUUUUAUCGCCGAUUUAUUAAAGAUUUCUCGAAAAUCACCAAGCCACUUUGUGAUCUGCUUGCUAAAGAUUCUGUGUUUAAUUUAAAUGGUGAGUGCUUACAAGCUUUUGAGACCCUCAAGAAAGAAUUAACACAAGCCCCAAUCAUAAAAGCUCCAGAGUGGUCUCUUCCUUUUGAAAUCAUGUGUGACGCCUCUGAGUAUGCAAUAGGUGUUGUGUUAGGGCAGCGAGUUAACAAACUUCCUCAUGUUAUAUUUUAUGCUAGCCGAAUUCUCACUUAACAACUUUCAUAUCCCUUAGUUUCCAAAAUUUAAUAUACAAAUUUAGUCUCCCAAGCAUUGCUAUAUUACUUAAGUAUUGAUUAAUAGACUUAUUUCUUAUGGUGACACAUUAUUUAGUUUACAAAUUUAGUCUAUCUAACAUUACUCUUUUGACAUUGUCUUGUCCACUGAUAUAAUUCUAUUUUUCUUGUGAUCAAAACUUCAAAUGUUAGCAAGUCGCACGUAAAGUCGCUUCUGAGAGAAUGUGCUCACAUUGUAGUUGAAAGAUUAUGUGGCUAGCAACAUUACAAAUUUAAUUUGGUAUAAUUUUAAAAUAUAGAUUGAGGAAAAAAAGGAUCACAUUAACUAGAAACUGAAAAGGUUUCGGCGCAAUAUGUUCAAGCAAGAAACUCAAUUUUGAUGCUACCGAUCUUAACAGCCUGAGCGCCGUACCUGGGCACUAAAGUCACCACCACACUCUCAUCAUCUUCAGCACCCAAAUCCUCCAACAGGUCCGUUAACCCCAACCUUAAACAACUCUUGCUCUUUUCCUUCUGCUUAUGUGGCACACUCACAAAACUCCCAGCAAACUCGCUCUUGUCGGGUCCACUCGGUGCCGCAUCCUCAUCAUCCACGUCAUUCACAUACACAUCAAACUUCACAGCCACAUCUUUGUCAAGCUCAAUCCCCCGAAUCACCAAUAUCUCCUCCUCAUCCUCUUUCUCCUUCUUGCUCCUCUUCUUCGGCUUCGGCCUUGACACCACCGUAGUUAUCUUCGUCUCCAAAUUUAUUGGAAAAUCUUUACCCGCCACCACCUUCCCCGAUGACGUCGUCUCAGCGGCCUUCGCCACUCCAGCCGCCUUUGCCUUUCUCGCAAGCUUUGUCCGACGUGGCGUCGGUCUAGAGUUGAGCCAUGGAAUCUCAACAUCUUCAUACGUAUACCCUAGCUUUUUAUUAUCAAGAGUGUCCCUCACCGUGACCCUAACAAGCUCAGCAUUCUCGUCAUAAAACAAAAACCCCGUAUCCAACCAAUCCUUAUCGUUAAUAUCUUUAUUUUUAGUCCCUAUACUUUUCCAAAUAUUCCACAUUCGAUCCAGAUUCAAAUGGUGCGCAAAAAAUAUCGGAUCCCUUGCAGUGGAGUAAAAAUUCCCCAUGUCUUCAUAAUUAGGUUGCGUGUUAUCUCCGGUCCAUGUAUGAACCGGACCAUGUGGGGUCUGUUCGAUUGCACCGGCCCCUGGAUCUGGUUCAGUGCCAGCCCUGUAGGGCGAACCAAAGAACAACAGCGGUUUCUUGGAGUUGGAAACCAUCUGCCUAUACAUGAUUUUGAGGUUGGCUUCGAUUUGAGCAUCCUUGGACAUUGUUUCAUCCGUGCCGUUGAAGUCAAGAUCGAUGAGAGUUGGCGGCUGAUGGCUGGCAGCGCGGAGCUCGUCGUAAAGCGGAGAGUCAGGGUUAGCGUACAAGGCAGGGAGUUGCAUGCCAGCUGGCGCGUCCCAGUUCCAAAACGGCAACGCGAAGGUCGGAUCGUCUAUGAGUUUGGCCAAGAUUCUUUCGUGGAAAUAUAGGUAGUAACGAUGGAAGGGGAAGAAAAGCCAGGAUUGAUGGAUUUGGAGCUCGAGGUUGGGGAAGCCGACUUGGUCGUACGCACCGUUACAAUAGGCACAGUGGACAUCGGCUUGCUGGGUGAAGCUACGCGGAUCGUCGUCCGGGAGGGCUUUCAUGAGCUCGAUGGCUUUUGAGUAUUUUUCGAUGUAGGCUUUAUCCACGGCGUGAGCUGCCGGCCUGACGCGGAGUUUGGUAGGGGAGGGGAAUUUGAAGUCUACGAUUUUUUGGGACGUUGGCGGGCAACAGUUGGUCGGGACUGCUCCACUUGGAAAGUCCGCAGCUCCGCAUUUGGCUAGGUCAGGCGGCGACACUGGCUUUGCAACAGCGAAGGGGUCGCUGCCAAGACCAGCCACUCCACCGUACAGGCUUCCGAGACCUAUAAGUACAUGUCUUCUGUCUAGGUUUACUGGAGAAGGGUUUUCAUGGUCGUGAUCGUUGGAGCUAGUGGAAGGGUUUUUGUUUUGGUCACUACUAUUAUUUGUGGCUUUGCAUGAGACAGCUUGUAAAUUGGAAUGCCUAGGGUUUCCAAAUGAGGAUAUUCGGUGAUACUUUUGGGAGAAAGGAGAGAGAGAAGUUGUGGGGAUGAUACUUGUGGUGGGGGUGACGAGUGGAGCUGACAUAGAAGCCAUGGUUACUUGACUCUGAAUAAUACGUUGUAUGGGCUUUUGCUUUUAUAAUAUGUUCUAGGUUUACUUUUCUUUGCACAGGUGGCAGGCCGUGCACACGUUGUCGAGGAAUAGUACGUAGUCAUUUAGGAGAAAAAUCUAAUUGUGACGGAGGUGACGAGUGGAGCUGACAUAGAAGCCAUGGUUACUUGACUCUGAAUAAUACGUUGUAUUGGCCUUGCUUUUAUAAUAUGUUCUAG
This 100050-nucleotide long non-coding RNA is filed under the name Malus domestica (apple). Its description in RNAcentral is "long non-coding RNA (MDOM_LNC009719)". The record is from RNAcentral. Lineage: Eukaryota; Viridiplantae; Streptophyta; Magnoliopsida; Rosales; Rosaceae.